This 169804-nucleotide long non-coding RNA is filed under the name Vitis vinifera (wine grape). RNAcentral's name for it is "long non-coding RNA (VVIN_LNC002139)". Lineage: Eukaryota; Viridiplantae; Streptophyta; Magnoliopsida; Vitales; Vitaceae. The record is from RNAcentral.
CAUGAUCACGACAAAUUCAAGGGAAAGGAAGAGAACCAGCGCCACCACCAGGACCACCGAGUCCACCACCGGUGCCCACUCCACUGCCUAUGCCGCCUAGGGUUCCGAGACCACCGGUGCCACCCAAGCCACCCAAGCUGCCGAGCCCUCCUGUCCCACCUAGUCCACCUGCACUACCGAUUCCUCCGCCAAGUCCGCUGACUCCACCUAGUCCACCAAAUGGCAGUCCAGAACCACCUAGUCCUGCAACACCACCGACUCCGCCGAAGCCACCGAGCCCGCCAAAGCCGACGAUAUUCUUUUGGUCAUCGAGACCAGCAUCACUAGGCACAGUCCUUGCAGUGGUGUGAACCACUGCUACGGCAAGCACUGCCAUGAUAAACCACUUUGCCAUCUCUCUCUUUUCUCACUUACUAACUCACGCUCUAAUGCUUCUUUUUGAGGGUUUACUCAGUUGCACCUGAAGGGUGUUGCGGGUCUCCUUUUAAAGGCCUAAAGGGAGGUGGGGGACAGUUGCACGUAGUAAAUGAAGUUAAAUGCUGACCAGUCCAUAGCUUUACUCAGUCGAUGGAAUUGAACAGGAUUUGUUGGAACUAUGCUUUGAGCUGCUGAACCUCAGGGCCUCAAAUUGAUCAACAUCUAACAAAUAAAAAUGAAAAUCACUUGCAUAUCAUCAUGGCUUCCAUACAGAUGUUAGGCCAUAUGUAUGGCUGUGAUGGGAUUCAGAAACUUGCUCCUACCAAGAUGUGCAUGACAGAAAACUUAAAAGUACAUGGAUAACGGACCACGAAAAAUGUCUUUCUCUGAUAAUUCUUUCGCGUUUUAUUUUUCACAUCCUGAAAUUUUCAGUUGAUCUCUUGCUAAGAGAAUGUAUGGAAAAAAUGAAUAACAAAUUAGAUAAAAUGAUACCUUAUCUUAACACCACUCUGUCGUGCAUUUCGUCUCUUUGGGCUUACCAUAUGAUAUAGAAAGCGAUGCAACAUAACAUAAACAAUUCUUGGAAUUAUUAUUAUUAUUUAAAAAAAAAAGUUAAAAGAAAUAGUUUUUUUUUUCCUUUUUUUUCUGUUUUUUUUUUAAGAUUAUAUUUAUGCCAUUAUUUUAUUUUAUUCUGAACACGAUUUAACAAUUUUGGGAGAUCAAUCCUCUUGUUUCAGAUUUUAUGAAACCAGUUAUGCAUGAUGUUAUUUAUUUUCAAAAUACAAUUAUAUAAAUAAUUGGAAUGGAGACAAAAUAUUAUUUUUUACAUAUUUUAACUUUAUUUUUUUCCAUUAAAUUUUAUUUCGAGGGUGCAGGUAAAGAAGAUUAUCAAUCCACCAAACUGCUGAUAAUCAUUCAAUGUUAUGUUGGAAUCCAUUCAGCGUCUGGCUUUGUCAUUACAGAUGUGUCAUUGUAAGAUGGAGAAUUAAUUAAGCCUGGUUUGUAUAUUUGAUUAUUUUUAGAUAAAGUCUUGACAAAAAAAAGUGACAAACUUUGAAAAUAUUAUACUCAUGAUGAAAAAUAAAAUAAAAUUAUAGCUACACCCAUUUAAUCAAAUUAAGAUUUUUCAUGUUAAUUUGAAGUCAUGAAAAUUAUUAAAAUUUUUAGAUUAGAUGAGUAAAAGUAGGUUUUACAGCGAUUUUAUAAAGUGUUUUUAGGUUUUUUAAUAUUUGAGAGAUGAAAAUUUUUAAGUAUUAAAAAUUUAAAAAAUAUUUUCUAAAAUCGAUGUAAGUGCUUUAUCCAAAUAAAAAUUAAUUAGGUCUCAUUUUUCUAGUAUGAUGAACAUGACGAGAAUUCGGUGAGAACUGACGGAUAAAGACCAAGGGUUGCUGAAGCUCCACGGGCAAGUACUAGAGAUGAGAGUGAGGUGAUAAGUGGGGUAGGGUGAAUCAAUAACAGCUCCUCAGCUGCCCGUGACAGGACUAGGGCUGAGGAUGCUGACCUUGGUGGAGGAGAAAGUAAAUGCAUUUGUCAGGAGAGUUUGUGGACUCCUCUUAGUUUCACCUGUUCUUAAAAAUUCAUUUAAUGACCUACAACUCUCAUGCACACAUCUUCAUGCUCAUGUACAUGCAUGUGAGAUAUCUAUCCCAUAUGGAUCAUCUUAACUAAGCCUAUUUAGCAACUGUUUUCCACAAUAAAAUAUAUUUAAAAAUAUUAAUAAAAAAAUAAGUUAAAAACAUUUUAAAUUUCAGAUUUUUAAUUUAUAAAACAUCAAAAAAAGUAGUUUUAAAAAAUUGUUCAAAAAAGUUGUUUUCAAAACUGUUUUAAAAAACAAUUACUAUGUACAUUUUUUAUUUUUUAUUUUUAUUUUUAAAGUUAGAAAUAUAGUUGGAAUUUUCAUGUAAGAGACAAGUGCUCUUGGAGAUUUAUAUUAAAAAAUAACAAUUUUUAAAAUAAAUUAUAUAUAUAUAUAUAUAUAUAUAUAUAUAUAUAUUAAGAAUAGAUAUCAACAAAUCCAACAAAAUUGAAAAACAAUGCGGCAUAUAGUACUUCCACAAAUCAAGACUUUUAAAAUGUGGAAAAAGAAAUUUAAAAAAAAAAUACCACCACAAAUACCUCUUCAUAUACUGGUUUACCUUGAGACUCCUAAAUAUAAAUAAUAAUAAGAAAACCAGACCUGAAAAUACAAAACACAAAAAAAUCAGCAUUAACUUCAGGAUUUGACUUUCAUGUGGCUUGGAUAAGUUGGUUUGCAAAAAUGUAAUUCAACUUUUUUAAAGUUAUUACACCCGUUAAGUGAAGCCCAUAAGUGAUUGGUAGUGUGGUAUGUUGGUUUUGAAAAAUAUUAAUGAAAGAAAAAAUAUAUAUAAAAAAAUAUUUUUUUAUAUUUGUUUGUAUUAUAAAAAAUACAAAAAAAGUUAAAUAUAAUUAAAAUGGAUAAGAAAAUGGCCAAGGUGAAGUCAGUGCAUGCAAUUCCGAAGGUGGCAUGUGAAUGAGGUCCCAUGUAUCUGGCACUCGGGACAUCUCUGAACAAACUGGCAACAAUCCGUCUCCAUGGUCAACCAGAAGUAACCAGUCCUCAUGAUCUUACGGGCCAACAUAUGCCCUUCCAUAUGUGGUCCGCAAACUCCCGCAUGAACCUCUCUCAUGACUCGAUCGGCAGAGGCGCGGUCCAAACACAAUAGCAACAUCCCGUCAGCUGAUCGUCUAUAUAGUUCUCGUCACAAAUCACGAAUCGGACGGCUAACUGUCUCAGUGCUCUCCUAUCCUUGGCCGUGGCAACCUCAGGAUACACACCAAGUCUCAUAAAGUGAUAUAUGUCAUGGUACCAGGGCAAACCAUCGUCUAUCUCCGUAUCUUCAAUCAAACAACAAUACGCAGAAGCAGACCUCGAUUCGAUCAACAAUGGGUGAACAGUGACAUCAACAGGAAUGUCAAUCAUGGAAGCUAGAGUAGCUAAGGCAUCAGCAAACUGGUUCUACGCUCUAGGCAGAUGUGUGUAUCUCAAAUCAUCAAAUCUCUCGACCAGUAGCUCCAAAUACGCGUGGUAAGGCCUAAGCUUCACAUCCCUAGUCUUCCACUCGCCCUGAAUCUAUCUCAAUACCAUAUUGGAGUCACCAAACACCUCCAUCUGUCUAAUCCCGAGCUCUAGAGUCGUCUCUAAUCCCAGAAUACAAGCCUCAUACUCAACAAUGUUGUUCGUGGCAAGAUGUCGAUCCGAGAAUGCCAAACAAACAAAUCUAGGAAUGUGAUCACCAGGAGGGGAUAUCAACAAGACGCCUAUCCCGUAUCCAAAGUGGUUGACCGCACCAUCAAAUUACAUGCGCCAACCUAACAGACUAGUCAUAGUAGUGACAUCCUCGUCCGGGAAGUCAUCAUCAAUGGCUCUACCGUCGGAAACUGGUAAGAAUGCUAGGUGAUCUGCGACAAUGCUCCCUCUGAUGGACUUCUGAGUGACAUAAUGGAUGUCGAACUCAGUUAGAAGCACCAACCAUCUCAUGAGGCGACCAACCAGGGCGGGCCUGUCAAACAAAUAUCUCAGAGGGUCUAGACGGGAUAUCAAAUGCACUGAAUACUCGGUCAUGUAAUGUCUCAAUCGUCGAGUGGCCCAAACCAAUGCUAAGCAAUAGCGCUCAAUCAUAACAUAUCUCGUUUUGUAAUUUAGUAUCCUCUUACUCAGAUAAUAAAUGGCUCGAUCUUUGCUCGAAUCAUCGAGCUGAGCCAACAUGCAUCCCAAAGCCACAUCUGAGAUGGAUAGGUAUAGGAGUAAAGGACGGCCUGGUGUAGGAGGCGCCAAGACUGGGGAUGACAACAAGUACUCUCGAAUCCUUUCGAAUGCGCACUGACACUGAUCAUCCCAAACAGUAGGUUGACUCUUCCUCAAGAGUCGGAAAAUGGGCUCACAGAUGUCUGUCAAUCUGGCGAUGAAUCUACUAAUAUACUAAAGUCUACCCAAGAAGCCUCUAACCUCUCUCUCUGUCCUUAGUGCUGGCAUGUCAAGGAUGGCUCUGAUCUUGUCCGAAUCUGCCUCUAUGCCUCUCUCACUGACCAUAUACCCUAAGAGUUUCCCAGAAGUCACUCCGAAAGUGCACUUCUUGGGAUUCAGUCUCAAUCUGAACUGUCGGAUCCUCUCAAAGAACCUCUCCAGAGCUGCUAGGUGAUCUGGUCUCUCUCGGGAUUUCACUAUCAUGUCGUCUACAUAAAACUUGACAUCCCGAUGCAUCAUGUCAUGGAAGAGGGUGGUCGCUGCUCUCUAAUAGGUGGCUCCUGAUUUUUCAAUCUGAAUAGCAUGACCCUAUAGCAAUAAGUACCCCACUCGGUAAUGAAGAACGUCUUCUCCAUGUCCUCUGGAGCCAUCAAGACCUGACUGUAUCCGGAAAAUCCAUCCAUAAAGGACAACAUCAAAUGACCUAUCGUACUGUCAACUAGCAUGUCGAUGUGUGGAAGAGGAAAAUCAUCCUUAGGACUGGUCUUGUUAAGAUCUCGAAAAUCAACACAAACUCUCACCUUGCCGUCCUUUUUGGGAACAAGGAUGACAUUGGCCAGCCACUCUGAGUACUCGACCACUGAUAAGAAUCCUACAUUGAGCUGCUUCUGAAUCUCCUCUUUGACCUGCAAGCUCCAACGAGGAUGCAAUCGUCUCAACUUCUACUUAACCGGUCUGGCAUGGGGCAGAAGUGACAAACGAUGUUGGACGAUAGAUGGAUCAAGGCCUGGCAUGUCCUUAUAAGACCAUGCGAAAACAUCCAAGUAUGCUCCGAGCAAUUGGAUGAGGCUAUCUCUCUUAUCAACAGAUAAAUUUGAUCCAAUCCUCAACUCCCUAGGUUGAUCUACUGUGCCGAAAUCAACAAUCUCCGUGUCUCCUACAGUAGGUGAAACUCUCUCAUCAACGGGAUCCAAAUCGGAAACAGAAGGUGAGUCAUCGUCUGAAUCGUGCUGUGCAAUCUUAUCAUCAAUGUCAAAAAUCUAUGAUGUGGGUGAAGAUGGUGCAGAUAAAUCAAUAACAUGAGAGACAAGCAAAUACUCAAAGAUGCUCAAAUCCAUAGAUGAAAAGUCAGAAACAUAGUCAUUAUGGGAGACAAAUCCCGAUAAAACAUCAAAGGAAAGAGGUGGGUCCACAAAGUCGGAUGCUCUCUCAACUAGGCCAACAGGGCCAUCAAACAAACCAUCAACAACUAUAACAUCCUAGGUGACCUCCGGAGCGGGGGCAACCUGGAUUUCCUCUGCGAUCUCGAGGACGGACACCCCAAAGAGAUCAAAUGGUGAAGCGAGCUCAGGUGGGGCUAUCUCCUCGGUUUAGCUUAAGCUCAUCGCGAGCAUCUCAUCAACAUACUCGUCACGUGGCACGACUCCGUCCACUAUGUCUCCGAUCUCGGCAAAAGUCCCGUGCUCAUCGAUCUCAUCCGGGAAGCAAAACGUCAUAAGACUCGUGUGAUCUGGGGAGGGAGGAGCGAUCAACGCAGAAGUCGAAGGGCCAGGGGCUUCGUCACUCAACUGUAACUGCUGGACGAGGCAAUGAAGUUCAGCCUCUUGGACGGUACUAAGUCCUUCGAUGAUCCCAUCAGAUGCUGCAUGUGGCUCCGAUGCCCUUACAAAGUAAUCAGCUAGGCUCAUGGUGUAUGGGCGAACAGGAUAAUAAAAGGGCGUAUGAGUCAAGCGAGCCCUCACCCUCUCCCUGUGCAAUCUCGCCAUAACGAUAAUCGGCCUUGGUGGGGAUGAAUCCGAGCCCGAAUGGUACGUCGUGAUAAGGGAAAGCCAUGAACUCACUAGGCCCGUGUUGGCGCCACCUUAACCCCAUACCGGGAAGAUAAGGCAUGCUCCGCAUAAUAUCGAGCACCACCGUGCUGGUCGAAGGACAUGGCUACAAAGUCUCGACAGAAAUCCUCCAUCUCCAGGGUUUGCACCUCAUCAAAGGUGAAUCUGGUCAGAAAAAAAUCAUCAUCAACGUGACUAAUCUCAAGUACGGGCUCGAUCGAAAUGAACAUAUCCCCUACAGACUGCACCACGACGACCCGACCACCAUGAAUAAACUUCACCCUCUGAUGAAGGGAAGAAAGAAUGGCCCCAGCUCUAUGGAUCCAUGGUCGGCCCAAAAGCAGGUUAAAGGAUGUAGGAAUCCUCAAAACUUGAAACAUGGUGACAAAAGUGGCUGGACCAAUCAAUAGCUCAAUCUCUAGUGUACCCAUGACCUCCCUCCGAGUGCUAUCAUACGCGCGAAUGGUCUGAGUGGAGGGGCUGAAGUCAGAAGGAGUGUAUCAGAGGGCAAUGGUCGUGGCAAAAGGACAUACGUUCAGGGUUGAGCCAUUAUCCAGAAGGACAGAUGGGACUCGGCGGCCUAAACAGCCAACGGAUAUGUAUAGAGGACGUGUGUGGUCCGAGCCCUCUGGUGGCAAAUCAUCGUCCGAGAAUACGAUGCAUGUGGCUCUACCGGCCAUCAUUAUUUGAAUCAAUCCCUUAGGGGAGGUGGUAGUCUCAACCCGGAUCUGCCUCAAAGCUCGAAUCACACAGUGCCCCAACUCAAACCCAAGUCCAAAGUCUCCAUGGGCAAGCCCAAGGCUCCAUCUUCAGCACCAACUUGGGCCGGGUGCCUCAACUUAAGCCCAAAACUUCAUCUCCUCCAUUGCUUGCCUCUCUGCCUGGAAAUCACCCUCAGAGGGAGCUCCUACCGCCGGUGGCACCAUGGACCACAACUUGUCGAUGUUGACGAUGGGGCAGUAGAGCUUGAUGCGGAGCUUGUGGAAGUGCCUCAUUCCAACCUUCCCGAAGUAGCCAAGGUGGUACUUGUCGAAAAAAGAUGCGGUGGUGAUGCAUACCUCCAGUAUUUCCGCGGCCACCAGGGUGCUUCUGGUGCUUGCCGAUCCGGCCAUGGCCGGCGCUGAUGUGUCCUCUCUUCUUCCUAUUCUUCUUGAACUUGGUUGUCAUCCUUGUACCUUGUACCGCCUAAGGCUUUUGAAUCUCUGGGGUGGUUUGCGGAGAGAAGAGAUAAUGUGAUAGGGAAGAUGAUGGGUGAGUCGGGUAUAAGGAGGUACAAGCAUGAUAGGCACGAGGGGUGCAUGUGAGGGUGUUUGGGUUUGAUGGAGAGGCACGGGUGAUGAAAGAAAACACGGGUUUAGUGGGUAUGGUGGGCUUGAUGAUAGAGAGAGAAAAGAUGAUGGGGAAAGGAAAUGAGGAAACCGGGUAUGAAGACGAGUGGAAUGGAAAAGGAGGCUUGACAGGUUGUAUUAGGAACAAAAGUUGUCGUGUCAUCCCCAAUGGAGCAGGAGGAAUAGAGACUGCUGGGUGUUGAGAGUACCAAGGCUGGGGGCGAGUAGGAGUGGACCAACCAGCAGGAGGCACGACUAAUGCACCACCACCAAGUUGUGAACUCGGGACCUCCACUUUAGCCAAUUUUGAUGGGACGUCUUCACCUUCCUCUCCAUAAUGAGCUGCUAAGAUUUCAUGUGGGAGAGCAUAUUCUCUAUUUUGGAGGUGACAGUCACGAACCCAGUAGAAUAAUUCAACAACUCUUUGGGCAAUGAAAAUGCGGCAAAUCAGGUUCCAAAACUAUGCCCAUGCGAAGACCAAAGGCGAUGUUGGCCAUGACCCUUUCUCCUUGGUGGUACGAAUAGCUUCCGAGAACAGAGAGUGAAUAGCAAGGAAGCAAGCACCAAAAAAAAAAAAAAAAAAAAACAGAGCAUCCAAAUGAACUUAAUAUAACACUUACAUGAGCCUUCUUUUAUAUUAAAGUUAAUAGGUUCCUGUAUAGGUAGGAAAGCCAGGUGGAAACAAGAUCCAAGGAUAUGAUUCAAACACAAAGGAGAGCUAAAAAAAAGGAAUUAAAUCACUCUCAGACAAAAUUUCACAUGGAGAACAAGGAACGAAUACAUUAUCACAUAGUUAUAGUGACCCAAAAAGAUGUGUAUAGCAAACAAAAUGUGGUUUAGAAAACGUACCUAAGGAUGCCCCCUCUCUUUUCCCCUGUUUUUUUUUUAGUUUCUCUGGAUCCCCCAUUUUCCUCUCUACCAGCCAGUUUCUAUCUUCUUGGGCAACCCAUUACCUGCUUCCCUGUUCAUCACAUCAGCAGCAUGGCCUCCUCAACUACCAACCUGACCAUCCAUGCCACAGCGGGUCUCUCCUUGCUGAUCCUCCAGAAAGGGGGUCCUCCCCCUUCUAAAAAAAAAACUUUCCUUGCCUCUUGUCGUCCUAAGGUGCCCUUUUGUUUUAAGUUAUGAAAACAAAUAUCAAUUGAAUAGUCCCAGCAAGCCAUUCUCUCAUGGCUUGAAAAGAGGGGUCUACAGAUAUAUAAUUUUUUUUAUAUAAUUUUUAGUUAUGAAAUUAAUAUUUAUAGCAAGAAAAUCAUAUUUAAAGACAAUAUUUAUGGAUGGAAAAUAGGUUUUUAAAAUUUUUUGCAAUAAAAUUUUAAUUUACACCAAUAAAUCCCAUUUAUCCACAAAAUCAAUUUGCAAUGAAUAGUUCUGUAUUUAUAAAUUAUUUGAUAGAAUUUUGAAAGAGAUGAAAUUAUCAAAUUGACGAUAAAAAUAUUGUUUUAUAGGUGAAAUUGAUUAAACAUGAGAAUGAUGAUGGCUUAUAUAAAACAUUUAUUAAUUGUUUAAAAUAAUUUAAAACUCAAAAAUCGAUAUAAUUAGUACUACAAAGUCGUGAAACUUAAUAAUAUUAGAAAGUUAUAGACCAAAAUUUAUUUUAUGACAUAUUUAGCUUCUUCUUUACAUAUAUCAUAUUUUUACUAAUUUUUUCAUUAGAUAAAUAAAUUUCAAAUCAAGCAAGACCUAUUGAGUUGGAUUCAUGAAUGACUCUAAUAAUUUUUAAAAAUAACUUAAAACUCAAAUAAUGAUCCAAUUAAUAUUAGAAAUUGAUGGAUAAAAAUUGGUUUAAAAUGACUAUUAUUAUUAUUAUUAUUUUACACAGAAUCUGAGAACCCCUUAAAAAGACCAAUGUUUUUUUUUUAUUAUUAUUCAUGGGAUUUAGCUGGAACCACCCGAGAGAUGGAGAGCUUUCUUGGUAGGAUGGGGGGGACCCCUUUUUGAAGGAAGGCAGCUUCAUAGACACAGCCGAAGGUGAUGGCCGGCCAUGCUUGCUGAUGGGGUAAACAGCAGGGCAAGUAGUGGCUUGCCAAGAAAUGAAAGAAAAACGGGGAUUUAGAGGAAAAAGGAAGAGGUUUUUAAAAAAAAGAGGGGAUUUUUUUCAGCUGGCUGGAGGAGACCUUGAAAGCUAUUGGAGGAAAAACACAGGUAUCAUUUCUACAAGCUGUGGAUUCUUUUGUGUUCAGGGUACUUUAUGAUGUCUUAUGGGUAUUAUGAGAUGCUAUUUUUGAUGCUUGAAUGUGCUUUUUUUUUUUUUUUUUGGGAUUCUCACAUAUUUUUAUGGAAUCUAAGCUUGCUUAUACUCACUCGAAGCUUGAUUUCCAACCUGUUCAUGGUCUCUGUUUUGAUGUUUUAUAUGAGAUGUUGGCAUUCACGUAUUGAUUUCUCUUUGGGAACUUAAAAUGGAACAAUAGAUGACAUUGAUGUUUCAGCCAAUGUAGUUGUUAUAAAUUUCUCCAUGCAUGCCACCACAUUUCCUCUCUCUACGUUCCCCAUUAUCCAUUACCCACUUCUCUUUCCAGCUCUCCACUCUUCCCCCCUCACCCCCAUACCCGCGUCAUGCCUAUUCCCAUUAGGACCCCGAAGUCACUCACCUACAUGCUUAGGAAUCGUGCAUGCGUGGAGCCAUGGACGGCGGCAGCAGGCUGCCACCAGCUUGUUGUGGAUGGUGGAGGCCGCACGCGGCGCUGCGUGAUGGUGUGCAGCUCCAGAAGGUGUCGCGGAGUGAAAGAAAUGGUGUGAACGGAGUUGUGGCAGCAAGGGAGCAGUCGGCUGUAGCAGGCCGUGAGGGUGUUCGCAUAAAAAAAAAAAAAGUGGAACGAACGGGAAAGAGAGUGGGAGGUGGCUGCCAAGAAGUUGGCUGGUGAAGAUGAUGAUGCCCAGGUGAAAAUGGUUUUGGGCUUAAGUUUGGGAGCCCAGCCCAAGCUUGUUGAUGGGGGUAGCAUAUUCUCAAGUAAUUGGGCUUGCCCUUGGUGGAAAUGGCUUUGGGCUUAAGUUGAAGCACCCGACCCAAGUUGAUGCUGAGGAUGGAUGCCUUGGGCUUGCCCAUGGCAAGGACUUUGGGCUUAAGUUUGAGAGCCCAGCCCAAGCUUGUUGAUGGGGGGCCUCAUGGCUCCUCAAGCUAGCCACCCUCAUGGCCCAAGCCUAUGUUGAGCUAGCCCAUUUGGUUGCCUCAACUCAAAAAAAAAUCUCUAUACCUCUAAUCUUUCAAAGAAAUCACAUAUCUUAAUUUAAUUUUUCAAUAACUAUUUCAAAUAUCAUUUUCAUCCAUUAGAAUUAUUUAUCCCAUAUUAUCUAGCUAUUUAAAGUCUAAAUCUUUCAAAGGAAUCAUAUGCCUUAAUUUAAUUCUUCAAUAAUUAGUUCAAAUCUCAUUUUCAUCCGUUAAAAUUAUUUAUCUAAUAUACUCAUCUAGUUAUUUAAAGUCUAACCCUUUCAAAAAUCCCAUGUCUUAUUUUAAUUUCUCCAUAAUUCGUUUAAAUCUUAUUUACGUCAAUUAGAAUUAUUAUCACAUGUUUAUCUAGUUAUUUAAAGCAUAAUCCUUCAAAAAUCGUAUGUCUUAGUCUAAUCUUUCAAUAAUCCGUUCAAAUCUCAUUUUCAUCAAUUAUAAUUAUUAUCCUAUAUUAAUCUAUCUAUCUAGUCUAAUCUUUAAAAAACCCCCUGUCUUAAUUUAAUAUUUUAGUAAUUUGUUUAAAUUUUAUUUUCAUCAAUUAGAAUUAUUAUCCCAUAUUCAUCUAUUUAUUUAAAAUCUAAUUCUAAAAAAAUCCCAUGUCUUAAUUUAAUUAUUCAAAUAUUCGUUUAAAUCUUAUGUUCAUCAAUUAGAAUUAUUAUCCUAUAUUCAUCUAUCUAUCUAGUCUAAUCCUUCAAAAAUCCCAUGUUUUAAUUUAAUUCUUUAAAUAUUUGUUUAAAUCUUAUUUUCAUAAAUUGAAUCAUUAUCCCCAUGUUUAUUUAGUUAUUCAAAAGUCUAAACCUUAAAAAAUCCCAUGUUUUAAUUUAAUUCUUUAAAUAUUUGUUUAAAUUUUAUUUUCAUCAAUUAGAAUUAUUAUCCCAUAUUUAUUUAGUUAUUUAAAGUCUAAUCCUUCAAAAAUCCCCUGUCUUAAUUUAAUAUUUCAAAAAUUUGUUUAAAUCUUAUUUUCAUCAAUUAGAAUUAUUAUCCCAUAUUCAUCUAUUUAUUUAAAAUCUAAUUCUUCAAAAAUCUCAUGUCUUAAUUGAAUUUUUCAAUCCUAGAAAUUCUACAAUUCGUUUAAAUUUUAUCCUCAUCAAUUAGAAUCAUUAUCCCAUAUCUAUUUAAAGUCCAAUCUUUCGAAAACCCCAUGUCCUAAUUUAAUUUUCAAUCCCAGAAAUUCCAUUAUUCACCUAAAUGUUAUUCUCAGUAAUUAGAAUUCUUAUCCCUUAUCUAUUUAUUUAUUUAAGGUCCAACUCUUCAAAAAUUCAACGUCCUAAUUUAAUUUUUAAUCUUAAAAAUCCCACUACUCACUUUCUAUUCGUUUAAAAUAUUGUUUCCGUUAAGUAGCAUUAUUAUUCCAUACUAUCUAUUUAAUUUAAUCGUUAAAGUUUAAUUCAUCAGAACCCGACUUCCAAAUCUAAUUUCCAACCUCAAAAGCUCCACCGUCCAAAUAUCGCCGUUCAAUGAUUAUUCUUGUUAUUAAUGUUAUCCCAUCUACUUACUUAUUCCGUUAUUCAUAUACCAAAGAUCUCAUCUCUAAAUAAAUUCUUAAGUUCUCAAACUCUAAGUUCACAUCUUCAAAUCUCUAAAAUUCCAUCUUUCGCAGUUAUUUACCUAAUCUUUAUUAUUUCACCAUCGUUAUUAUUCCAUUCCUUUACUUAUUCACUCAUCCACUUAUCCCCUCAUUUAAAAUCCCGAACUCUCAAAUCAUUUUCAAGUUUCCAAUCUCGUUCAAAUUUAAUUUCUAAAAAUUCUCAUUCUCGCAUUUAAUUUCUGAAAGUCCGAUCUUCAAAUAAACUGUAAAAUUCCAAAUUUUAAGUAACCUUUGAGACUCCAAUUUUUCAAAUGAAUUUCAAAAAUCCGAUUUCCUCUCCAAUUGUUUUUAAUUCCAUUUUUCGAACAAUCCUCUGUUUCUCUUGAUUUCAAUGAGCAUGAAUGAAUUUUUCAUAAUUCCGGAAUAAUAGAAUCUAUGAUAUUAAUUCAUGCAAAAUAAACGGGCUGUGGUGGGGGCCUUACAUGGGUGACUUUAUGAUUGAUUGAUUGAUUGUUUGCUUUGAUUAUCAUACAUGAUUGAUUUACCCUACUCUUUGACAUGCAUGCGAUUAUUCCUAAAUGGUGCAUUGACCCUCUCUAUUGAUAGCGCAUGGUGGCUCGUUGCCCAGGUAUGUACCCAUUUUCCCUCUAAUCGUUGUUUAUGCAUGUCUCGAUUCUUAUGUGUGCAUGAUCAUUAAGGAUAUUCAUUGAUUUAUUCAUCAAUUUCCAUGUCAGCUUCAUUUUAUUAGUAGAGACCCGACUUUAAGGACUUAGAGGGGUGUUAUGGUCUUUACCGUACCUUCCCGAUAAGUAACCUGACCCCCGAGCCCGAUCCAGUUUUUCGUAGAUCACCUUUCCCAAAAUAAGGAGUCGCACUUAGGGUUUUCUUUCUUAUUUUUUUUACCCUUUUAAAAAUAAAACAAAAAUAAGUUGCGACACCAAGUCAUUUUCUUAAUCAAUAAAAAUCAUUUUUCAAAUUAAAAUCGAGCUCACCAUCAAGUGGAAAACGCAUGAGCCGAAAUGCAGGGUCCAUAGAAUCAUUAUUUUUUGAUUUUAUUUUAUUAGACAAAUAAACUACAAAUUAAACAAGACUUAUUACAUUAGACUCAUCAAUGAGUCUAGUAGUUUUUAAAAAUAACUUAAAACUCACAUAGUGAUCCAAUCAAUAUCAGAAAUUGAUGUACAAAAAUUGGUGUAGAACGACUCUUAUUUCUCUUCUACAUAGAAUUAUUAUUUUUCGAUUUUUUUUGUUUGCUAGGCAAAUAAACUCUAAUUUAAACAAAACUUAUUGCAUUGGAUUCAUCAACGAGUCUAUUUUUUUUUUUUAAAUAAUUUAAAACUCAAAUAAUAAACCCAUUAAUAUAAAAGUUUAUGGAUAAAAAUUGGUUUACAAUUACUAUUAUUUCUUUUCUACAAAUAAUUAUAUUUUUAUAAUUUCUCUUAAUAGAAAAAUGAACUUCAAAUCAAGUGAUGCUUUAUAUUAAAUUUAUUAUUGGGUUUAACAAUUUUUAAAAAUAAUUUGGAACUCAACAAAUAGAUCUAAUCACUUAAAAAAACUAAUAAAUUAAAAUUGAUAUAUUAUGAGUCUUGACUUUACUAUUUCUCUAUACACACAACUCUCUCUCUCUCUCUCUCUCUCUCUCUCUCUCUAUAUAUAUAUAUAUAUAUAUAUAUAUAUAUAUAUAUUAAUUUUCUCACUAUGCAAAUAAAUUAUAAAUUAAGUAAGACAUAAUUAAUAAUUUAAAUUCUUUAAUGAAUUUUUAUUUUUAAAUAAUUUGGUUAUCUAAUUUUUAAGAAUAAUUUGGAAUUCAAAAAGUCAAUCUAGUUAAUUUCAAAUUAAAUCAAAAUAUUUUAGAAUAUUAUGUUCAUAAUUGAAUACUAAAUAUGUGCAUCUAAUAAAAAAACUUGGCUCAUUUAUAUGUUAAAAAAUUAAACUUUAUUUGUUAUUCAUUUUAAAUGAAAUAUUAUUAAUAAUUAUUAUUUUAAAAUUAUUGUUAUUCGCUUUUAACAAAAAAUUUACGAAGUUGUUAAUAUCCUUAUGUUUUUAAACAUAUACUAUAAUAUUACUAUUCAUGUUUUACUAAAAACUAUAUAUUUGUUAAUUUAUUUAUAAUUACAAAACUAUUUUCAGUUUUAAUAAGAUCUAGAAUAAAAUUUCACUAAUUUUAUAUAAAUUAAAUUUACAAUAUUUUUACCAUAUUAAAAUAGAAAAAAUAUUUUUAAAAACAACUUAUCCAAAUAAAGUUUUUGUUAUUUAUUUUUAAGAAUUGUUUUUAAAAACAACUUGCUAAAUAUCCUUAUUUUUAUAAAAUACUAAAAAACUGUUUUUGGUUCUUCAACUUAGAAACAAGUCUUUGAAAAUAUCCCUAAAUAUGCAUAUCCAGAACUUACAUGAGGCCUUUUCAUCAAGGAUAUCAAGGCCAUUUUGCUUUAUAUAUACUUGUUUUUCUAUUAGGUUGCCAAGAAAAAUUUUGGAAGUGUACUAGUCUUUUCUUUUUUCCUUUUUCUUUUUACAUAUUUAUGGAAGUGGUUUUGUGUAACACCCCUACCUAGAAUCAAGGAUAUUUAUGUAAUACGCCAAUUAAAUAAAAAAUUAAGAGAAGAUAAGUAAGAUAUUUUUGGUUCCUAUAACUAGUUACUAUCUUUAUCUUGUUAUGAUUUUCUCCCUUCCAAUUCUUCAUCCUUGUUAUUAGGAAUGAUAUAAAAAAAUAUAAAGAGAAUAGAGUUUUUAUGAUUAAUCUUUCAAGGAAAGCAUCUAACCUAUAAAGUUAAUAUUUCGGUCCCAUUUUCGUGGUUGUGUAAAAUAAAUAACCUUGAAUCUUUUAGGUAUUCUCUUGAAAGAUUUGAAUUUAGGAUUAGUUUAUUUAAGAAAAAAAUGAAUAUAGAUAGGUUGAUUUAUCCAUGAAGAUAGGAAAAUUGUAUAGAUCCAAAUCAAUUUAAAAAAUAAAAUAAAAAUCUUUUGCAACAUUAGAAGAAAAAAGUACAAACUUAGAUGGCCUAUUGGUUUAUUGUUACAUGUUUGAAAAAAAGAAAAAUAAAAAGAAAAAUGAGAUAUUUUUAUGGGUUACAACUUUUAUGUUGUAAGUGUUAGGAUAAAGCCCUUGAAAACAUGACAUGAUAUAAUAAAUUUGGAAUUUAUUAUUUAUUUAAUUAUAUUUUAGUUUUACUUUUAUAUUUCCUUGUUUUAAUGCAUUCUAUUUUAUGAGUAUUUUAACCUGUAUUUAUUACAUUUUACAUGACUUGAGUGCAUUAGGAGUUUCAUGGAAGAUCUAAUUCAUAGGUUUUUUACAAGCAAAUGAUUUGUUUACAACCAAAUUGAUUCCACGUGAUGAAAAUGAAGACUGAAGUCGCAAGAAGUAUAAUAAACUCAGAGUCUUUCACUUGAUCACUCGAACCUUGAUCUUGACACACUUCCGAUGGGGAUGGAAGAGAGGGUGGAGACUAUGACUUUCUCUCUCUCUCUCUCUCUCUCUCUCUCUCUCUAGGUGGAUGAAAACUCUCUAGAAAAAACUAUGGAAACCCUAACCUCUAAGGGGGUAUUUACAGGGUUUCCCAUUGGGCUUUAAUAACUUGAACCCACUAAGGCUUAAGUCACUUAACAUAGCUUAAAAUGGGUCAUAAUUGAUUAAUUAACCCAAUAGACUCUACAAAUUAAUCAAUUAGCCCAAUCUAGAGACCUUGUUCACUUACCCUUGUACAACCUUGCAUAAUUACCAAAAUGCCCUUAUGCACAAAAGUGAACUUAAGUCAAUCCAACCCUCAUAACCCAUGCUAACAAAAUAUAUAAGCUCAAAACAGGAACCACUAGGACCUAUAGGAGUAGUAGCUCCCUUAAAAUCCAAUUCUAAAGUUGAUUCAACAACCUACUACAAAGUAUUAAUUGAACUCCAAUAUCCCAUGUAAAUAACAAUGAGACAUUAUGUGCUCGAGUUCGUGAGUUGCUAUCCAUUGUGUCCAAUCUUUCCAUUAAUUGAUAUUCGUAGUCUAAUAAGGUGAAAACUAUCAACCUUUCAAGAUUACCUCUACUAUCUUUUAGUUAUAAACCCUCCUAUUGUGUAUUUAACUAACAUAUCAUACCUUUCCAAGAGCAUGAUGUCAAGUUCCACUUAAGAACUACUAUGACCAUGGUUUACAUGAAUGCACUUUUUUAGGAUCAACCUAUUGGGAUUGAGCCCUUAAAAGUAAGACAUGAUGUAACAAAGUUAGACUUAACUAUCAUUUUUCUAUCCUUUUGGUGUAUUGACAUUGAUUCGAGCAUUCAACCCAUGUCUUUUACAUUGUUCAUGACUUAAGUGCAUUAGGAGUUGCACAGAAGAUACAAGUCAUGGGUUCCUUGUAAGUAGAUAAGUUGUCCACAAUUGGUUCAUAGAUUUAGGCAAUCCAUUAGAGACUGUAGUGCACCAUCUCCUAAUUGGAGGGAUGACUUGUCUUGGUCAUCAUGAUGGGUUUCCCACAGUGAAUGUACUAGUAUAUGUGAUGCACACUAGAUAGGACCUAUAGUGAAUCAUGACGCAAGACUAUCAAUUUUCAUGAUUCACUAAACUACUAUACUGCAUGGACUCUCAUCAUUGAGAGGAUAUUGAGCCUAUGCCAAAAUCAAUAGGAGGCUUUGACCUAUGGGUGAGACCCUAAAGUGGUCAUAUAUCCCUAUGGAUUGGGUCACUAUUAAUGGAGGCGGAUGGCCAUAGGUAUUCUUAAUAAAGGCACCAUAAUAUCUCAUGAGAUUGAGACAAUGUAUCAUCUUGGCUAAUCCAAAGGACAUGUGAUCAUGAAAUAUGUGGCCACAGUAAUUCCUUUAGUGGAAUUUGACUUAUGCUCAUUGGAGUUAGAGUAUGUCAUUUGAUCACAUAAUAAGUGAGAUCUAUAAAUCAAGGAUUUGAGAGUUAAUCUUGAUAAGUGAUAGCACUACCUUGUUAGAUUACGAACACCAGUUCAUAGGGAGUCUAUAUAUAGUGGAUAGUAGGUCACAAACUUGAGCACUUAGUGUCUCGUUGUAAUAUACAUAAGAUAUUGGAAUGUAGUUAACUCUCUGUAGUGGGAUGUUGAUUCAAUUUUAGAAUUUGAUUAUGAGAGAGCUAGUACUCUUAUGGGUCCUAAUGGUCCCUGUUUUGAGUUCAUAUUCUUUGUUGGCAUGGUUUAUAAGGGUUGGAUGGGUUUUUAGUUCACUUUUGUGCAUAAGGGUGUUUUGGUAAUUAUGCAAGGUUGCACAGGGAUAAGUGAGUUGUAUCUCUGGACUGGGUUAAUUGAUUAAUUAGGCCUUAUAUGGUUAAUUAACCAAUUAAAAAUCUUUUUAGGCUAGAUUAAGUGACCCAAGCCCAUGGUGGACUUAAGUCACUUAAGCCUAGUAAGAAGUCUAUAAAUUCCCCUUUAAGGGUUAGGGUUUCUAAGUCUUGCUAUUCUCCCCUUCAAUAUAAAGUGAACCUCUACCCUUGAGAUCUCCACCAUCUUAGUGCCUAGACACCAAAAAAAGUUAUCUGGCAGAAGAUCAUGGUGUUUACGAGAUCCAUUACAACUUUAGAGUUAUCUUCACCGUAAGAAAUUGAUAUGGGAACAUUCAGAUCUAGGUAUGAACAUUUUUUUUUUUAGUUCUAUGUUUUUUAUGAUAUCAAUAUUGGUUUUUGAAUAACUAUUUAUUCGUUGCGAUAGAUUUAGAGAGCCUAGGAUAGAUUUUCAUGCACACAUAAGCCAAGGGAACCACCCAUAAGCCAAAAGGCUUCCUUUGUUGCUAUGAAAAUAACAAAAGACCACUUAGAGUGUACACAUACCCAGAGGUAGACUUGCGAGAGUCUUUAUCAGAUUAAAGUCCGAUUUCUCGGUACAAAAGGAGUACCAACUCAUCGUAAAGACUCAAAAACAUAUAAUCCUUCGUUCUCCAAAGAUACUAGAGUGUAUGUUUGACAUCCACCCAAAGCUCUAAUUAGGAAAUUGACUAAUAUUCACUCAUUAUUCCUACAAUAAAGAAAAUAUUUAGUUUAGCACAUAGCAUCACAUACUUAAGGUUAUCCAUUACAAAGGCAUUGGAUACCACCUUAAUGCGAUCUUUCUCCUUAGAUGUCCAAUGACAUUAUUCCUAAGAAAGACAACUCCAAAUCCAAAGAGUAACAAACUCUUCUUGGAGUUUUGCAUCAUAUGCUUGACCAAAUGUUUAUCUAUGUAGGUGACAUGAUGCAAUUUUCCUAUUCUUGUAUAAAAGACUUUAACCCCAAGGAUAUAUUGUGUCUUCUUCUAGAUUUUCAUCUAGAAUUGAGUAGACUACCAGAUCUUGACUGAUGACAAUAUCCUUACUUCAUAUCCAAUGAGUAGAUUAUCAUCUAUCUAGAAGAUCUUAGAGCAUCGCAAUGCUUCCUUAUGCCUUAUUGUACACACAAGGCCCUUUGCUAUGAAAAUGUUUGGUUGUUGUAUCUUACAAAUGUGACACACUGCAAUAGAUAGGAGUAAUUUGAUGGAUUUAAGUAUGACUAUUGUUGAAAAGGUUUUCCGAAGUCGAAACAAAGUUUCAAACUAUAACCUUUAGCUACAAUCUUAGCCACAUAAAACUCAAGCUUUCCAUAUUCUCUUGUGUUCCUCUUGUAGACCAACUUACACCUACGGGUUUUAUCCCUUUAGGUGUUUCUGUAAGAACCCAAACUAUGUUAGAAUACAAAGAUUCUAACUACCUCUUCAUAGCUCCUUGCCUUAAGUGAGCACAAACACUACUCAUUGCUUCAUCAUAAUCUAUGGGAUAUGAACCUCCCAUUAUGAUAAGGCACUAGUGUACUAGAAAUCAUAGGAUUGGUAUGUCUUUAACCCUCUGGAUCCAUAGUAUCCUAUGCAAUGUGGGACUAUCUUCUAAUAUAUCCUCCAAUUUGUAUCACUCUUUGCCUCAAUCCUUAUCAUGUAAUCUUCACAAACAAUCUGACAUUUAUGUUAACAAAUAUCUUAUGAUGAUCCUAAUUAUAAAGGUAAUAACCCAAAAAUCCUCUUAGAUAUCCUAUAAACUAAUAUACAUUUUAAAAAAAAAGAGAUAUUACACUGUCUAUAAGACAUAUCCUCAAAAGAAUCCAAGAAAAGAUGAGAAACCUGUCCAUGAUCUUACUAUGUUUAACCAAGUUUGAUAUCUUCUUUCCACCUCUCCAUUUUGCAAUGGAGACCCUAGUGCACAUGACUAGGAAAUAAUCUUGUGCUCCAAUGAAAAAAAUCAAACUUAUUCGAUAUAUCACCUUGAUCUAAUCGAAGUGACUAGUAAUGUAUACCUAAUAGGUUAUCUGAUCCCGCCUUAAAUUCAAUGAAUGUAUCCAAGGCAUCGGAUCUCCAAUGUAUACAUUCAAACCUAGAGUAAUCAUCACUAAAAGUGAUCAAAUACCCAUACCCUCCCCAUGCAUGGACACUAAAAGUUCCAUACAUAUCAGUAUGCACUAACUUCAAACAUUUGUUGGCUCUAGUCUUCUUGGUCAUUUUACCAUCUAUAUAGGAUUUAUAGACUGAAAGAUCUUUUGGAAUCAAAGAGUCCAAACUUUACCAAUCUUUGGAUCCUAUUUAGAUUAAUAUGACCUAGGUCUAGAAACCAAAUGUUUAGUUAGUGCUGGGUUUAAUCCUAACAUCUAACUAUUCUUAUCACUUGGCAAAGUAAUAAUGGAAUACAUAUAAAGAAAGAGGAUAUUACCUCCCACUAAAUUGCAUAACUAACCUUGCAUUUGAAGCUAAGGUAAGUAUAAUCCUAUCAUUUAACCUUCUCACUUGUUGAAUAUCCUAUAAGGACUUAUAGAUAAUGGGCUUGGAAUCUAUCCACCAUAAAUGGUGAAAUCCAUCACUAAAUAUUCAACAAUGAGAAAAUAAUAUAUACUUUCCUUUUUUCCUUUAGGUAAACUAUAAAUUCCUUUUCUAGUGUCCUAAAAGGUCACAAAGGAGGCAUUUUCCCUUGUGCUUGCUCUCUUAUUCCUUCUCUUGAACCUUCCUUAUUUGAUAUUGUCCUUCUUCUUCUUGAGAGAAGAACCUAAAGAACCUUUGAUUUCCAUAUGAACGCCCUAUAAUAUUUGAGAAUCCCCUUAACCACCCCAAAGGAAAAUGGCAAGGUCUUUAAGAUCAUAUGUAUACCUGGUGUUCAUAAUGGUUCUAAGAGUAGCUUGUCAGAGCAGACUUACCCUUAUCACCAAAUAACCAUUGCAAACUAGAAAGAGAAUAUCAAAGUCUCUAGUAAUAGACAUAUGUUGCUAUUGUAACACAUUAUCCAAAGAUCCAAGUAUUAGACACUUGGUCUUUUGAUCAGUUUAAUACCACCUUGAUAUACCACUAUUUCCUUUUGCUAGGUUAGUUAAAAAGGAAUAGCUAGCUUUACCUAAACUAGCUCCUAUGUAAUUUGUUACUAUAUCCAGAAUAAAAUUAGUCCAAUUGAUUAGUUAGGCUUGCCCUAUUGUGAGAAGAAGAGUGAUAAUAGAACCAACAUGAUAUCUGUAACAAAGAAUAUAACUAAGCAUAUGACAUAAUUGAGCAUUCAUGGCAAUUGGUAAUUAAUUUAGCAAAAAUGUAGUGGUCUAAAACUACAUGUCCUUUUGCAAGGUAUCUAGUAUUAUAAGAAUCAAGCCUACAUGAGGCAGGUCACCUUAUAACUAGUUAGAGACCCUCUUAGAUUGAUCUCUUAACCUUAACCAUAAAGGUAUCUAAAAGCAAAAUCAACAUACCUUUUAUUUGGCACAUGGACUAUUCAAGUGGGAUUGCGUGGGGGCAAUUCUACCACUUCAUAUCCAUUGUCAAGUGUAUAACCAUUAUCCUUGAACUAUCAAUGUCAUCAAGUAAAGAAUCCCAUCAUGGGGGUGGUCCCUCCUACUAUAAACAUAUUUAAUCUCGUCCAUGUGGAGAGCCAUAUCUCUUGAUUCUUAGAGAUAACCCAUUGUGGGGGUGGUGAUGAACCCAAAUCAAGAUGGGCUCAAUAAUGGAGGCCGUGGGCUUGCCUAAGGCCCUCUCCCACUUAGUCUUUUGAGAUAAAUAAGAGCAUUUUAAAACCAAUAGUAAUUUCCCUAAUGCAUAAAUUAUCUAUUUUGAAAAUUUCCAAAAACAUAUGUUUCAUAAUUGGAAACCUAGUGUAAGAGGAGAAUACCAACAUGAAAAAUUUAAAAUUUCCAUGAGAGUAAGUUUCAAAAAUAAUUUUGAUAAAAUAUCCACUCUAAAAAAUUUUAAAACUAUUUUCAUACCAUUCUCCUUGUAUACACAAUUCCAGUAAGGAAAUUACCAAUUUAUGAGACUUUGAAUAAUCUUGAGAGCACCUUAUCCAAGAAAGGAACUUUUGCUUCUAAUAAAAAAUCCUCGUAAGAUUUACUUUCCUUAUUCCUUGCACUUUCCAACUUAAUAAAUAUUUCCAUGGAAAUUCCAUAAUAAUUUAUUCCAUUAAAUACUACAAAAAAUAGAACCUUUUAGUAAUUCUGUAAUAUAUAAAAUAUUUUCUAUGAAAAUCUUCCAAAAAUUUUUAUUUCCAAAAAGGAAUUAAACAAUCCAUUUUGGAAAGUAUUUUCAAAAUAUUUUAUAUCUCCAUUAAAUUACUAACACUUUCCAAAGUUAUUUUGGUAAACCUUCGUAUAAUAAAUUAUCUAUCAUGAGAUUUUCCAAAUCUAUUAUUUACUUUUAAACCGAAACUCCUAUGCUAAAAGAAUUGCUAUCUUAUUCCUUAUUAUUGAAUUAUCCAAACAAAAUGGUUUCCUCAUUCUCUCUAGGGGAGAGAGCUUGGAGAAACAACUAUAAGCAUAGUUUUCCUUAUCUUAUCAAGAAAAAACAAGAAAACAUCCUAAAGUUUUUUUAAAAAUAGAUAGUUUUAAAUAAAUAACAAUCUUAUUAGCAACAACGAGUUUAAAUAAAUAAUAUUGGAAAAUAUCUUCUCAUAAAAAUUUACUAAGAAUACCAAAAAACUUUUCUUUGGGUUCUAAUACUUAUUUUGGUAACUAUUUUAAUUAUAAAUUAUCUACCAUUAAUUUCCAAAAUUAACUUAUUUUCUUUAAAUUGGAAAUCCUAUGCAAAAUAGGAAAAACACUAUUUUAUAUAGAUUUGGAAAAAUAAGAGCUUUUCCUUAAAAGAAAGAUUUUAUUCUUAGAGAUCUCAAAUAUUUGAAAAUAUUUUAAAUAUAAUUAAAAUCUCUAAGAAUUUAUUUUAAAAAGGUAAGAAAGCUCUUAAUCCUUUUUCCAACUUAUCUUUUCUUUGAAAUAAAUUUUCCUAACCAUGCACAUUCCAAUUUAAAUAAAUUUCCAAUUUUGAAAAAAGCAUGAAAAUUUAUUUCCAAUUAAGAAUACCAAAAUAUCUUGAGGCCACAUAUGCAAUUAAUCAAGAACGUAUAAUAAAACAAGGGAAUAAAAAAAUAGAAACCUUUUUUCAUGGCCUUUAAGGAUACUGUUGCAUAUUUGGUAAUUAAAAUUUGUAUAAAAUCCAAAUUACCAAAAUUAAUCCUACAACCACAAAUUGGGUUAGUUAAAAUAGAAAACCUAAAAGGGCCAAUUUCCACCAAAAAUUAAUCCUAAGAAGCUCGGACAAAAAAAAAUAAAAAAUUGGACCCAUAUGCAAUCCCAUAACAACAUACUCUUUCCACAACAUUGCAUGCUUCAAUUAGCAAUAUCUCCCUCGUUUCAACUCCGAAUUGUGAUCCGUUUGAAGCGUUGGAUUUCUAAAUUCUCAAGAUUCAAAAUGAUAUGUGAUUUUCUAUGAGAAAAUAAUUGAAAGCAACCUCGAUUAUGGCUCAAAGUCGACGUCAUUUUGCUGCCAUGCACUUUGCACAAACUUGCUUCAUUCGACCACAUCUUCCUCAUUUCAACUCCGAAUUGCAAUCCAAUUAAACCAUUGGAUUCAUGAAUUCACAAUAUUCAAAUCCAUAUAUAGCUUACCCCAAGAAACUAUUGGGAGUUAGUCUUGAUUUUGAGUUCAAGUCAAUGUCACCAAGGAUCUCAAACUAAGAAUUUCCAAGAAUGCUUAUUUUUUCUUUAACCACCAUAGAAUCUAAAAAAAAAAUGAAAUUUUUGCAACAAUAAAAAUUUCUAUGCUUCUUUAAUGGAGCUUACAACCCAUUUAUUGAAAAGCAAAGAUUUUUACAACCAAAUAAAAAUUCUAUACCCUUUAUGGGGUGUACAACCCAAUCUAAAGAACAAUAAGGCAUAGAUCAUAUUCAAUCAAAUGAACAAAUAACAAUCAAUCACAAUUAGAAUCAUCAUAUUGACAUUCAUUCAAUUGAACAAAUAAAAACAUUUGAUUCUUUCAUCCCUUUGGGCCAUGGGAUGAAUAAAACAACCCUACAAAACAGAGUAAACACACCUUAGAACAGAUCUAAGAUGCUAGAACCUAACCUGUCUCUAAUACCAGUUGUUGGGAACUCUGGAUUACUCCAUUUCCAUGCCUUGGAUCAUGUAAGGUGCAAUAAAACCUAUCCUAGGCUCUCUAAAUCUAUCGUAGCAAAUAAACAGGUAUUCGAAAACAAAUAUUGAUUCCAUAGAAAACAUAGAUAUAGAGAAACAAUGCUCAUACUUUGAUCUGGAUGUUCUUAGAUAAAUUCCUUACAGUGAAGAUAACUCUAAAGUCAUAAUGGAUGUUGUAAACACCAUGAUCUUCCACUGUGAUAGAUUUAAAAAGCCUAUGAUAGAUUUUCAUGCACCCUACACGAUCUAAGCCAUGAGAACAUAGUAAUCUAGGGUUCUUGUAGACCCCUCAUUUUGCCCACGACACACAUAGGCUACUAUCCAAGUAAAUCAUUGUAAUUCAUCAACUUGUAGUCUCCGAUUCUUCUUCAGAAGCUUUUUGGAGGAUAAAUUACAGAACUUUGAUGUGAUCAUCUAAACCUUUGAAUUUGUAACUUAAAGUUUUCUGAUUAUUCAAACUUAUCAUUAACCAUAAACUAAAACAAAAAUAUUAAAUAAUUCUUUUAAAACAAAAUAAAAUAAGUUGUCUUCUUAAACAAUACACAUGCCAAAAUACUCAUUUAUUUAUUUAUUUUCUUUAAUAAUUCAUGACCAAAUAAAUAAUAAAAUAAAAUAAAAUAAAAUAAAAAUAUAAUAAUAAUAAUAUUAAUAAUAAAUUAAAUAAAUAAAUAAAUAAAUAAAAAUAAAAAUAAAACAUAGCAACGUUGAAAUUCAAUUUUGUUAAUACUAUCUAAUUCAUGUUUUAAAAUAUAAACUAAAAAUAAAUCUUUUUUUUAAUAAUAAACAAAUAUAUCAUGAACCUCAAAUAAAAAUAUACAUGAGUUCAUAAUAACUAGCAAAAUUCACACUCAAGAUAAAUCAUUUUUUUUAAUAAACACAAAAUUUAUAUAUUUUCAUAAAUUAUUCUAUAGUUACCAUUGAAGGUUUAUUAUUAUUAUUUAUUUUAUAUAUAUAUAUAUAUAUAUAUUAUAUUUUUUCUAACUCAUGCACCACUCACCUUUAUCUUUUCUUUUAUAUAUAUGCACUAGCUACAACCCCAUCAAUGCUAUCACAUCUCUCUGCCACAAUCCAAUUUUGGCUUCCCACACCACCUCAACACAUAUCCAUCAAUCCGACCUAUUCCCCAUGCCGUAGCCAUACUUUUAAUUGCCCAAGACACACCUCAAAUUAACCCUCACCAAGCUGCCUAUCUCCUACAAUAGCUCAUUUUCUUAGUUGCCCAAAAAACCUAUCUCUAUCAUACUCACUUAUCUUUUAUUCCUACCACAACCACACACUCUCUCAAGCUAUCGAAACUACAUCAAUUCACCUUCUAGCUGCCCUACCCCACUGUAUGUGAACCAUUAGCUCUCUUUUACAAGUUGUAGCAGUCAUAAUCAAUAGCACCUCCAUGUUUAGCUUGUAGAUUAAUUCUGAAUUUUUUUUAAUAAACAUAAAAUUUAUAUAUUUUCAUAAAUUAUUCUAUAGUUACCAUUGAAGGUGUUUUUUUUCUAACUCAUGCACCACUCACCUUUAUCUUUUCUUUUAUAUAUAUGGACCUACUACAACCCCAUCAAUGCUAUCACAUCUCUCUACCACAACCCAAUUUUGGCUGCCCAAGAUCACCUCAACACAUAUUAAUCAAUUCGUCCUAUCCCCCAUGUCGUGGCCAUACUUUUAAUUGCAUAAGACACACCUCAAAUUAACUCCCACCAAGCUACCCAUCUCCUGUAAUAGUUCAUUCCUAAAAAGCCUAUCUCUAUCAUCCUUACUUGUUCUUUAUUCCUACCACAACUGCACUCUCUCUUAAGCUACUGAAACUAUAUCAAUUCACCUUCUAAUUGGCCUACCCCACUGUAUCUGAACCAUUAGCACUCCUCUACCAGUUGUAGCAGCUGUAAUCAAUAACUCCCCCAUGUUUAGUUUGUAGAUGAAUUCUGAAAUUAUUUUUUUAAUAAACACAAAAUUUAUAUAUUUUCAUAAAUUUUUCUAUAGUCAUUAAAGGUUUUUUUUUUCUAACUCAUGCACCACUCACCUUUAUAUUUUCUUUUAUAGAUAUGCACCUACUACAACCCCAUCAAUGCUCAAAUUAACUCCUACCAAGCUGCCAUCUCUUGCAAUAGUUCAUUUUUUUUUUAUCUAACCAAAAAACCUAUCUCCAUCAUUCUCACUUGUCAUUUAUUCCUACCACAACCACACUCUCUCUUAAGCUACCAAAACUACAUUAAUUCUCUUUCUAGUUGCUCUACCUCACUGUAUGAGAACCAUUAGCUCUCCUUUACCAACUGUAGCAGCUAUAAUCAAUAGCACAUCCAUGUUUAGCUUGUAGAUUAAUUUUGAAAUUAUUUUUUUAAUAAACACAAAAUUUAUAUAUUUUCAUAAAUUAUUCUAUAGUUACCAUUGAAGGUUUUUUUUUUAAUUCAUUCACCGCUCACCUUUAUAUUUUCUUAUAUAUAUACACUUGCUAUAACUCCAUCAAUGUUAUCACAUCUCUCUACCAAUGCUUAAAUUUGGCUGCCUAAGACCACCUCAACACAUAUCCAUCAAUCCGUCUUAUCCUCUAUGCCGUAGCCAUAAUUUUAACCACCCAAGACACACAUCAAAUUAACCCCACCAAGCUGCCCAUAUCCUGCAAUAGUUUUUUUUUUUGUUGCACAAAAAGCCUAUGCCUAUAUUCCUCACUUGUUCUUUAUUCCUACCAUAACCACACUCUCUCUUAAGCUAUCGAAACUACAUCAAUUCACAUUCUAGCUACCCUACCCCACUAUAUGUGACCUAUUAGCUUUCCUCUACCAAAUAUAGCAGCCCUAAACAAUAUCACCUCUAUGUUUAGCUUGUAGAUGAAUUCUGAAAUUAUUGUUUUAAUAAACACAAAAUUUAUAUAUUUUCAUAAAUUAUUCAAUAGUUACCAUUAAAGGGUUUUUUUUUCUAACUCAUGCACCACUCACCUUUAUCUUUUAUUUUAUAUAUAUGCACCUGCUACAACCCCAACAAUACUAUCAUAUCUUUCUUCCACAACCCAAUUCUUGCAGCUCAAGACCAUCUCAACACAUAUCCAUCAAUCUGUCCUAUCUCUCCUGCUGUAGCGAUACUUUUAACUAGCCAAGGCAAACCUCAAAUUAACCCUUACCAAGCUACCCAUUUCCUACAAUAGUUCAUUUUUUUUACUGCCCAAAAAACCUACCUUUAUCAUCCUCAAUUGUCUUUUAUUCCUACCACAACCAUACUCUCUCUUAAGCUACCGAAACUACAUCAAUUCACCUUCUAGAUGCCUUACCCCAUUAUAUGUGAACCAUUAGCUCUCAUUUACUAGCUGUAGUGGCCAUAAUAAAUAGCACCUCCAUGUUUAGCUUGUAGAUUAAUUCUGAAUUAUUUUUUUCAUAAACACAAAAUAAUAAAAAAUUACUAACUGAAGAUUUUUUUUCUAACUUAUGCACUACUCACCUUUAUCCUUACUUUUAUAGAUAUGCCCCUGCUACAACCCCAUCAAUACUAUCACAUCUCUCCGCCACAACCCAAUUUUGGCUGUCCAAGACCACCUCAACACAUAUCCAUUAAUUCGUCCUAUCCCCCAUGUCGUAGCCAUAAUUUUGACAACCCAAGACACACAUCAAAUUAAUCCCCAUCAAGCUGCCCAUCUCUUGUAAUAGUUCAUUUUUUUUAGUUAUCCAAAAAACCUAUAUCUAUUUCCCUCACUUGUCAUUUAUUCCUACCACAACCACACUCUCUCUUAAACUACCGAAACUAUACCAAUUCACCUUAUAGCUACCUUACCCCACAGUAUGUGAACCAUUAGCUCUCCUUUACCAGAUGUAGUAGUCGUAAUCAAUAGCAUCUCCAUAUUUAGCUUAUAGAUUAAUUUUGAAAUUAUUUUUAUAAUAAACAUAAAAUUUAUAUUUUUUCAUAAAUUAUUCUAUAGUUACCAUUGAAAGUUUUUUUUUUUCUAAUUCAUGCACCACCCACCCUUAUUUUUUCUUUUAUAUAUAUGCAUCUGCUACAACCCCAUCAAUUUUAUCACAUUUCUCAACCACAACCUAAUUUUAGCUGCCCAAGACCACCUUAACACAUAUCCAUCAAUCCUUCCUAUCCCCUAUGCCAUAGCCUUACUUUUAACUACCCCAGUCACACCUCAAAUUAACCCUCACCAAGCUGCCCAUCUAAUACAAUAGUUUAUUUUUUUUUGCUGCUCAAAAAACCUAUCUCUAUCAUCCUCACUUAUCCUUUAUUCCUACCACAUACAACUAGACUCUCUCUUAAGCUAUCGAAACUACAUCAAUUUACCUUUUAGUUGCCCUACCCCACUGCGUGUGAACCAUUAGCUCUUCUUUACCAAUUGUAGCAGUCGUAAUCAAUAGCACCUCCAUGUUUAGCUUGUAAAUGAAUUUUGAAAUUAUUGUUUUAAUAAACAAAAAAUUUAUAUAUUUUCAUAAAUUAGUCUAUAGUUACCAUUAAAGGGUUUUUUUUUUUUUUUUGCUAACUCAUGCACCAAUCACCUUUAUAUUUUAUUUUAUAUAUAUGCACCUUCUACAACCCUAACAAUACUAUCACAUCUCUUUGGCACAACCCAAUUUUGGCAACCCAAGACCUCCUCAACACAUAUCCAUCAAUUCGUCCUAUCCCCCAUGUCGUAGCCAUACUUUUAACUGCCCAAGACAUACCUAAAAUUAACCCCCACCAAGAUGACCAUCUCUUGCAAUAGUUCAUUUUUUUUAACUGCCCAAAAAACCUACCUUUAUCAUCAUCACUUGUCCUUUAUUCCUACCACAACCACACUCUCUCUUAAGCUAUCAAAACUACAUCAAUUCAGCUUCUAGCUGCCUUACCCCACUGGCUGUAAACCAUUAGCUCUCAUCUACUAGCUAUAGCAGCCGUAAUCAAUAGCACCUCCAUGUUUAGCUUAUAGAAUAAUUAUGAAUUUUUUUUUCUUAGACACAAUUUAUAUCUUUUCAUAAAUUAUUCUACAGUUAUAAUUGAAGAUUUUUUUUUUUUUUCGAAUUCAUGCACCACUCACCUUUAUCUACUCUUUUAUAUAUAUGCACCUGCUACAACCCCAUCAAUGUUAUCACAUCUCUCUACCAUAACCUAAUUUUGGCUGUCCAAGACCACCUCAACACAUAUCCAUCAAUUCGUCCUAUCCCCCAUGCUGUAGCCAUACUUUUAACUACCUAAGAAUUACCUCAAAUUAACCCCCACAAGCUGCCUGUAGACCCUCAAUUUUGUCCCUCGACACUGGCAUUUAUCCUUUGGGUGUCACAUCCACCCAUCGUUCGCAUAUGGCACCACUAGGGCCCCUUUUGGGCUUAGUCGGUGUCCGAGCCUCGUGUGGGUUUGUCUGUGGUCCAUUGUGGUGCAUAUGUGGUUCAUUUUGGAGGGUCACCAUGGCCAUUUUCCUAGUCGUUCACAUCAUGCUAUAGGAAGGAAGUGGGGUCAUCCCGAUGUUUUAGCUUAGUUGGAGUUUAUAGGGGCAUGUUGAGGUUCGGAGCACUCGGGCUUGUUUUGAUCGUAUCUCCCUCAUCCAAACUCGGAAUCAAGAACCGUUUAUUUUUAUGGAUUCCUUAUUCUUCCAGGAACAUUUUGUGAAAUUUUCAAAAUUUUUUGCAACCGGUCGGCUGGUUGGCAGCCGGUUCAGCCGGUUCAUCAGGUCAGCCAGUGUAGAACACUGAUUUUUGGUAAUUGUUUUGAUCAUAUCUCCCUCUUCCGAACUUGGAAUCAUGUACCAUUUUUUUUAAUGGAUUUAUUACUCUACUAAGAACAUUCUGUCAAAUUUUCAGAAUUUUUUUCCAUCGGGUCGACCAGUUGGCAUCCGGUUCGGCCGGUUCAGCCAGUUCAUUGAGUCAGCUGAGGUAAAACACUAAUUCUAGUAAUUUUGAGGCCCAAAUCCUACAUGGCUCAGGCCCGUAAGCUCUAGAUCGGUUUUGGGCAAUGUUGUGGGUCCAUUUUAGGCCUUGGUUUGGGUUCCUUGCAGCCCACCACGAAUCCAUAUGGAUUCUUGGUGGUGAAGCAAGCUGAAAACUGAAGGAGUGAGCUGGCCUUGUAAGUUUAAGAGAAGUAAUGAGGGGUGUGGUUCCCAUGCUGAUGAAGGGGAUUUCGGUGCUGAAGGGGAAGGAAUCCAGGAGGCUCAAAUGCUAAGAGGGGAUGAGUAUAAAAGGUGUAAGGAUAAGAGAGCAAAGGGGAGGAGGGGACAUUUUGGAGAGGAGAAAUUUUGCUGGUGAGAAAAACAAAAGGUCAGUAGCAUCUUCUGAGUUGAGAGUGUGGGGGAAAGCUUCAGCACUGUGGUUUUUUUGAAGAGGAGAGUGACAACAUCUCAGUUUUGGAAGUCAUCAUCUACAUACACAGAUCAUAUUUAGUGGAGUUUCUGAGGUAAGCAUGCUGAAUUUUCUUUACUUACAACUUAUCUUCCUCGUCUUCAUAUGCUUUUUCUCCUUCCUCAUCAUCUUUUCUUCCCUUUGAUAUGAAGAUUGUAUUGCUUGGGUGUGGACAAUAAGGGCCACACAUGAUUGUUGUUGUUUGCUUCCUUAAUCACUUAGGAAUUUUCUGACCGAAUUUGGGAUUCUUUACCAAUCGGCUGAAUCGGUUUGGAAUCUGUUCAACCGGUUCAGCACCAUAGCUGGCAGCCUCUGUCAGCCAUGAGGAACACUUGCCUUUCUUUGUCUGGUUCUCACUCAUCCGGGGUCAGAAUUGAGAACCAUUUCUUUUGUUUGUUUCCUUAAUCACUUAGGAACUUUCUAACCGAAUUUGGGAUUUUUUACCAACUGGCUGAACUGGUUGGGAACCGGUUCAACCGGUUCAGCACCAUGGCUGGCAGCCUCUGUUAGCCAUGAGGAACACUUGCCUUUCUUUGUCUGGUUCUCACUCAUCCAGGCUUGGAAUUGAGAACCGUUUCUUUUGUUUGCUUCCUUAAUCACUUAGGAACUUUUUGACCGAAUUUAGGAUUUUUUAUCAGCCGGAUGAACUAGUUGGGAACCGGUUCAACCGGUUCAGCACCAUAGCUGGCUGCCUCUGUCAGCCAUGAGGAACACCUGCCUUUCUUUGUCUGGUUCUCACUCAUCCGGGCUUGGGAUUGAGUGUCGUUUCUUUUGUUUGAAUCCUCACUAAUUUAGGAGUUUUCUAGAAAAAUUUGGGAAUUCUUCUCAAUAGGUUGUACCAGUUGAGAACUAGUUCAACUUGUUCUGCUGGAGAACUUUAGGUAGCCCUCGAUUUUGGCAUUUUUCGAGCCCUUAUCCAUGGGGGCUCAAACCCAUUUGCUAUAGGGCACUUGUGAGCCAUCUUGAAGGUUUAAUUCAAUGUUUCAUUUCAGUUAGUAUGGGCAAUUUUGAAGUUAUGGGUGGUGUGGUCUAGAUGAGUCUAGUUUGAUUUGUAUGACAUUUGGGGAGUCCCUUACCUCAUUUCAACCAGCUAUCUUCCUUUUUGGCACAAGCUUUGAUGCUUGAUUUUGAAUACAUGUUGCGUGACUGACUCACCCUUUGCUGUAGCGCUUGGCUAGAGACCACAGGUACGCAUCGUUGGCUUUGGUUGUUGAAUUCAUAUGCAUGCAUGGUGCUUAAUCUUGAAUGUUUGUUAUGUGUUUAUCUGUGUUUGGCUGACCUUUUAUGCAGCGCUUGGCUAGGGACCACAGGUACGCACCCAUUGUUUUGUUUGGUUGAAUUCAUAUGCAUGCCAAAUACCAAUUAGGAUUGUGUGAUUCAUGACAUCUAUUUAGCCUAGGGUUUCAUUUGACCUUUGACCCAUAUGCUCCCACAUACCCAAUUCAUUAGUAAAGACCGAGUUUCGGGCCUAGAGGGGUGCUACCUCGCAUGAAGUACCUUCCCAAUGGGUAACCUGAUCCCCGGACCCAGAAUCUAGUUUUCGUAGACCGCUUUUUCCAUACUGGGGUCAUUAGGGGUUUUUGUUCUUACUUAAUUUUCCCCAUUUUAAAAACAAAAAUAAAAAGUAAGUGGCGACUCCAAGCGACACCGUUCCUCACCGGGGGCGGGUUUUUCAAAAUUGGAAAACACCAACUUUUUCAUUUCUUUCUUUUCUUUUAAAAGUGAGUCGCGUCGGUUCGGUGGAUCGGGUGAGGGUCCACACUGCCCAUCUCUUGCAAUGAUUUUUUUUUUUUUUUUUGUUGCCCAAAAAACCUAUCUCUAUUAUCCUCACUUGUCUUUAUUGCUACCACAACCAUGCUCUCUCUUAAGCUAUCAAAACUACUUCAAUUCACUUUCUAGCUGCCUGACCCCACUAUAUGUGAACCAGUAGCUCUACUGUAAUAACUGUAGUAGCCGUAAUCAAUAACACCUCCAUGUUUAGCUUGUAGAUUAAUUUUGAAAUUAUUUUUUUAAUAAACACAAAAUUUAUUUAUUUUCAUAAAUUAUUCUAUAGUUACCAUUAAAGGUUUUUUUUUUUCCUAAUUCAUGCACCACUCACCUUUAUCUCUUCUUUUAUAUAUAUAUGCACUUACUACAACCCCAUCAAUAUUAUCACAUCUCUAUACCACAACCUAAUUUUGGCUGCCCAAGAACACCUCAACACAUAUCCAUCAAUCCAUCCUAUCCCCCAUGUUGUAGCCAUACUUUUAACUACCCAAGACACACCUCAAAUUAACCCUCACCAAGCUGCCCAUCUCCUCUAAUAGUUCAUUUUUUUUAACUAACCAAAAAACCUACCUUUAUCAUCCUCACUUGUCCUUUAUUCCUACCACAACCACACUCUCUCUUAAGCUACCUAAUCUACAUCAAUUCACUUUCUAGCUGUCUUACCCCACUGUAUGUGAACCAUUAGCUUUCAUCUACCAACUGUAGCAACUGUAAUCAAUAGCACUUCCAUGUUUAACUUGUAGAUUAAUUAUGAAUUUAUUUUUGUCGUAAACACAAAAUUUAUAUCUUUUCAAAAAUUAUUCUAUAGUUACCAUUGAAGUUUUUUUUUUUCUAAUUCAUGCACCACUCACCUUUAUCUUUACUUUUAUCGAUAGGCACUUGCUGAAACCCCAUCAUUGCUAUCAAAUCUCUUUGCCACAAACCAAUUUUGGCUGCCUAAAACCACCUCAACACAUAUCCAUCAAUUUGUCUAAUCCCCCAUGAUGUAGCAAUAAUUUUAAUUGCCCAAGGCACACCUCAAAUUAACCCCCACCACCCAUCUCUUACAAUAGUUCAUUUUUUUUAGCUACCCAAAAAACCUAUAUCUAUUAUCCUCACUUGUCAUUUCUUCUUACUACAACCACACUCUUUCUUAAAAUACCGAAACUUCAUCAAUUCACCUUGUAGCUGCCCUACCCCACUGUAUGUGAACCAUUAACUCUCUUCUACCAUCUAUAGUAGUCGUAAUCAAUAACACCUCCAUGUUUAGCUUGUAGAUUAAUUUUGAAAUUAUUUUUUCAAUAAACACAAAAUUUAUUUAUUUUCAUAAAUUAUUCUAUAGUUACCAUUAAAGGUUUUUUUUUCCUAAUUCAUGCACCACUCACCUUUAUCUCUUCUUUUAUAUAUAUAUGCACUUACUACAACCCCAUCAAUGUUAUCACAUCUCUAUACCACAACCUAAUUUUGGCUGCCCAAGAACACCUCAACACAUAUCUAUCAAUCCAUCAUAUCCCCCAUGCCAUAGCCAUACUUUUAACUACCCAAGACACACCUCAAAUUAACCCUCACCAAGCUGCCCAUCUCCUGCAAUAGUUCUUUUUUUUCUAGCUGCCCAAAAAACCUAUCUUUAUCAUCCUCACUUGUCCUUUAUUCCUACCACAACCACACUCUCUCUUAAGCUACCGAAACCAAUGUUUUCAGAACCGGACCGGUCAUCGAACUAGAAAAGUUACUGAUUCAUGGUUCGCUGGUUGGACCAGUGGUCGAAUUGUGAUCGAAUCGGUGACGUCAUAAAUAUGUAAUUUAUAUAUUAUUAAAAUUAAAAAUAAUUAUAAAAAUUUUAAAAUAUAUAUGAAUAAAUUAAAAAUCAAUAAUAUUAUUUUAUAUCUUUGAUAUUAUCAAAUUAAAUCAUAUUAAUAUUUUAAAUUUUAUUAAAUGAAAUAUGUAUGAUAUUUAAAUGUGAAUAUAUUAAAAAUGAAAAUUUAAACUAAUUUUAUAAUUUUUAAAAAUCUUAUAUUAUUUUUAUUUAAUUUUAUAAAAAAUGUUAAAAUCUAAUAUAUAUUGUUUUGUUUGGCAUGUUAGAUAAUCAAAUGCAUGUAGCCGAGUGGUGUCCUAUUCUAAUGGUAGAACCUGAGGUGCAAGGUUUAAGCCCUCUUGGUGGAGAGGCUUGUUAUAUUUUUUUUCAUUGAUAAGUUAGCAAUCCCACAUCGGAUUGUGAGAGGAAACAUGCUACAAAGGAUGCCUAUAAAAGCCAUCCUCACCUAAGGCAAAGUCAUCACCUGGGCUCAAGACUCAGCCCAUAAAAUUGUGAGAAUGGGUGUGGGCUUUGUCAUAAUAAGACAAGGCCCAACAUGGGCUUUAGCCCAAAAUAUUUAAACCCAAUGGAACCCCCCUUUCCAUGUUUGCAAAAUCAAGGGGUUAACUUGAACUGUUCGGUUCGUUUAGAACCGUCAGACUCCAGCGAGUCAUCGGUCCGACCGCUGAUUUAAGCGGUUCGAUACCGGUCCAAUCCCUAAAAGGUCUAAUGGAGCAAAUCAGACUGGAAGUGCGACCGAUCAACGGUUGAACCAAUUGGACCGGCCGGUCCAGUCCGAUUUUUAAAACAUUGAGCGAAACUACAUCAAUUCACCUUUUAGCUGACCUACCCCACUAUAUGUGAACCAUUAGCUCUCCUCUACCAGCUGUAGUAGCCAUAAUCAAUAACACCUCCAUGUUUAGCUUGUAGAUUAAUUUUGAAAUUAUUUUUUUAAUAAACAUAAAAUUUAUGUAUUUUCAUAAAUUAUUUUAUAGUUACCAUGGAAGGUUUUUUUUUUCUAACUCAUGCACCACUCAACUUUAUCUUUUCUUUUCUAGAUAUGCACCUACUACAACCCCAUCAAUGCUAUGACAUCUCUCCACCACAACCAAAUUUUGGCUGCCCAAGACCACCUCAACACAUAUCCAUCAAUCUGUUUUAUCCUCUAUACCGUAGCCAUACUUUUAACCGCCCAAGACAUACCUCAAAUUAACUUUGACCAAGCUGCCCAUCUCCUGCAAUAAUUCAUUUUUUUUAGCUGCUUAAAAACCUAUCUCCAUCAUUCUCACUUGUUCUUUAUUCUUACCACAACCACACUCUCUCUUAAGCUACCAAAACUACAUUAAUUCUCCUUCUAGUUGCACUACCCCACUGUAUGUGAACCAUUAGCUCUCCUCUACCAACAAUAGCAGCCGUAAUCAAUAGCACCUCCAUGUUUAGCUUGUAGAUAAAUUUUGAAAUUAUUUUUUUAAUAAACAUAAAAUUUAUAUAUUUUCAUAAAUUAUUCUAUAGUUACCAUUAAAUUUUUUUUUUUCUAACAUAUGCACCACUCACCUUAAUAUUUUCUUUUAUAUAUAUGCACCUGCUACAACCCCAUCAAUGCUAUUACAUCUCUUUACCACAACCCAAUUUUGGCUUCCCAAGACUACCUCAACACAUAUUCAUCACUUCGUCUUAUGCCCCAUGUCGUAGCCAUACUUUUAACUGUCUAAGACACACCUCGAAUUAACCCUCACCAAGCUGCCCAUCUCCUACAAUAGUUCAUUUUUUUUAGCUACCCAAAAAACCUAUCCCUAUCAUCCUCACUUUUCAUUUAUUCCUACAACAACCACACUCUCUCUUAAGCUACCGAAACUACAUCAAUUCACCUUUUAGAUGCCUUAUGCCACUGUAUGUGAACCAUUAGCUUUCCUCUACCAACUGUAGCAAUUGUAAUCAAUAGCACCUCCAUGUUUAGCUUGUAGAUUAAUUCAUAAAUAUCCUAUCUAAAUUUUCAAAAGCCACACCCAUGUCUCUAACCUUUGCAUUAGUCAUUAGAAGUUCACCAAAUCCUUUACUUUAUCCAAACUAAGCACUUCCAUCAUGGUUGCCACUUUUUUCUCCUAAAAUCGAGUACCAUAUAGCACCAUGUACCCUCAUGACUAUUUCAUCUUCUUUCUAUCAUCAAACCUUUGCACCACCUUACCAUAGGCUUUACAACGACUUCAUCUUCUUUCUUCUUUCAAGCCAAACACCAUGUUGCACGACACAACCCCAUUGCAACUUCAUAGUCUCCUUUCCUUCAAGCCGAAUACCACAAUAAUUUCAAUGUGUAGCAAGAUGAUCCAAAUGUGGCUACCAUGAAGAAGAAUGUUGGAUUUUUUCGACAAAGAAGAUGUUUAGAUGACACCAUCAGUGAUUACUCCACAUGCCUCAUCAAGUUUAAAGUCAGAUAACUUGUUGUUGUUGAUUUGUUUUCUUGUUGUGUUUGGACCCUAUACAUGUACUUUUUAUGAAGGCCAUAUAUGGUCAUGCUUAUUUUGUAUUUAUUUUGAUUAUUUCAUUUUUUGUUGUUUUAGUUUCAUCUUUAUUAUAUGUCUUUAAGUUAUAUGAAUCUCAUACAUUUUAAGUUGGGUAGACAUAAAAGGGACGGGAAAAUCAGUUUUCGAUUAAGGCCUGUUUGACCGAAAAAUGGGAGAAUAGUUUUGGAAGUUUAAGAUGUUUGCAUUUGGGUGAGAUGGUGAGUUUAUGUGAGAAGAAGGGGUCGAGAGUCUUGGAAGAGAGGAUAUAAAAUCAGAGGCUCAUUUUUUGUUAGAGGGGUUAACCUUUUUUGGAGGGUCGUUUUGAGAUUUUUGUGGAGUUGAGAAAAAGUGAGAGAAAAAAACAGAGAGAAAAGAGAAAGAAAGAGGUAAUUGGAAGGCUAUGAGUUUUCUUUUUCUGUUCUUGGUUGAGAGAAAUUUGGGAAAGAGAAGUCGAGAUCGAGAGUUCUAGUGGAAGUGGCACUGCCUUUGAACUUCAGAUAAUCGGAUUUCAUGAACUGCAUUUUUUUCUCACAAGCGCUUGGAAUGCAAAUCAGGUAUGUAUUUCUUUAUUAAAUUGAUGAAUUGUAUUGAUGUGCUGAUUUAGUUUAUAGUAUCUAUGAAUUAGCUAAUUAAUCAUUGCAUUUAUUUCAACUUACUUAGUAGAGACCUAACUUUUAGGGCUUAGAGGGGUGCUACAGUUUUUCAUUGUACCUUCUCGAUAAGUAACAUGAUCCUCGAACUUAGACUCGAGUUUUCAAAAACAGGCUUUUCUAAAGAAAAAUGAGUCAUUUUUGGGUUUUUUUUUGUAUUUUUAAAAAAUAAAACAAAAAUAAGUGGUGAUUCCGUUAUUUAUAAAAUUGGUUUUUCACAAACAAAACUCGAGUCUCGCCAUCAAGUGAGAACACAUAUGAAAAUGCAGGAUCACAAAGUGGCGACUCCACUAGGGAUCUUAGAGGGUCAAGCUUGAACUUAAGUUGAAGUAAAUGUGAGGUUUAAUUGGUUGAUUAAUGGAUACCCCUUCUUUGUGCCUUUGUUUGAUUGUGUGAUUAAAGACACAUUGAAGAUUUUUUUUACUACAAAUAUCUAUGAUAGAUGCAUACUAGAUUAUGAUGUUUACUUAUGAUUGCUUCUCUUGCCUAUUAUGUUUUCUUACCAUAAUUGAUUGUAUUCUUAUCGCAUGAUUAUUAUACUUUAGCAUGAUGGUUGAUUUAGCUGUAUGCUUUAUUAGAUUAUCAUGUCUUUGUUUAAUUUGAAUAUAGUGAUGGAUGAUUUAUACUUGUAUUGCAUUACUGAUUGUAGCAUGACUACUCUUCUCUUGUGUGACUACUUGUUGCAUGUUUGUGUGGGACACACUUGUAUCCCCUUAACUCCAAUUCUCUAGUCUUGAUUGGUUUGUUUCCCUUGAUCUUGUAUUAUAUAUGAGACUUGUUAAUUCACGUCUUUUUUUUUUAUCAAGUUAGAGACUAGGAGUAGGGUCCAGUGACGGGCUAUAUUGAUGUUUGGGAGCGCUAUGGAGGUAGGCAUAUUAAUACCAAUAGGAGUCCGAUCAUUGAAGACUUAUAUGGCCUAAAACUGGAUUGAAUGGAUGCUCAUGUGGAGUAAUCAAAGACUUGUAUGAGUUUGAGUUACAAUAAGAUGCUUGGAUAUGUUAUUCUUGGUUAUGGUUCUUUAGUGCAAUAUAUGUAUUCCUCUUGUAUCGUGCUUUAUCCAAUAUUUGAACACCUUCUAGAAGUAGUCAUCCCUUCCAGUUUGGGUCCAUCGACGUGAGUUAGAGUUGAUGGCAGACUUGUUUGCACAAGAUAUCAGAGAGAUAUGAACUCACAGCUAGUUACAGUUGAUUAGUUCACCUCAGUUAUGGCUUCUAUCCAAGAGGCCAUUGCAAGCCUUGGACAAAGGAUGGAUAGGUAGCAGAUUCGGUAGACACCUCUUCAAGAGGAUACUCAAUUUGACCUAGUGCCACCACCAUCUUCCCCUAUUAGUUAGUCAGACCUACCAGUCGCACCAUUUAUUCUUCAUAGUCAGACCGAGGUCGCUCCACCUUCUAUCACCAUGCCUACCCCUACUUCAAAUGAUACCCAUGCUCACGUGGAUAGGCUUGAGCAGAGACUGAGACAUAUAAGAACCUUAGAUGGAGGGGUUACAUGGGAUGAUUUUGAUGGAUCGCCUGUGGCUAACUUACCGGCCAAGUUCAGGAUGUCAGAUAUUGAGAGAUAUACGGGCAUAGGUUGUCCUCGUAUUCAUUUGAGAUUUUACAGUAUUGUCAUGAGGGCUCAAGGGUUCAAUGAGAGCCAAAUGAUUAUGUUUUUCCCUAUGUCUCUAAGUGGCGCUACCCAGAGGUGGUUUGCUUCUUUAGAUGCUUCACAUUGUAGGACUUGGGAUGACUUAGCUCAAGAGUUUUAGAGAUAGUUUGUCUUCAACACUAUUGUUGAUAUGUCUAAGAGAGAGUUGGAGGCCUUGAGGCAAAGACCAGAUGAGUCAGUGACUUCGUUUAUCUCCCUUUGGAGGGAGAAGGUAACAUUGAUGGUUGAUCAUCCUUCAAAGAGAGAUCAUAUUUGCAUGAUUGUGAAGAGCUUACAACCUAGGUUUUCCAAGCAUUUGAUGGGGUUUACAUAUGCAGAUUUUGGAUUUUUAUGAUGUUGAGAAGGGUAUUUCAAGAGGGUUAUGGCUAGAGUCUUUCCCUAUUGAUCCUAAGGGGAAGAAACCAUCAGGAGGUCAACAUUCAGAUGUGGGUGCUAUAUCUACCUUUAAACUAAGGCCUCCUAGAUAUCGACGGUCAUUUCCAUAUACUUUCAGGGCUCGUUCUCCUUACACUCCAUACCCUCAGUACUAGUAUAGGUCUUCGAUUCGUCUACAGGCUUAUGAUCAGACUUAUUUGUAUUUCGCUUUCCUUCAGCCUUGCUAUGCUACUCAGGCUAUUGAUAGGCCACCUAUUGCAUACUCCAGGCCCCGAGCAUCUCAUACUCUAGUUACUUUCAUUCCUAGACCACAAAGGUAGUUUUCCCAACUAGGGAUGCCAUUGAGUUAGGAUUUCAAGAAGCUUGUUAAUGCUAGAUUAUUGACAGCACUAGCUCCACGCUUAGUACCUUAGCCGAUUCCCUCGAACUAUAGACUGGAUCUUCAUUGCCUAUACCAUCAGAGUUUAGGGUAUGACACAAAUAGGUGCAUGACUUUGAGACACACCAUACAUGAUUUGAUAGAUCGGGGUUCGAUGUGGGGUAACCAAGUGUCAUCGCAAACCCAUUACUAACUCAUUCUACUCAUGUAGUACCACCACUAGCCAGGGGUGUCCCCUUUAUUGAUAUUGAUGGAGAUGACUUUAUUCACAUGAUUAGUUGGGAGGAUCAUGCACCAGAUCUUAUAGUAUUAGAUGUGAGAUUAGAAGUUGAUGGAGUCACUUUGGGUACAUCGUCUAUCCUAGACAGACCUCCAUUUCAGUUGAUCCCAAUUCAUGACUCAUUUGUUGUCCAUUGUGCUUUCAUUCCCUUUGUUUUGAUGCCUGAGGAUACUAAUGAGAUUGUUGAUCAAGAUGUCCAUAUAGUCACUUGUAGUGGAAGAGUGACUUAGCCUCCAUUAGCAUAGACUAGACUAUUUGAGGGUACUAGGUCUAGAGAUGUUGUGAUAUAAUAGGAUGAUGAAAUCAUGAGGUAGCUACAAAGUACACAAGCUCACAUCUCUAUCUGGAGUUUGCUAGUUUCUUCUACUACUCAUAGAGACACAUUGAUUAGGACUCUGAGUCAUAUUAGAGUUAAGUCUGUUAUAUCUCCGGAUAGUCUGAUUCACAUGUUGAUUGUUGAUAGAGCUACAUGCAUUGUAUUAUCUACUGAUUACCUACCCCUUGGAAGCCUAGAUCAUACUUUGCCUUUAUAUAUCAUUGUUGGUUGCUUAGGGAAUUGAGUUCCAUUUGUCUUAUUGGACAAUGGCUUCACCUUGAAUGUGUCCUUUAGCUAUUGCUAUGGCACUUGGGUUUGGUCCGUCAGAUUUUGAGCCACCUACACAGUUUGUCAGAGCUUAUGAUAGCACACAAAGAGAGAUCCUUGGCACAUUGACACUUAAGCUAAAAAUUGGUCUAGUUGUAUUCUCCGUAGUAUUUCAGGUUUUGAGGAUACCUACAUUCUUUAACAUGUUAUUGGGCAGACCUUGGAUUCACUGAGCCAGCGCCAUACCAUCUUCUUUUCAUCAAGAGGUGAAGUUCAUACAUGAGGAUAUAGUCAUUACCAUACAAUUUAAUGGAGAUAUUUCUUUAUCCUUUGAGCUAGUUUUAGAGAUUAGCCAUAGUGAGGAUGACUUGUUUUUUAAUGGUUUCACAUUUGAAAAGGUUUAGAUUGUGACUAUUGAGGAGUCUCUUAGAGAUCAUGUACCUCUGUCUUUUGAUCGCCAUAGUGGCACUAUUUUCUUGGUUUGGGAUUAGGACAAUGACAACAUGGUAUCAGUGAGUUUAUAGCUAUUGUGAGUUAUGAUACACCCUUUAGCUUGGGAUAUACACUUACAGAGGCAGACUAUUGAUACAUGGCAUACCUACAUAGACAGAGGCUCAGAGCCUGGUUACUUCACAUACCAUUUAAUUACCCACUCUAACCAUAUACGAUGGCUAAGACAAAAUAUUUUAUGAGAGCUUCUGAGAUGCUUUUGACAUUGGAGGGUAUUAUUGGUGGAUAUGAUGGUGAUCAAUAGAUCGAGGGACUUUUCCAAUAGCUUCAGUUGACAUAUAGAUCUCCUAGUACUUUCAUCUCAGUAUUGGUGGCUCCUCUGUCCCCAAAUUGUGACAGCAUGAUAUCACUUUGUUUUCCUAAGGAGAUAGGUAGCUAGGAGCCAUUGCUUCAGUAUGUAGACAUAUCUUAUGGAGUUGACUUACCAGAUGACUACUAGGAUGAGAUAGCUAUGAUGAGUUUGAGCCAGAUAGUUCAUACCAUUUAACUAGAUUCUUUCACUCCAACUGCCACAUCUGAGGCAUCUACCAUCGAGAUCUUCGACAUUGUCCAGACUAGACCCAUUUCAAAUUUAUUUAAUGAAGAUGAUUCUCUUACAGAUGAUGUACUUGAGGGCACUGUUAGCUCGAUGGUGGUAGUGUCUGACUUUGUGGACUCACCCAAUUCUUUUGAUGUAUUUUCGAGUUUGUCUUCUGCAUUGAUGAUGUACCUAUUGAUUCUUCAUAUAUAGACAUGAGUAUUUUUUAGUAUUCACCUGCUUUUCAUGAUGACGUUACUGUACAUGCACUUAUGAGGACAUUCCAAGCCUCGGUCCUUCUAUUGUUCAACACCAAUUACCAUUUUCACCACAUGCUAGACUAGUUAAAUAGAAGUUAAGGCGAUUGCACCCUUAAUGGAGUUUGAAGGUAAAAGAUGGGACCUAGAAGUAGCUCAGUGUUGGAUUUAUAUUAGUAGUAGAGUAUCUUGAGUGGUUGGCCAAUGUCAUCCCUACUCCUAUGAAGAACAACAAAGUCAGAGUUUGUGUGGAUUUUAGAGAACUCAACAAGACCAGCCUUAAGGACGACUUUCCCUUACUUCACAUUGAUAUGUUGGUUGAUAGCACAGUUAGUUAUUCAUUGUUGUCCUUCAUGAAUGGGUUUUCGAGGUAUAACCAAAUCUUGAUGGAUCCAAAGGACAUGGAGAAGACCGCUUUCAUCACUAAGUGGGGCACAUAUUGUUAUGAGGUGAUGCCAUUUGGGUUGAAGAAUGUAGGAGCUACAUAUUAGAGAGUGGAGACCAUUCUUUUCCAUGACAUGAUGCACCCGGAUGUUGAGGUGUAUGUGGAUGACAUGAUAGUGAAAUCUCGGAGCGGAUCAUCUAGCAACCCUGGAGAGAUUCUUUGAGAUGAUCAAAUAGUUCAGAUUGAGAUUGAAUCCCAAGAAGUGCACAUUUGGAGUGACCUUUGGGAAAUUAUUGGGAUAUAUUGUUGGUAAGGGAGGCAUAGAGGUAGACCCAGAGAAUAUUAGAGCCAUUCUUGAGAUGCCUACACCAAGGACUGAGAAGGAGAUCAGAGGAUUUCUCUGUAGACUACAAUAUAUUAGUAGAUUCAUAGCUCGAUUGACAAACAUAUGUGAGCCCAUCUUCCGACUCCUGAGGAAGAACCACCUUAUUGUUUGGGAUGAUAAUUUUGAACGUGCCUUUGAGAGGAUUAGAGAGUAUUUGAUAUCCUUUCUAGUUCUGGAACCUCCCACUCCCAAUCGACUUUUUUUUUUUUGUAUAUCUUAGAGAUAGCCUUGGGAUGCAUGCUAACUCAGUUCGAUGAUUUGGGCAAAGAGUGAGCCAUUUAUUAUUUGAGUGAGAUGAUGCUAGAGUAUGAGAUGAGAUACAUUUGGAUAGAGCGCCUCUGUUUGGCAUUGGUAUGGGCUAUUAGAAGACUAAAACAUUACAUGACAGAGUAUUCGGUACACUUGAUAUCCCGACUGGAUCUCUUAAUAUAUUUGUUUGAUAGGCCUAUUUUACCUGGUAGAUUGAUGAUAUGGUUAGUACUCUUGACUGAGUUUGAUAUUCACUAUGUUACUCAAAAGUCCAUUAGAGAGAGUGUUGUUGUAGAUCACCUGGCCUCAUUACCAGUUUCAGAUAGUGGAGUUAUUGAUGAUGAUUUCCCUAAUAAGGGGAUUGCAACUGAGACUAGUAUGCCAAGUUGGCGCAUGUACUUUGAUGGUGUAGCCAACCAUCUUGGAUAUGGGAUAAGAAUAUUGUUGAUAUCUCCUUAUGGUGAUCGUAUUUCGAGAUUUGUUCGUUUGGCAUUCCCAAAUCGAUAUCCUACCAUGAAAAAAUAGUCGAGUACGAGGCUUGCAUCUUAGGAUUAGAGACAACUUUAAAGUUGGGUCUCAGAUGGAUGGAGAUAUAUAAAGACUCCAACUUGAACUGAGACAGAUUUUGGGGACCUAAAAGAUUAGGGAUGUGAAGCUCAAUCCUUAUCAUGCUUACUUAGAGCUACUGGUCGGGAGAUUCGAGGAUUUGAGAUAUACCCAUCUAUCGUAGAACUAGUUUGUUAAUGGCUUAACUACUCUAGCUUCCAUGAUUGACAUUCUUACUGAUGUUGUUAUUUGCCCAUUAGUGAUAGAGUUGAGGAUUGUGCCAGUAUAUUGUUGUUUGAUUGAUGAUGUAGAGAUUCAGGAUGACUUACCUUGGUAUCAUGACAUUUAUUAGUUUCUCAUAUUCAACACAUAACUUGAGGUUGCCACAACCAAGGAUAGGAGAGCUUUGAGGCACUUGGCCACCAGAUUUGUGAUAUGUGGCGAGACAUUAUACGGACGAUCAACUGAUGACUUGUUACCGAUAUUCUUAGACCAUACCUUUGUUGAUAGAGUGAUGAGAAAGGUUCAUGCUGGAGUUUGUGGACCACACAUGAGAUGACACAUGUUGGCUCGUAAGAUCAUGAGGAUCAGAUACUUUUGGUUGACCAUGAAGACAGAUUUGUACUAGUUUGUUUAGAGAUGUCUGGGGUGUUAGAUAUACAAUGAUCUUAUUCACAAUCCACCUUCAGAGUUACAUGCACUAACCUCACCAUGACCAUUUUCAAUUUGGGGCAUUGAUAUCAUUGGAAAGAUUUCACCAAAAUCUUCCAAUGGACAUGAUUUUAUCUUGGUCACUAUUAAUUACUUCACCAAGUGGGUGAAGAAACUUCUUAUGUGAGAUUAACAUUAGCCAAAGUUGCUAGCUUCAUCAUGUCACACAUCAUUUGUCGUUAUGAAGUCCUAUAUGAGUUGAUAUUUGAUAGAGGAGUACACUUCAGGGCAGAGGUUGAUGUCUUGUUAUAAAGAUAUAGUAUUCAGCAUCAUAGGUCAUCUGCACAUAGACUAUAGACUAACGGGGCAGUAGAGGCCACGAAUAAAAAUAUUAAGAGGAUUUUACUGAGUAUGGUUGACAAUUUCUUGAGACUAGUCAGAGAAGCUCCAUUUUGCACUAUGGGCUUAUCGCACUUUUUUUUACACUUCUACAGGAGCCACACUCUAUUCUUCAAUGUAUGGUAUGGAAGUAAUGUGAUUCGUGCCCAAUUGGUGUUUCAGCUGAUUCGUGUCCAGCUGGUGCUCCUUGAUUGAGGGAGUAAUCAACAAAAUUUAUAACCUAUUACACCAUAUACUAGGGUAGCAAAGACAAAGCUACUAUAGCAUAGUGGCUCUAGGAUCGUUCACUGGGAUGAGUUUUUACUUUGCAAAUGAUAUUAAUUCAAAGCUAAAUUGGUGCCUUUUCAUUUCAAGGUUAGCUUUAAAAGAAAACAUAAAGAUGUUUGAAUAAAAAAGGUUUGGUUUUAAACUAACCAAAAAUAGUAACUGAUUUUACUUACAAAGAAAAGUGUUUCUUGGAGUUUCAGAUCACUAGGCUCAGAUUCCUCAUACAAAAAGGGAGUUCCGGCCACUUGUUUCUUUUCCUCGCAUUAGAGAAUUAACAUAUAGUUAAUUCUCUAACCAGUGCUGUACAGAUGCUUCCCAUUAAUGGGUUCAAACACUAAAUCCCUCUCACUGAUGCACCUUGCAAUGGCUCAUGCCUCUCACCUAGCAUUUGCCAGUCAAGGUGAUCUUUAACCUUGGAUUACUCGUCAAAAGCUCGCAAGAGAUAACUAAUGGAUGUCUCCUUAGAGUCCAAAAGCUUACCAAGUGUUGGCAAUUCUAGAAAAUCCUACCUUCAAGUCACCUCCCAGAGGCUCACAAGGGGUAAACUAGUGCAUCUCCAUGGACGGAGAUCACUUGCCUUACCAAGUGUUGGCCCAGGUGAUUUAAAGGCGUUUUAAGUUAACUAAAAAGAUAAAAACCAUUAACGGUCACACUUUCUCUUCAUUAAAAACUAAAACAACAAAACUUCCAAUUUAUGCAUGUGGAAACUUACCCGGCUUUCCUUAGCUCCAAGAGACAAAAAUCCUAGCCUCUCAUCCUCUGAGGAAAAACCUUAGAGUUUGAUUGGCUAGAAAGAAAAAGAAAAUGAAAAUGAAAGAGAAGGAAAAACCAGAGCAAGGCUCUGUAUAUUCUAUAUAUUAUAUAUCUAUAUCCCGUUGGAUUACAUGAUUCUAUAUUACAUACUUCUAUAUCUAUUACAGUGGAUGCAAGGAAAUAUAUAUAGAGACGUUUUUCCAACCUUCCUAACUAAGAAAUCUUAUGGUUGGUGGAUUAUAAGAAGAAGAAUGGAAAUUUAUACAAAAAUAUCUGAAGAAAAAUAUCCAAAAGUGUCGGUCACAACUAUCGGGAAGCUUCAGGAGAACACCCGUGCACUGUGCAAAAUGGCUGCGAAAUUCUCGCAGCAAAAGGCAUUGGAUUCUUGAUUUCGCAGCCGUGCAAAAAUCUUCCUUCAGCUUGGAGUGAUAUGCUUGCAAUGGCUGUAACUCAUUCGUUUCAGCUCCAAAUCGUGCACUAUUUGAAGCAUUGGAUUCUUGACUUCCUGAGCUUUGAAAUGGUAUAUAGCAUGUAGAAAAUGGACUUCGUAAAGUGCUCAAAAAGUGCGCAAGAAGACUGCAGCUGCUGUUCUCUGUUUUCUUCACUUUGUUUUUCUUCUCUCCGUUGUUCUUUCCUUGCAUACUUUGAACGAAUUUGGAAAAGGGCUAUGGAGCUCCAAAGCUUGGUUCUUCAUGAAUUUGAACUUCCAAAAGCUUUGCCAUGAACUAUAUACAACUCUCCCUCAAUCUCGGAUUGCUUUGGUGAUCAAAAAGCUAUCAAAACACCAAAACUUAACACAAAUUGAUUAGAAUUGAUUGCAAGGGUCCUUAACAUAUUAAUUGGGUUAAAAAGCAAUAACUACUACUCAAAAAUGUUUAAAAGAGUUAAUUACAAGCUAUGAAAUAACACUUUUUGAGUAGUAAUCAUAAUGCUACCAGUUGAGAUAGAAAUAAGAUCUUUGAGAGUAACACUUGAACAUCAGAUAUCUGAGGCAGGUUGGGCCUAAGCACAUUUCGAUUAGCUUGGUCUUCUUGAUAAGAGAAUGUUGAGAGUAGCAUAUCACACUUAAGCUCAUCAGAGGAAGAUGACCCAUGCUUUCAGAAAGCAGGUCAAGCUUAGAUCGCUACAAAGAAGAGAUUUGGUUUUGAGGGUUCUUAGAGGCUUGGUUGUAGACCCUAGAAUAAACGGACUUGGAGUGGGCCAUAUGUCAUUAAAGAGUUGACUCUAGAGAGUGCAAGAUGGUUGAUGGAUCUAAAUGGAAACCAAUUCUCAGAGCCGACCAAUAUAGAUCAAUUAAAGAAGUAUUAUGUUUGAGACUAUGGUCACAGGAUGGGUGACCUUCAUUUCGAUUAGCUUAGACCUUAUCACCUUUUGGACAUCUAGAUCGUUGCUAGCCCUUUGAGCCUCACAUGAUCAUUGUAGCCUAUUCUUUUUUAUAGUCUUGUUUACUUUCUAUAUUUGGGACCCUCUAAUGUACAUAUGCUUUAUUCAGGAAUUUCAUGAGUCUUGGACCUAUUGAUAUACUCCUAUCAUUUAUCUUGUCGUUAUCAUGAUACCCUGUUUCAUUCUCACCUCCAUUGUUUGUGUUCUUUGUUAUGUUUUUUUUUAUACUAUCAGAUUCAUCUUAUUUCUUCUCAUAGAUUGAGUGAUGAUCUUUCACAUUUCAUAUUGUGUAGAUCGAUCAUAUCACCACUUACAUUCCAUCUUGUAGACAUUGAUACAAAGGUCUUUGGUUGAGAGGGUCAUUUCAUCAAGGAGAGCUCAUUGUUUUUGGAUCACUCUUUGAGAGCAUAUUCAUACCAUGGUAAAAAGAAAAAAACAAAAAACAGUAUAUGUGCAUGAGAUGUAUUACUUCAUUGAACAUGUAUGAGAUAUUUGAGAGUUUAUUAUGUGGAGUUCAUUGGUUGAUGAGAAUGCAUGAGAGUUUUUUAUCCUUAGGUUCAUCUUGUAUAUGUUCUGAGUAUGAGAGAUGGGUAACUCUUUCCUAAAGACUCUGAAUCAUUGUCUCCUUCCAUCACUUUAGUCACCAAUGAUUUGAUCACUUUUCAUGUCUUGUCUUGAGUAGAUAAGAGCAUGUUUUAUUCAUUUUGAUCUUAUCUGUUCUUUAUAUUCUUCAUCAUUCACCAUACAUUCAUCAUUCUUCAUUCAUAUCUAUCUUCAUUCCAUGAUUGAUAUUCUCUUCAUAUCAUCUCUCUUUGUAACUUGAUGCUCACUUCUAUUCCUUUUCCCUAUCAUCAUUGAUUUUGUUAAGACCUUUUAUGUCCCAUGGAUGCUCACAUUAAAUACCUUUAGGUUCAUAGCUUAUGAGAUUAUUUAUGCAUAUUGUGUUUUGUACAUGAGGGUAUGGGUCUUAUCAUUGGCUAUUUGAACUUAGUUUUUUCUUUACCCUAUUAUCUUAGCCUAUAUUACGUCACGUGCCUUAAGACUACCUUGAGGCCAUGGGAUCGGAUAUCAGCUUUGAUAUUCUCUACUCGGGCAAGUGUUUAAAAUUUGGUUAAUGUGUAAGCAUCAUCAUGUUCUUCCUUCUGGGGAAUGUUUCUCUGAUGUCUGGAGUUGAUUCAUAAUGGAUGUAGAGGAUUGCUUGAUUUUAUGGCAGAUGAGAGAUGUUGUUUGACUUCCUAUUUUGCUAUAUAUCAGAUGUCAUACCGAGGCAUAUCCUCUUUCCAUCAAGAUUGCUAGUCUCACUUUGGUUUUCAUUUUGUUUCAUGAUAAUGGAUAUUGAUUUUGACUAUUUGAUUUCUUCAUGAUCUUUAGUGGAAUUGCAUCUCAAGUCAUUAGGUUAGACUUACAUUUUCUGAUAUCCUUGCUAUAUUUGAUGGAGUAACCCUAGUGAGGUAUGCUUUCAUCCAUGCUUUUAGUGGAUCAGUUAAGUUUCAUUAUCAUAUCCCUCGGUGAAAUUCUAUCUCAAGUAAUUAGGAUGAGCCUAUACUUUUUUAUAUCCUCACUAUUUUUUGAUGGAGUUACCCUAUUGAGAUAUGAUUUCAUCCAUACAUAUAGUUGAUUGGAUUGGUAUAACCACUUCUGAUCAUCAGUGGAGUUUAUUUGACCUAAGAUGUUUGGUUGAUGCACACAUCUUUUGAGUCAUCUGAUCACUUCAUCAUUGGAGACAAAUAUGAUGAGUUGGUAUCAUUUGGUUAUCUCCAUGAUUUUGCAUUAGUUGCCAUACUAGGACAUAUUCCUCUUUCUUUUGUUGAGAUGAGAUCACAGGGGAGCAUUACCUUUGAGCUUGAAUAUUUUCAUGGAUUAGAGAUUCUCAAUGGAGUAUUUUGUGAUGACAUUAGUUUUGAUGGAGUAUUUUUUUGAGAUUAUGGUAGUCAUCAUGAUUCCUUAGCAGAGUGUUUCUAAGGUGGAUUGGUUCGAUUGUUUUACAUUCCAGUUCCUUAGUGAAGCAUUUUUGAGAUAGAUCAGUUGAUUAUUUGAGUUGGAGAUGGUCCUUAGUGGAGUUAUCUCCCUAAGUGACCGAUUGGCCAUAUUGAUUUCUUAAUGGAGUAUUGAUGAGCUAGUGGCAUUUUGGUCCCUUAGAGUAUUUUCGAAUAACCUAUCCUCAGAAAAUUCUGGAUGUUAUGGUAUUUCCAUACUAGCAAUACAUAGACCUUGCAUACUAAGGCAUAAUUUCUCACUCGUUAAGGUUAUUGGGAUCAUUAUUUGUUCAGCUUUUAGAGUAGAGGCAUUCAGUGUCAUCUUUUAGAGUACUGAUCAUGUGAUUGAUCAGGGGUUUGUGUAUCACAUUCUCCUUCAUGACCGAUUUAUCAGCUUUCAGAGCAAAAACAUUCAGUGUCAUCUUUUAGAGUACUGAUCAUGUGAUUGAUUAGGGGUUUGUGCAUCACAUUCUUUUUCACGACCGAUUUAUCAGUUUUCAAAGCAAAGACAUUCAGUGUCAUCUUUCAGAGUAUAAAUCAUGUGAUUGAUUAGGGGUUUGUGCAUUACAUUCUCUUUCAUGACCGAUUUAUUAAUUUUCAGAGCAGAGACAUUCAGUGUCAUCUUUCAGAGUACUGAUCAUGUGAUUGAUUAGGGGUUUGUGUAUCACAUUCUCCUUCACGACCAAUUUAUCAACUUUAGGGCAGACGCAUUCAGUGUCAUCUUUCAUAGUAUAGAUCAUGUGAUUGAUCAGGAGUUUGUGUAUCACAUUCUCUUUCAUGGCUGAUUUAUCAAUUUUCAGAGUAGAGGCAUUUAGUGUCAUCUUUCAGAGUAAAGAUCAUGUGAUAGAUCAAGGGUUUGUGUAUCACAUUCUCUUUCAAGGCCGAUUUAUCAGCUUUCAAAGCAAAGACAUUUAAUGUCAUCUUUUAGAGUAUAGAUCAUGUGAUUGGUUAGGGGUUUCUGUAUCAUAUUCUCCUUUAUGGCUUCUUUAUCAGCUUUUAGAGUAGAGAUAGUUAGUGUCAUCUUUCAAGGAUACUUUCCAGAUUAGCUUUUAGAGUCACUCUUAUUAGUUUAGCAUUCUAAGUUGCUUGGCUACCAGAGUCAUCUUUUGAUAAAGAGUUAUGUUUGUAGUUUCGACACUCAAAGUCUUUGUAUUGUCGUUCUAGUGUUCAAAGUCAUUUAUCUUCUUAGUAUUGAGCAUUCUCAAAUUACUUCUAUGAUUUUAUUGCCUAUGAUCUUUCUUUCUUGAUUGUGUCUUUCAGAGUCAUUUGGCCUCAUUUGUUCAGUGUUUUGGAUUCAGUGUUAUCUCUACCUUCUUACUCUUUGAUUUUGCUUGUCAGUUUAUUAAGUCAUGUGUCAGGGCAAAAUUUUAGGAUUUUUUCUAUUCUUCGAUAUAGUUCACUUGGUUUCAUUCAUUUUUCACAUGCUCAUGAUUAAUUCAUUAUACUCGUGACUUUUAUUGAAGAGGGGCAUAUUUGUAGAUCCCUUAUUUUACCCACGACACAUAUAGGCUACUAUCUAAGUAAAUCAUUGUAAUUCAUCAACUUGUAGUCUCCGAUUCUUCUUUGGAAGCUUCUUAGAGGAUAAAUUACGGAACUUUGAUGUGAUCACCUAAACCUCUGAAUUUGUAACUUAAAGUUUUCUGAUUAUUCGAACUUAUCAUUGACCAUAAACUAAAACAAAAAUAUUAAAUAAUUGUUUUAAAAUAAAAUAAAAUAAGUUGUCUUCUUAAACAAUAAACAUGCCAAAAUACUCAUUUAUUUAUUUAUUUUCUUUAAUAAUCCAUAACCAAAUAAAUAAUAAUAAUAAUAAAAAUUUAAUAAAUAUAAACGAAAAUAAAAUAUAGCAAUGUUAAAAUUCAAGUUUAUUACUACUAUCUAAUUCAUGUUUUAAAAUAUAAACUAAAAAUAAAUCUUGUUUUUUUAGUAAUGAACAAAUAUCAUGAACCUUAAAUAAAAAUAGACAUUUGAGUCCAUAAUAACUAGCAAAAUUUACACUUAAGAUAAAUUAUUUUUUUAAUAAACACAAAAUUUAUAUAUUUUCAUAUAUUAUUCUAUAGUUACCAUUCAAGGUUUUUUUUUCUAACUCAUGCACCACUCAUCUUUAUCUUUAUAUAUAUAUAUAUAUAUAUAUAUAGCACCCCAUCAAUGUUAUCAUAUCUCUUUACCACAAACCAAUUUUGGCUACCUAAGACCACCUCAACACACAUCCAUCAACCUGUCCUAUCCUCCAUGUCGUAGCCAUUCUUUUAGUUGCCCAAGACACACCUCAAAUCAACCCCACCAAGCUGCCCAUCUCCUGCAAUAGUUUUUUUGUCUGCCCAAAAAACCCAUCUCUAUCAUCCUCACUUUGUCCUUUAUUCCUACCAUAGCCAUACUUUUUCUUAAGCUACCAAAACUACAUCAACUCACUUUCUAGCUGGCCUACCCCACUAUAUGUGAACCAUUAGCUCAUCUCUACCAGUUGUAGCAGUCGUAAUCAAUAGCUCCUCCAUGUUUAGCUUGUAGAUUAAUUCUAAAAUAUCCUAUCUAAAUUUUCAAAAGCCCACACCCAUGCCUCUAGUCUUUGCAUUAGUCAUCAUAACUUCACCGAAUCCUUUACUUUCUCCAAACUAAGCACUUCCAUCAUAGUUGCCACUUUCCUUUCUCAAAUCCGAGCACCAUACAACACUAUGUACCCCUACGACAAUUUCAUCUUCUUCCUACCACCAAACCGUUGCCCCACCUUACCAUAGGCUCCACGAUGACUUCAUUUUCUUUCUUCCUUUAAGCUAAACAUCACAGUGCACCACACGACCCACUACAACUUUGUAUUCUCCUUUUCUUCAAGCCAAAGACCACAACAAUUUCGAUGUGUAGUAAGAUGGCUCAAAUAUGGCUACCAUGGAGAAGAGUGUCGGGCUUUUCGACAAAGAAGAUGUUCAGAUGACACCACUAGUGAUUACUCCACAUGCCUCGUCACCCUUGAAGUCCAGAUAAUUUGUUGUUGUUUAUUUGUUUUCUUGUUGUGUUUGGACCCGGGACAUGUAUUUUUUAUGAAGGCCAUGUAUGGUCAUGCUUAUUUUGUAUUUAUUUUGCUUAUUUCAUUUUUUGUUGCUUCGGUUUCAUUUUUAUUAUAUGUAUUUAAGUUAUAUGAAUAUCAAACAUUUUAAAUUGGGUAGACAUAAAAGGGGCAAGAAAAUUAGUUUUUGACUAAGGCUUGUUUGGCCGAAAAAAAGGGGAAUGAUUUUGGAAGUUUAGGAGGUUUGCAUUUGGGUGAGAGGGUGAGUUCAUGUGAGAGGAAUGGGUCGAGAGUCUUGGAAGAGAGGGUAUAAAAUCAUAUGCUCAUUUUUUGUUAAAGGGGUUAGCAUUUUUUGGAGAGCCUUUUUGAGAUCUCUGUGGAGUUGAGAAAAAGUGAGAGAAAAAAUAGAGAGAAAAGAAAAAAGAAAGAGGUAAUUGGAAGGCUAUGAGUUUUUUUUUUUUUUUUUCAUUUCUUGGUUGAUAGAAAGUUGGGGAAGAGAAGUAAAGAUGGAGAGUUCCAGUGGAAGUGGCACUACCAUUGAACUUUAGAUCAUCCGAUUUCGCGAACUGCAUUUUUUUCUCAAAAACGCUUGGAAUGCAAAUAAGGUAUGUCUUUCUUUAUUAAAUUGAUGAAUUGUAUUGAUGUGCUUAUUUAGUUUAUAGUAUCUAUAAAUUAACUAAUUAAUCCUCGCAAUUAUUUCAUUUUACUUAGUAGAGACCUAACUUUUAGGGCUUAGAGGGGUGCUACAGUUCUUCACUAUACCUUCCCGAUAAGUAACCUAAUCCCUGGACUUAGACUCAGGUUUUCAAAGACAGACUUUUCUAAAGAAAAAUGAGUCAUUUUUUAAGGGUUUUUCCUUCUUAUUUUGUUUGCCCUUUUAAAAAAUAAAACAAAAAUAAGUAGUGACUCCGUUAUUUAUAAAAUUGGUUUGUCACAAACAAAAAGCGAGUCUUGCUAUCGAGUGAGAACGCAUGUGAAAAUGCGGGAUCACAUUUCCCAACACAACCAAAGGGAAACUCUAUCUUAAUCUUAUGAGAUAUCAUGGUACCUCUAUUGAGAAUACCUAUUAUUACCAACUUACUUCAAUAGUGACCCAAACUAUAGGGAAUAUAUGAUCAUCUUACAAUUUCAUUCGUAGGUUAAUUAAAACCAUUGCUAACUUUAGCAUAAAAUUAAUAUUCUCUCAAGGUUGAGAGACAACAUAAUGAAGCAGCUUGGUGAAUUCAUGGCUACUUGAUAACCAUGUAUGGUUACACAUUAGAUAGAACCUAUGGUGAGUCAUGAUGUAAGCUGUCGGUUUGUUAUAACUUCACUAAGCUACUAUGUUAUAUUAUCUCUUAACUUUGAGAGACUCUUGAGUCUAUGCCGAAGUUAGUAAUGACUAUGAGCUAUAUAUGAGAUACUAAAAUGAUGAUAUAUUCCUUAUUGAUUUGGUCACUAUUGAUAGAAGUUGGUAGUAAUGGGUUAUUAGAGCCAAAAUAUGUGCUCCAAUCACACAAAUAUGACAUGAUUUAUGUAACAUAAAAAGCUCUAACUAUCCAAGUUGACUCAAAUUGAUGCUAAGACUUUAACUAUGGAUAUAAAUUCUAUUUUAAGCCUAAUUCCAGGUUUAUGGGAUGAAAAGAAUGCUAAGUGAAAAGUCAUUUUCAACCAAGGAAAUAGAAGAGGUUAAAUAUGCAUAAAUGAGAGACUUGGGACUAGUGAACUAUGAAGAGUCCAAGAAGUGGCAUUAUAAGAAAACCAUAGGCAUGAAAUACUAGCAAGGGGUGUUGUGUAUUGAGAUAGAGGGCAAGCAACCAUAAUAGAGGAGGGAAGCACAUGCAAUCAAGUUCACAUGGAAAUUUAGAACUCAAAAUUUGGCUACAACAUAUACUUUGAUUUUAAGGUAAAAUUUAGAGCACUUACUAAUGUCAUUUUUGGGCAUGCUAUAUAUCAUUUCUAAGCUCAAGAAGUCAAGAGUUCAAUGCUUUAAAAGGUGUGCAAAUCAGAAUUGCCAUGAUAAAGUCAUGCACGUUAGAAAUAAACUAGUAGUGGGUGAGUUCAAAAUUCACCGUGAAUUUUGAACUCACCAUGGUGAUUUCGAAUUUGGCACUUUUCCUCCACUUAUGAGUUCAAAAUUGAUUUGGAACUCAUCCCAACUUUAAACUUAGCUAUUGAUGAUUUUGGGUUUUGAGCUCCAAAACAUGUCAAAACGAGUUUCAAAUGCCUUCAUCUAAUUCGGAAUGCAUGACACUUAUUUAAAACUCGUAAUAUUUUCAAUCUUUUAAGUUGUUUAUGACUUUUCUUUGUAAUAAGUGGCCAAUGGAAGUAUGCACAUGUUAGGUUAUUGAAUUUAUUAUAUAAACUCCUUUAGCUCUAGGUUUAAGGGAGAGAAAAAAGGAUAAAAUGUAGAGAGAGAUUGAUCUAUUCUCUUAAAAUUAUUUAAUAAAGUUUUAGGUUUUCUUUUCUUUUCUUUCAUUUUUCAAUCUUUAUUUUUUAUUUUUUUGGUAAUUAAAUAUAGGUUGUGAGAAGAAACCCACCACCAUGUUUAACUAGGUUGAUUGAUUUAGAGAUGCUAACAUGAAGGUGAAGAAUCCAAAGGAGUGACAAGAAAUGAUAAUGUAUUAAAUGGUUUGAUUACGUUUUCCAGUUUUCACUAAUAGGAAUAUAUCUUCUAUGUCAAAUCACCUUAGAUAAAUUAUAUAGGAUUCUUAUCAAGAUACUAGUAAUUCUUGGGAAGACUUUGAUUACUAGUUACUAUAGUUUGAUCCUACUGUUAACGAAUCUAAGGGUUGAAUCUAUAAAGAUGGAUAUGGAAUUUUGAUUGAAUAAAAUUGAAAAUCAAAAUAAACCAUCAUAUCUAAUUGAUUUAGGAAUUAUGAUAAUGAGAUUAAUAAUUGGUUGGGUUACAAAUUAUGAAUAUUUUGUCUUAUCCUUGUAAGUUAUACUAGGGAAUGAUAUGGUAGGUUAUUACUAGAUACUAAUGAUUCUUGAUAACUCUUGAUCAUUAGUUAUCUUGGUCUUCCAAAUCAUUAUUUACCUCAAAACAAAGCUACAAGUAGUAAGAAGGGUUAAAAAGCUAAACCUUAAAUCAAUAAUUAAUCUCAUUCACUUGAUGUUUUAGGAAUCUAUUUUAAGAAGGAAAUAUUAAGUUCUCAAUGCAAUAUUGGUCUUAAGUUUUAAUUUGGUUGCAGAUUGACUUUGAUCCUAAAUCCUAGAUUUGAUAAUUUUCUCUCUUUCUAAGGAUUUGACAUUGGAUUGUGAAAUUCUCUAAAAUAUUCUUUCUUUUAUUGAUUCAUUUCAUUAAAUAUUUUAGGGAAUUUUUAUUCAUAUUUAUCCAUAUUUAUUUAAAUUAAGAUUUCUUUAUCUUUAGCAAAUAAUUACCCUUUUUCAUCUAAAAACAAAUAAACAAAUUAGAGUUGAUCCCAGAAAACGAUAACCCACAACACUGCAAAGUCAUGGUAACUCUAUCUCUAGUUUUUCUUAGCUAGAGUUAUCAUAUAUUUAAGCUUAAUUAUUUUAAUUACAAUAGAGAUUUGCAGUGAAUGAGUAUUCUCAAUAGAGACACUAUGAUAUUUCACGGACUUGAAGACAAUAUAUGCCCUUGGGUGAUCCUAAGGAUAUGUGUUUAGAUAAACUAUGGUUAUAGUAGUGCCUUAAGCUCUUUGUGAGAUAGGACAUGUCAAUUGAUUACGUAAUAAGAGGAUUUGUAACUUAAGGAUGGUAGAAGUAAUCUUAAGAGGAUGAUAGUUUUUACCUUGUUAGAUUAUAGACAUCAAUUCAUUGGGAGACUAUAUAUAGUGUAUAGUAGGUCACGAACCCGAACACUUAUUGUCUUGUUGUAAUAUGCAUAAGGUAUUAUAGUAUAGUUAACUCAGUAUAAUGGGAUAUUGAGUCAACUUCAAAAUUGAAUUAUGAGGGAGUCGAUACCAUCCUAGCAGUUCCAAUGGUCCUCAUUCAAACUCAUAUAUCUUGAUGACACUUUUUAUGAGGGUUGAAUUGGCUUUUGGUUCAUUCAUAAAGAUGUUUUGGUAAUUACGUUAGGUUGCCUGAGAAUUAGCGGACAACAUCUCUAGAAUAAGUUAAUUGAUUAAUUGGAGUUUUGAUGGAUUAAUUAAUCAAUUAAGACUCUUUUUUGGGCUAGAUUAAGUGACCCAAGCUCAAGGUAGGUUCAAGUCACUUAAGCUUAGUAGAAACCCUAUAAAUACCCCUUAUAAAAUUAAGGUUUCAAGUCUUCUUCUACCAUUCUCCCUAUGUUCCAAAGAGAGAACCUUAACUUCCAUGCUCAUGACUUCCACCAUUUGUGUUCUUAGUUUCAAGAAAUAGUCAUUAGGUGGAAGAUUGGAGGUUUAUGAGAUCACCUUUGACUACCACAACAUCAAAUAAUGAUUUCAUCAUAACGAUUCAAUCUACAAACAUCCAAAUCUAAGGUAAAUAUUCUAAACAUGUAAUCUAGAUCUUGUGAAUAGUUUUAAAUGUUAUAUUUUUACUAUGCAUAGGAUCUAGUUGCCCUAGUAGUAGUUUCAUGCUCCUAACCUGAUCCUUGGACAGGGAACAAAGUAAUCAAGAUUUCCCAUCAGUUGGAUGACCUUGUUGAAAAGAAAAAUUGUUUUCAUGCCUUGAAAGGUAUGUCUUUCUAGGAAGCGUAUGACCACUGGUAUGGUGUAGUGAUUAUGUAUGGUGAAAAAAAAUUAAAAAUAAAUAAAAUAAAAUAAAAGAAUGCAGUGGGCUGCGAGGCUACAUAGUAGUGAUUGUGCUGUUGGAAGAGAUGAUAAUAAUUUGGUGAUGGUAUAGAUUAUUGGGAGAAGUGAGAGUAGUGAAGUAAAAUAAAAUUGUUAUAUAAAACAAUAAACAAAAACACAAUUAUGCUGGGCUAAUAGCAAUAAAUUAAUCAAAUGGAAACUAAAGGAACAUGACAACGGAAUCUGAAGCAAAGACAUGAAGAACAAUAAGAAACUAAAAACAUGAACCACCUUCCACACACGACACACUCAACUGCAAAACCCUAAUUGGUAGAAAUUAAAAUUGAACCUAAAAUGGGAACCAUGACCACAACAAAUUCAAGGGAAAGGAUGAGAACUAGCACCACCACCAGGACCACCACCGGUGCCCACUCCACCGCCUAGGGUUCCGAUACCACCGGUGCCACCCAAGCUGCCGAUCCCUCCUGGCCCAUCAAGUCCACCUGCGCUACCGAUUCCUCCGGCAACUCCGCUGACUCCACCUAGCCCACCAAAUGGCAGUCCAGAAUCACCUACUCCUGCAAAGCCACCGAGCCCGCCAAAGGUGACGAUGUUCUUUUGGUCAUCGAGACCAGCAUCACUAGGCACAGUCCUUGCAGUGGUGUGAGCCACUGCUAGGGCAAGCACUGCCAUGAUAAACCACUUUGCCAUCUCUCUCUUUUCUCACUCACUCACUCACUCACACUCUAAUGCUUCUUUUUGAGUGUGUACUCUGUUGCACCUGAAGGGUGUUGCGGGUCUCCUUUUAAAGGCCUAAAGGGAGGUGGGGGACAGUUGCAAGUAGUAAAUGAAGUUAAAUGCUGAUCAGUCCACAGCUAUACUCAGUCGAUGGAAUUGAACAGGAUUUGUUGCGACUAUGCUCCGAGCCUCAGGGCCUCAAAUUGAUCAACAUCUAACAGAUAAAAAUGAAAAUCACUUGCGUAUCAUCAUGGCUUCCAUACAGAUAUUAUGCAAUAUGUAUGGCUGUGCUGGGAUUCAGAAAAAUGCCCCUGCCAAUAUUUGCAUGACAGAAAACCUAAAGUACAUGAAUAUUAGGGGUUUCUUUUGACGUAUGUAAAAUUUGAAUGACAGGCCACAAAAAAUGUCUCUUUCUCUGGUAAUUCUUUCGCGUUUUAUUUUUCAUAUCCUGAAUUUUUCAGAUGAUCUCUAAGAGAAUGUAUGGAAAAAAUGAAUAGCAAAUUAGAUAAAUUGAUACCUAAUACUAUAUUAAUACCUCUCUGGGGUGCAUUUCGUCUUUUUGGGCUUACCAUAUGAGAUAGAAAGGGAUGCAAAAUAACAUUAUAAGAUGGAGAAUUUAAGCCUUUGUUUGUAUUAUUUGAUUCUUUUUAGUUAAAAAAAAAAAGAGUUAUGCAUGAUGUUAUUUAUUUUGACUGGAAUGGAGACUAAGUAUUAUAUAUAUAUAUAUAUAUAUAUAUAUAUAUAUAUAUAUAUUUCCAUAAAAUUUUACUUCAGGGUGUAGGUAAGAAGAUUAUCAAUCCACCAAACUGCUGAUAAUCUUUCAAUGUUAUGUUGGAAUCCAUCCAGUGUCUGGCUUUGUCAUUAUAGAUGUGUCAUUGUGAGAUGGAGAAUUAAUCAAGCCUUGGUUUGUAUUAUUUGAUUCUUUUUAGUUGAAGUCUUCACCAAAAAGAAUUGACAAACUUUUGAGAACGUUAUAUAUAAUCAUAAUGCAAUAAAUAAAUAAAUAAAUAAAAUUAUAGCUACACCCGUUUAAUCAAAUUAAGAUUUUUCUUGUUAAUUUGGAGUCAUGAAAAUUAUUAGAAUUUUUAGAUAAGAUGGCUAAGUACUUUAUCCAAAUAAAAAUUAGUUAGGUCUCGUUUUUCUAGUCUGAUGAACAUGAUGAGAAUUUGGUGAGAACUGAAAGAUAAAAGGGUUGCUGAAGCUCCACUUAUUGGGCAAAUACUAAGAGAGAAGGAGAGUGAGGUGAUCAGUGGGGUAGGGAGAAUCAAUAACAGCUCCUCCAGCUGCCCUUGACAGGACUAGGGCUGAGGAUGCUGACCUUGGUGGAGGAGAAAGUAAAUGCAUUUGUGGGGACGGUUUGUGGACUCCUAUUAGGUCCCAAACAGAUUUUUAUUUUAUAAAACAUCAAAUAGUAGUUUUAAAAAACUGUUCAAAAAAAUUGUUUUCAAUACUGUUUUUGAAAACAGUUAUCUAACAAGGCUUAAGUAUAUUUUUUUGUUUUUUAUUUUUAAAGUUAGAAAAAUAGUGGGAAUUUUCAUGUUAGAGACAAGUACUUUUGGAAAUUAAUAUUAAAAAAUUAACAAUUUUAAAUUUGUUUAAAGAUUGUAAGAUAUUAAUAAAAUUUUACUAUUGAAAAAUUUUAAAAUACAUAUUAAGAAUAGAUAUCAACAAAUCCAACAAAAUUGAAAAACUAUACGGCAUAUAGUACUUCCACAAAUCAAGACUUUUAAAAAUGUGGAAAAAGAAAUUAAAAAAAAAAAAAAACCACCACAGAUACCUCUCCUUAUACUGGUUUCCCUUGAGACUCCUAAAUAUAAAUAAUAAUAAUAAAAAACCAUACCAGAAAAUACAAAUCACAAAAAAAAAAAUCAGCAUUAACUUUAAGAUUUGACUUUCAUGUGGAUUGGAUAAGUUGUUUUCCAAAAAUGUUAUUCAACAUUUUGAAAGUUCCAACAACCGUGAAGUGAUUGGUAGGGAAACACACUAUGUUGGUUAUGAAAAGUAUUAAGGAAAAUAUAUAUAUAUGUUGUCGUAUAAAAAUGAGUAAGAAAUUUAUAUAUUUAUAAAUUAUUUAAUUUUUAUGUGUAAGAGUUAAAUAAAUGAAGAAAUGAGUUUGAUGUAUGAUAUAAAAAUAAUUUAUUGACUUUAAAUUUACUUUUUAUUUUUCUUCACCCCUUUUUUCGUUCUACUUUUCUUCUUUAUUUUCUUUUCUUCAGAUUUUAUGGAACCAAAUGUAUACUAUAUGACCUUUUAAUGUAAAAAAUGAGUUUUUCACGAGAAAGGUAUUUCCCAUCAAAAAUUUUUAUUUUUAAUGAUGAAAAGUUUGUUUAUGAUGAAAAAAAAAUAAUACAUGUGAUACAUAAUUUUUUUUUAUUUAUAAUUUUUAGUUAUGAAAUUAAUAUUUAUAGCAAAAAAAACAUAUUUAAAAACAAUAUUUAUUAAUUUUUUUAUUUAAAAUCUUUUUCAAUAAAUUAAUUUUUAGUUUAUACCAAUAAAUCCCAUUUAUACACAAAAUCAAUUUGUAAUAAAUGGUUCUCUAUUUAUAAAAUAUUUGAUAAUUUUUUUUAAAGAGAUGAAAUGAUCAAAUUGACAAUAAAAAUAUUGUUUUACAGGUGAAAUUGGUUAAACAUGAGGAUAAUGAUGGCGAAAACAGUUGAAGAAUUAAUAGAACAAUAUUUAACUGUACGUGGGGGAUAAUAAACUAAGAUAAUGCUCGGGCAACUUGUCUAUACUUGGCCAUUUGUUGGGAUUAGAUGCUUACAUCUAGUGAGAUGUAGGCGUUUGUAUUUAUAAAUGUACAUAUAAGAUGGAACAGCAUAUGUUCAUCUAAUUGUAUUUUAGAGUGGAGAGACUAGUACCAAGCAUAUUGUUCUCUAUUUUGCUUUCAUUGGUGCGUAGUUAAGCUUGUCAAUGAGUUAUAUAUGGUAAAAAAAAAACAUAUUUUACCAUGUGAGUAAAAAAUAGUCUUUAAAAAUUCAUAAUACUGUUUGACUAUUGUUCUCUAUUUAUGAUUUUGAAAAACAAGUGAAAAUAAAGAACAAUUUUUAGAGAAUAAAUAAAAGUUAUUUUCAUUAGUUUUUAAAAAUAAAAGAAAAAUAUCAGGAAAUUUUAAAAAAUCAUAAAAAACUAAAUAAAAUUGAACAUCAUAUCCUUCUUUUUCUUUCUCACAUAUCUAAUACUAAUAUUGAAAAUAUUUAAAUAUUAUUUUCUUAUAAAUUACACUUGUUUUUCUAAAUUUCUUUUAACUUCUCUAAAAUUUUUCAUUCAACAAAUAAAUUCUAAAUCAAAUUACACUUUAUAUAUAACAUUUAUUAAUUGUUUUAAAUAAUUUAAAACUCAAAAAUUGAUAUAAUUAGUACUAAAAGGUUGUAGAACUUAAUAAUAUUAGAAAGUCAUAUACCAAAAUUUAUUUUAGGACAUAGUUUCUUCUCUACAUAUAUCAUAUUUUUACUAAUUUUUUCAUUCAACAAAUAAAUUUCAAAUUAAGUAAGACCUAUUGAGUUGGAUUCAUGAAUGAGUUUAAUAAUUUUUAAAAAUAACUUAAAACUCAAAUAAUGAUCCAACAAAUAUUAGAAAUUGAUGGAUAAAAAAUUGGUCUAAAAUGACUCUAUUAUUAUUAUUAUUAUUAUUAUUUUACAUAGAAUUAUUAUUUUCUGAUUUUGUUUUAUUAGGCAAAUAAAUUUCAAAUUAAAUAAGACUUAAUGCAUUAGAUUCAUCAAUGAGUCUAGUAAUUUUUAAAAAUAACUUAAAACUCAAAUAGUGAUCCAAUCAAUACUAGAAAUUGAUGUAUAAAAAUUGGUGUAGAACGACUCUUAUUUCACUUUUACAUAUAAUUAUUAUUGUUCAAUUUUUUUUUGCUAGGCAAAUAAACUUUAAAUUAAACAAAACAUAAUGCAUUGGAUUAAUCAACAAGUCUAGUAAUUUUUUAAAAUAAAUUAAAAUUCAAAUAGUAAACCUAUUAAUAUAAAAAGUUUAUGGAUAAAAAUUCGUUACAAUGACUAUUAUUUCUUUUCUACAGAUAAUUAUAUUUUUAUAAAUUCUCUUACUAGAAAAUGAACUUCAAAUUAAGUGACGCUUUAUAUUAAAUUUAUUAUUGGGUUUAAAAAUUUUUAAAAAUAAUUUGGAACUCAAAAAAUAGAUCUAAUCACUAAAAAAAACUAAUAAAUCAAAAUUGAUAUAUUAUGAGUCUUGAUUUUACUAUUUCUCUAUACACAUAACUAUAUAUAUAUAUAUAUAUAUAUAUAUAUAUAUAUACACUAAUUUUCUCACUAGGAAAAUAAAUUAUAAAUUAAUAAGACACAAUUAAUAAUUUAAAUUCUUUAAUGAAUUUUAAUUUUUUUAAAAUAAUUUGGUUAUUUAAUUUUUAAAAAUAAUUUGGAAUUCAAAAAACCAAUCUAGUUAAUUUCAAAUUAAAUCAAAAUAUCUUAGAAUAUUAUGUUCAUGAUUGAAUACUGUGUAUGUAAUAAAAAACUUGGAUCAUUUACAUGUUAAAAAAUUAAACUUUAUUCAUGAUUCAUCUUAAAUAAAAUAUUAUUAAUAAUUAUUAUUUUAAAAUUAUUGUUGUUCCCUUUUAACAAAAAAAUUAUAAAGAUGUAAAUAUCCUUAUAUUUCUAACAUGUACUAUAAUAUUACUAUUCAUGUUUUACUAAAAACUAUUUAUUUAUUAAUCUAUUUAUAAUUACAAAACUAUUUUCGGUUUUAAUAAGAUUUAGAAUAAAAUUUAAUUCAUAUUAUAUAAAUUGAAUUUACAAUAUUUUUACCAUGUCAAAAUAGAAAAAUUAUUUUAAAAAACGACUAAUCCAAAUAAAGUUUUUGGUUUUUAUUUUUAAGAAUUGUUUUUAAAAGCAACUUGCCAGACAUGCUUAUUUUUAUAAAAUAUUAAAAAACUAUUUUUUGUUCUUCAACUUAAAAACAAGUCUUUGAAAACAUGGCAAAUAAACCCAAAAUUUGCAUAUCCACAACUUACAUGAAGCCUUUUCAUCAAGGAUAUCAAGGCCAUUUUGCUUUAUACUUGUUUUCUCUAUUAGGUUGUGAAGAAAAACUUUGGAAGUGUACUAGGCUUUUCUUUUUUCUUUUUUCUGUUUACUUAUUUAUGGAAGUGGUUUUCUGUAACACCCCGACCUAGAAUAAGGGCUAUUUAUGGAAUUUAAAAAUUAAGCAAAAAAUAGAGAGAAGAUAUUUUUGGUUCCUAUAACUACUUACUGUCUUUAUCUUGUUAUGGUUUUUUUCCUUUCCAAUUCUUCAUCCUUGUUAUUAGGAACGAUAAAAAAAAUAUAUAAAGAGAAUAGAGUUUUUAUGAUUAAUCUUUCAAGGAAAGAAUCUAACCUAUAAAUUUAAUAUCCGGUUCCAUUUUCUUGGUUGUGUAAAAUAAAUAACCUUGAAUCUUUUAGGUAUUCUCUUGAAAAGAUUUGAAUUUAGGAUUAAUUUAUUUUUUUUAAAAAGGAAUAUAGAUAGGUUGAUUUAUUCAUGGAGAUAGGAAAAUUGUAUAGAUCCAAGUCAAUUAAAAAAAUAAAAUAAAAAUCUAUUGCAACAUUAAUUAGAAGAAAAAGUACAAACUUGAUGGCCUAUUGGUUUAUUGUUACAUGUUUGAAAAGAAAAAGAAAAAGAAAAAGAAAAAGAGAUAUUUUAUGGGUUUCAAAUUUUAUGCCGUUAGUGUUAGGAUAAAGACCUUAAAAACAUGACAUGAUGUAAUAAAUUUGGAAUUUAUUAUUUAUUUAAUUAUAUUUUAGUUGCACUUUUAUCUAUCCUUGUUCUAUGCUUUAUAUUUUGAGUGUUUUAACCUAUAUUUCCUACAUUUUACAUGACUUGAGUGCAUUAAGAGUUGCACAGAAGAUCCAAUCCAUGUGUUUUUUGCAAGUAAAUGAUUUGUUCACAACUGAAUUGAUUCCACGUGAUAAAGUUGAAAAAUGAAGUCACAAGAAGUACAAUAAACGAAAGUCUUCCACCCGAUGACUUGUACCUUGAUCUUGACACACUUCCGAUGGGGAUGGAAGAGAGGGUAGAGACUAUGACCCUCUCUCUCUCUUUAGGUGGAAGACAACUCUCUAGAAAAAACUAUGGAAACUCUAAACCCUAAGAAAGGUAUUUAUAGGAUUUCCCAUUAGGCUUAAGUAACUUGAGCCCACUAAGGCUUAGAUCACUUAACGGGUCCUAAUUAAUUAAUUAACCCAAUAGACUCUACAAAUUAAUCAAUUAGCCCAAUCUAGAGACCUCAUUCACUUACCCUUGUACAACCUUGCAUAAUUACCAAAAUGCCCUUAUGCACAAAAGUGAACUUAGAGUCAAUCCAACCUUCAUAACCUAUGCCAACAAAGUAUAUAAGCUCAGAAUGGGGACCAUUAGGACCCAUAGGAGUAGUGGCUCCCUUAAAAUCCAAUUCUGAAGUUGAUUCAACAUCCCACUACAGAGAAUCAAUUGAGUUCCAAUAUCCUAUGUAAAUAACAAUGAGACACUAUGUGCUUGGGUCUGUGAGCUAUUAUCCGUUGCAUUCAAUCUCCCUAUGAAAAUAUAUCCGUAGUCUAACAGGUGAAAGAUAUCAACCUUUCAAGAUUACCUUUACUAUCUUUGAGUUAUAAACCUUCUUAUUGUGUGUUUAACUUACAUAUCUUAGCUUUCCAAGAGCAUGAUGUCAAGUUCCACUUAAGAACUACUAUGACCAUAGUUUACAUGAAUGCACCUCUUUAGGAUCAACCAAGGGGCACUCUGUCUCAAUCUUAUGAGAUAUCAUGUUGCCUCUAUUGAGAAUACCUAUUACUACUAGCUUUCUUCAAUAGUGACCCAAACUAUAGGGAAUAUAUGAUCAUCUCAUGAUUUCACUCGUAAGUUAAUUAAAACCAUUACUAACUUUAGCACAAAUUUAAUAUUCUCUCAAGGUCGAGACACAACACAAUGAAAUAGCUUGGUGAAGUCAUGGCUAGUUGAUAGCCAUACACAUUGGUGCAAUGUGUAACCAUACACACUAGUGCACUCAUAAUGGGAAACCCAUGUCGAUAACCAAUACUAGUCAUCCCUCUAAUAAGGAGGUGGUGCACUACAAGCUUUAAUGGGUUGUCUAAACCCCAUGAACCAAUUAUGAAUGAGUCAUCUAUUUACAAGGAACUUGUGACUUGGAUCUUCUGUGCAAUUCCUAAUGCACCCAAUUUACGUAUAAUGCAAAAGAUGCAGGUUAGAGUGCUUACAAAGUAUAAUGUAUGGAAAUAAGAUAGUUAAAAGUGAACUAGAACUUUAUUAAACAAAUAAUAAAAUUCAAGAGUUUAUUACAUCAUGUCAUGCUUUUAAAGCCUUUAUCCUAACACUUAGGUCAUCCAUUUGAGGUUGUAGUACACUACGUACCGCUGUUGGGAUUGAACUUCUAAACGCAAAACAUGAUGUAACAGUUAGACUUAACUAUCCCCUUGCUAUCCUUUUUGGUGUAUUGACAUUGAUUCGAGCAUUCAACUCAUGUCUCUUACAUUGUAUAUGACUUGUAUGCAUUAGGAGUUGCACGAAAGAUACAAGUCAUUGGUUCCUUGUAAGUAGAUAAGUUGUCCAUAGUUGGUUCAUGGAUUUGGGCAAUUUAAUAGAGAUUAUAAUGCAUCACCUCCUAAUUUGAGGAAUGACUUGUCUUGGUCAUCAGGAUGAGUUUCCCAUGUUGAGUGCACUAGUAUAUGUAAUGCACACUAGACAGAACCUACAAUGAAUUAUGACGCAAGUUUAUCAAUUGUCAUGAUUCACCAAGCUAAUAUACUAUAUGGACUCUCAACCUUGAGAGGAUAUUGAGCUUAUGCCAAAAUCAAUAGGAGACUUUGACCAAUGGGUGAGACCCUAAAGUAAUCAUUUAUCCCUAUGGAUUUGGUCACUAUUGAUGGAGGCUGGUGACAACAUGUAUUCUCAAUUAAGGCACUAUGAUAUCUCAUGGGAUUGAGACAAUGUGUCUUUUGGGUGAUCUAAAAGACAUGUGAUCAUGAAAUCUAUGACCACCGUAAUUCCUUUAGUGGAAUUUGACUUAUGCUCAUUGGAGUUAGGCUAUGUUAGUUGAUCAUAUAAUCAGUAAGAUCUGUAACUCAAGGAUUUGAGAUGUAAUCUUGAUAGGUGAUAACAUUCCCUUGUUAGAUUACAAACACCAAUUCAUAGGGAGUCUACAUGUAAUGAAUAGUAGGUUAUGGACCGAACUUUGUCUCGUUGUUAUUUAAAUAGUGUACUGAAGUGGAGUUGAUUCUCUUUAGUGGAAUUUUGAAUCACAUUUAGAAUUAGAUUAUGAGGGAGCUAGUACUCCUAUGGGUCCUAAUGGUCCUCGCUCUGAGCUCAUAUACCAUGAUGACACAGUUUAUGAGGGUUGGAUUGACUCUAGGUUCAUUCUUGUGCAUAAGGGCAUUUGGUUAAUUUCGUAAGGUUGUAUAAGGGAUAACAAACCAGGUCUCUAGAUUGGGCUAAUUGAUUAAUUAGAUGACCCUAUGUGGUUAAAUAAUCAAUUUGGGCUUGUUUUGGACUAGAUUAAGUGACCCAAGCCUUGAUAGGCUUAAGUCACUUAAGGCCAAUGGACAACCCUAUAAAUGUAAAUAUUUGGCCAUUUAAAACUCAAAAAUCAAUAUAAUUAGUACUAAAAGGUUGUGAAACUUAAUAAUAUUAGAAAGUCAUAGACCAAAAUUUAUUUUAGGACAUGGUUAGUUUCUUCUUUGCAUAUAUCAUAUUUUUACUAAUUUUUUCAUUAGACAAAUAAAUUUCAAAUUAAGUAAGACCUAUUGAGUUGGAUUCAUGAAAGAGUCUUAUAAUAUUUAAAAAUAAGUUAAAACUCAAAUAAUGAUCCAAUCAAUAUUAAAAAUUGAUGGAUAAAAAUUGGUCUAAAAUGACUCUAUUAUUAUUAUUAUUAUUUUUUACAUUAAAUUAUUAUUUUCUGAUUUUGUUUCAUUAGGCAAAUAAACUUCAAAUUAAACAAGACUUAAUGCAUUAGAUUCAUCAAUGAGUCUAGUAAUUUUUUUAAAAAACUUAAAAUUCAAAUAGUGAUCCAAUCAAUACUAGAAAUUAAUGUACAAAAAUUGGUGUAGAACGACUCUUAUUUAUCUUUUCAUAUAAUUAUUAUUUUUCAAUUUUUUUUGCUAAGCAAAUAAACUUUAAAUUAAACAAAACAUAAUGCAUUGGAUUCAUCAACGAUUCUAGUAAUUUUUAAAAAUAAAUUAAAACUCAAAUAAUAAACCUAUUAAUAUAAAAAAUUUAUGGAUAAAAAUUGUUUACAAUGACUAUUAUUCCUUUUCUACAAAUAAUUAUAUUUUUAUAAAUUCUCUUAAUAGAAAAAUGAACUUCAAAUUAAGUGACCCUUUAUAUUAAAUUUAUUAUUAGGUUUAACAAUUUUUGAAAAUAAUUUGGAACUCAACAAAUAGAUAUAAUGAUUAAAAAAUGCUAAUAAAACAAAAUUGAUAAAUUAUAAGUCUUGACUUUACUAUUUCUCUAUACACACAACUAUACAUAUAUAUAUAUAUAUACUAAUUUUCUCACUAGGCAAAUAAAUUAUAAAUUAAGUAAGACACAAUUAAUAAUUUAAAUUCUUUAAUGAAUUUUAAAUUUUUUAAAAUAAUUUGGUUAUUUAAUUUUUAAUAAUAAUUUGGAAUUCAAAAAACCAAUCUAGUUAAUUUCAAAUUAAAUCAAAAUAUUUUAGAAUAUUAUGUUCAUAAUUGAAUACUAAAUAUGUGCAUGUAAUAAAAAAAACUUGGCUCAUGUACCUGUUAAAAAAUUAAACUUUAUUUGUUAUUCAUUUUAAAUAAAAUAUUAUUAAUAAUUAUUAUUUUAAAAUUAUUAUUAUUCACUUUUAACAAAAAUUUAUAAAGAUGUUAAUAUCCUUAUGUUUCUAAAAUUUACUAUAAUAUUACUAUUCAUGUUUAACUAAAAACUAUUUAUUUAUUAAUUUAUUUAUAAUUACAAAACUAUUUUCGGUUUUAAUAAGAUUUAGAAUAAAAUUUAAUUAAUAGUAUAUAAAUUGAAUUUACAAUAUUUUUACUAUAUCAAAAUAGAAAAUUAUUUUUAAAAAACAACUUAUCCAAAUAAAGUUUUUGUUUUUUAUUUUUAAGAAUUGUUUUUUAAAAACAACUUGUUAAACACCCUUAUUUUUAUAAAAUAUUAAAAAAAUAUUUUUUGUUCUUCAACUUAAAAACAAGUCUUUGAAAACAUGGCCAAAUGAACCCAAAAUUUGCAUAUCCACAACUUACAUGAGGCCUUUUCAUCAAGGAUAUCAAGGCCAUUUUGCUGUAUACUUGUUUUCUCUAUUAGGUUGCAAAGAAAAAUUUUGGAAGUGUACUAGGCUUUUGUUUUUUGUUCUUUUUUUUUACUUAUUUAUGGCAGUGGUUUUGUGUAACACCCCGACCUAGAAUCAGGGAUAUUUAUGCAAUUUAAAUUUUUUUUAAAAAUAGAGAGAAGUUAGAUGUUUGAUUCCUAUAAGUACUUACUAUCUUUAUCUUGUUAUGAUUUUCUCCUUUCCAAUUCUUCAUCCUUGUUAUUAGGAACGUUAAAAAAAAUAUAUAUAUAUAAAGAGAAUAGAGUUUUUAUGAUUAAUCUUUCAAGGAAAGAAUCUAACCUAUAAAUUUGAUAUUUUGGUUCCAUUUUCAUGGUAGUGUAAAAUAAAUAACCUCGAAUCUUUUAGGUAUUCUCUUGAAAAGAUUUGAAUUUAGGAUUAAUUUAUUUAAGAAAAAAAGAAAUAUAGAUAGGUUGAUUUAUUCAUGAAGAUAGAAAAAUUGUAUAGAUCCAAAUCAAUUAAAAAAAUAAAAUAAAAAUCUAUUGCAACAUUAGAAGAAGAAGUACAAACUUGGAUGGCCUAUUAGUUUAUUGUUACAUGUUUGAAAAAAAGAAAGAAAAAGAAAAAGAAAAAGAGAUAUUUUUAUGGGUUUCAAAUUUUAUGUUGGUGGUGUUAGGAUAAAGACCUUAAAAACAUGACAUGAUGUAAUACAUUUGAAAUUUAUUAUUUAUUUAAUUAUAUUUUAGUUACAUUUUUAUCUAUUCUUGUUUUAUGCAUUAUAUUUUAUGAGUAUUUUAACCUAUAUUUUUUACAUUUUACAUAACUUGAGUGCAUUAGGAGUUGCACGGAAGAUCCAAUUCAUGUGUUUUUUGUAAGUAAAUGAUUUGUUCACAACCGAAUUGAUUCCACGUUAUGAAGUUGAAGAAUGAAGUCACAAGAAGUAUAAUAAACCUGAAAUCUUCUGCCCGAUGACUCGAAGUUUGAUCUUGACAUACUUUCGAUGGGGAUGGAAGAGAGUGUAGAAACUAUUACCCCCCCUCUCUCUCUCUGUAGGUGGAAGACAACUCUCUAGAAAAAACUAUGGAAACCCUAACCCCUAAGGAGGGUAUUUAUAGGGUUUCCCAUUAGGCUUAAGUAACUUGAGCGUACUAAGGCUUAGAUCACUUAAUGGGUCCUAAUUGAUUAAUUAACCUAAUAGACUCUACAAAUUAAUCAAUUGGCCCAAUCUAGAGACCUCGUUCACUUACCCUUGCAUAACCUUACGUAAUUACCAAAAUGCCCUUAUGCACAAAAGUGAACCUAGAGUCAAUCCAACCCUUAUAACCUAUGCCAACAAAGUAUAUAAGCUUAGAACGGGGACAAUUAGGACCCAUAGGAGUAGUGGCUCCCUUAAAAUCCAAUUCUAAAGUUGAUUUAACAUCCCACUUUAGAGAAUCAAUUGAGCUCCAAUAUCCUAUGUAAAUAACAACGAGACACUAUGUGCUCGGGUCUAUGAGUUGUUAUCUAUUGCAUUCAAUCUACCUAUGAAUUGGUAUCCAUAGUUUAACAGGUGAAAGCUAUCAAUCUUUCAAGACUAACUCUACUAUCUUUGAGUUAUAAACCUUCCUAUUGUGUGUUUAAUUGACAUAUAUUAGCUUUCCAAGAGCAUGAUGUCAAGUUCCACUUAAGAACUACUAUGACCAUAGUUUACAUGAACACACCUCUUUAGGAUCAACCAAGGGGCACUUUGUCUCAAUCUUAUGAGAUAUUAUGAUGCCUCUAUUGAGAAUACCUAUUACUACCAGCUUUCUUCAAUAGUGACCCAAACUGUAGGGAAUAUAUGAUAUUCUUACAAUUUCACCCAUAAGUUAAUUAAAACAAUUGCUAACAUUAGCACAAAUUUAAUAUUCUCUCAAGGUUGAGAGAUAACACAAUGAAACAACUUGGUGAAGUCAUGGCUACUUGAUAGCCAUACACACUAGUGCAAUGUGUAACCAUACACACUUGUGCACUCAUAAUGGGAAACCCAUAUCGAUAGCUAAUGCUAGUCAUCCCUCUAAUAAGGAGGUGGUGCACUACAACCUUUAAUGGGUUGCCUAGACCCCAUGAACCAAUUAUGAAUGGGUCAUCUAUUCACAAGGAACUUGUGACUUGGAUCUUCCAUGCAACCCCUAAUGCACCCAAGUCAUGUAUAAUGCAAAAGAUGCAGACCAUGGAAAUAAGAUAGUUAAAAGUGAACUAGAACUUUAUUAAACAAAUAAUAAAAUUCAAGAGUUUAUUACAUCAUGUCAUACUUUUAAAGGCUUUAUCUUAACACUUAGGCCAUCCAUUUGAGGUUGUAGUACACUACCACUACAAGGAAAAAGCUACAUGGUGAUGUUUGUAAUGAGUCACCAUAAACAUAGGAUGUCACUACAACAUAGCGCAUCAGUUGAUCCACUAACACUGUAAAGAGUACCAAUUGGUGAUGUACUUGGAAGUGAUACCAAAGUAGAUAAAUGAUGACACAUUUAGAAGCGACACCAUAUAUUUUUGGUGAUGAUUAUUUUGUGUUGUGUGAGAUAUAUAGGGUGUCACAUUAAAUGCAUCACCUUUGAGUUAUGCUAUCACAUUAAAUGUAUCACUUUUGAGUUAUGGUGUCACAUCAUUGUAAAUGAUUGUGGAAGAUAUGGUUGCUUUUGGUUGAUUAACUAUUUGUGGAUUUUUGUAAUGCUUAUAAUUAACAAGUAAGAUUAACCCAUGUAUAUUUUAUCCAUAAAUAUAAUAAUCAUAUUAAUACAUCGCAUCAUCUAAUAAUAUUUGUAUAUCAAAUGUUCACAAAAGAGUAGUACAUCAAACAUGUCAAACCCACCAAAAUUAAAAAGGAAAAGUGAAUACAUACUAAAACAUGAUUUAGAAAUGUUAAACAUCCCAAAAUAAAUGUAUANNNNNNNNNNNNNNNNNNNNNNNNNNNNNNNNNNNNNNNNNNNNNNNNNNNNNNNNNNNNNNNNNNNNNNNNNNNNNNNNNNNNNNNNNNNNNNNNNNNNUCCCAAAAUAAAUGUUAUACCCCAUUUCAUAAGCAUAAAACGGCUAACUAUAAAAUGACACAAAUUUUUUAUUUAAAAACUAAAAUUUUCACUAUCAAUUAAAGUAAUAUUUAUGUCCUACAAUGUAUGAUAUAAGAAUCACAUUUAAAAACCCAAAAUCUUGUUGUCUUCUUUCUUUUUAUUCUCCAUUCCAUCCUCCCAAGAGUGUAUACCUGCAUUUUAUAGUUUAAUGAAUUUUAGAGUUUUUAUUGAAAAUAAAUAUGAAUUGAUGUUAUCAUAAAUGAAUAAACCUAAGAACUAUUUUUUUUCUUUCUUGUUUUCAAAUAGAAACAUUAUUAAAAGAAUAAGUAAUACUAUACAAUGCAUAUGAAAAAAGUUCAUAUAGUAGCUAAGGGACUCACCAUGCAUGAUCAUGCUGCAUCAACAUGAUUCACGAUUAAUUGUAACACAAAAAUAGCCCAUUCUCAUAUAAUUUCAUCAAAUUCUACUUGAGAAUAUGUUUUUUUUAUCACAAAAUUGAAAUCAAAUAAGAAAAUAACAUUAAUAUAAACAACAAUUGGAAGCCUAAACUAUGUACAAUUCACUAAAUGAGUAAUGCCUUUGACACAAUAAUUAUAGGAUCAACAAUUAUCUUUUUAAUGAAUCUCAUAACAAAGUAGCCACAUUUGAUACCUCCUUCUUGUCUUGGAUACUGUUGAGUUGAAUUGAUUUUUUCUUUGUAAUAUGUUGAAGCUAUCCUUGUAAAACAUGGGCUAAGGCUAAAUGGGUUGAGUCUUAUUGUUAAAUGGGUUUUAGGGUUAGGGUUGGUAUAUGAUAACUAGAACUCUUGUAAACUCUAUAAAUAGGUGGCUUGGGAAAACGUAAAAAGUGACUAGAAAAGGUGCAUGAGCCGUCUUUCAAUAGUGAAAUAGAAUUGCUCGCUCUCUGCCUGUGGACGUAGAUCACUUUGAUCGAACCACGUAAAUAUUGUGUUUGUUCUUGUGUUAUUGUUUUCUUCCAUUAUUCCGCGAUUCUAUUGCUUGCUUACUUGACAAGUGGUAUCAGAGCCCACAAACACCUGGGUUCAGAUCUGCAGAAGGAAGAUGUCUUCACAGAAAUUCGAAGUUGAGAAGUUCAAUGGGUCGAAUGAUUUCACCUUGUGGAAGCUGAAGAUGAAGGCGCUUCUGGUUCAGCAGAAGUGUGCACAAGCAAUAGAAGGGGAAGAAACAUUACCUAUAGGAUUGACAGCAGCAGAGAAGGAGGAAGUUGUGUCUAGGGCACAUAGUGCGAUUCUGUUGAGUCUAGCAGAUGAAGUUUUGAGGGAAGUAGCUGAUGAAACUACUGCAGUUGGCUUGUGGAGGAAGCUUGAAAGCAAGUACCANNNNNNNNNNNNNNNNNNNNNNNNNNNNNNNNNNNNNNNNNNNNNNNNNNNNNNNNNNNNNNNNNNNNNNNNNNNNNNNNNNNNNNNNNNNNNNNNNNNNGUUAAAGUUGAGGAAGAGGAUCAAGCCAUGAUUUUGUUAUGUUCUUUGCCUAGCUCUUAUGAAAAUUUUGUAGAUACUAUGAUGUAUGGUAGGGAUAGUAUCUCGAUAAAUGAUGUUAAGGAUGCUCUACAGUCUAAAGAAUUGCAGAAAUUAGUUUCUGGUUCUGGGGAAGGCAGUGUGGAGACUGGGUUAACUGUGAGUAGGGGCAGGAGCAUGGAACGAAAUGGUGGAGGACGUAGUAAGUCGCGUUCUAAAUCGAAGGCUGAAAUGAGAUGCUUUCACUGUAAAGAGAAAGGGCACUUUAGAAAGAACUGUCCACAAAGGCAAAAGGGAAUUGGUCAGGGGUCGAAUGGAAAUGCGCAGGUUGUAGUAGCUCAGAAAGAUUCUGAAAAACAGGAUAGUUCUGACGAGGGAGAAGGAGGAGAUGUUUUAACUGUUAGUACAUCUAGCUCUGCAGAAUCAUGGAUCUUGGAUACUGGUGCUUCGUAUCACAUGGCUUAUUCACGAGAUCUGUUCACUACUUUUAAAGAGUGGAACGGAAGUGUAAAGUUGGGAGAUGAUGGGGAGCUAGGUGUCAAAGGCAGUGGUUCUGUGCAGAUUAAAAUGUAUGACGGAUUGGUUAGGACAUUGAAUGCUUGGUAUGUUCCUGGACUGCGAAAGAAUUUGAUCUCUGUGGGUACACUGGAUAAAAAUGGGUACACAUUCUCUGGGAGUGGUGGAGUUCUUAGGGUGUCAAAAGGAGCUCUUGUGGUGAUGAAAGGCAGAUUACAACAUGGGAUUUACACAUUGAUGGGAAGUUCAGUGUUGGGAACGGCGGCUGUGUCAAGCUCCAUGGCUAUUGAUUCUGUAGAGAAGAAAGAUAAUUGUACUGAGUUGUGGCAUCGAAGAUUGGGACACAUGAGUGAGAAAGGGCUCUCUAUCUUGAGUAAGCAAGGGCUAUUAAGUGGUGCUGAGACCGGGAAGCUGAAAUUCUGUGAAACUUGUGUUAUGGGUAAACAGCGUAGGGUGAAGUUCAGUAUGGGUAGUCACACUACUAAUGGAGUUCUUGAGUAUAUUCACUCUGAUUUAUGGGGUCCUUCUCCGGUGGAGUCUCAUAGUGGAUGCAGGUACUAUGUUACUUUUAUUGAUGACUUCUCUAGAAAGGUGUGGGUGUACUUUCUGAAAGCAAAGGAUGAAGUGUUUGGGAAGUUCAAGGAGUGGAAGACUAUGGUGGAGAAACGGACUGGAAAAGUAGUCAAGACACUCAGAACAGAUAAUGGGUUGGAAUUCUGUAACAAGGAUUUCGACGAGUUCUGCAGAAAAGAAGGUAUAGUGAGGCACCGCACUGUACGACAUACGCCACAGCAAAAUGGAGUUGCAGAACGGAUGAACCAAACACUUGUACAACGUGCUAGAUGCAUGAGGAUAGACGCUGGGUUGUCAAAAAAGUUCUGGGCUGAAGCAGUUAACACUGCUGCUUAUCUGGUAAAUAGAUCGCCAUUGACUGCAAUUGAUUUUAAGACUCCUCAAGAGGUAUGGUCCGGUAAACCCUCUAAUUAUUCUGGCUUGAAAAUAUUUGGUUGUCCUGCAUAUGCUCAUGUUAGUGAUGGCAAGCUGGAGCCUAGGGCAAUGAAAUGCAUAUUUCUAGGGUAUGCGACUGGGGUGAAAGGUUAUCGUCUGUGGUGUACUGAAGAUAGAACCCCAAAAUUUAUUAUUAGCAGAGAUGUGACCUUUGAUGAAUUUGCUAUGUUUGGCCAGAGGAAGGAGUUUGGUGAUCUUGCAGGUACUAGUAAAACUGAUCUGGGUGCUAACCAGAAGGUGGAGUUUGAGGUCGAUGCUCCAAUGGAAAAUGGUGUAGAUGACACAUCUGAAGAACAGCCCGUGAUCGACCAGAAUGAUUCACAGAGUAUAGCAGCACAUAGACCAAGAAGGGAAAUCCGGAGACCUAUGAGGUAUGUGGAUUGUGUUAGUGCUAACAUCACUAAUCCUGUUGCUUUUGCUUUAGCAAUGGCUGAAGAGAUAGGAAGAGAGGAACCAAGGUCGUAUAAGGAGGCGAUGGAAAGUAAAGACUCGAAAAAGUAGCUAAGUUCCAUGAAUGACGAGAUGGCAUCAUUGAGAAAGAAUCAAACUUGGGAGCUUGUGCCUUUGCCUGAAGGAGUGAAACCUGUUGAUUGUAAAUGGCUUUUCAAAAUAAAGGAUGGGAUUUCAGAGGAUGAACCACCUAAGUACAAAUCAAGGCUUGUGGCGAAGGGUUUUUCACAAAAGGAGGGGAUUGACUACAAUGAAGUGUUCUCACCUGUUGUGAAGCAUAAAUCUAUUCGGGUCCUCUUAGCGAUGGUAAGCGUUUUUAACUUGGAGCUUGAUCAACUUGAUGUUAAAACUGCUUUUCUACAUGGAAAUCUAGAAAAGGAAAUUUAUAUGAAACAACUUGAGGGAUUUGUUGAUUCUGAAAAGUCUGAUCAUGUGUGUUUUUUGAAGAAGUCCUUGUAUGGGUUGAAGCAAUCUCCUAGGCAAUGGUACAAGAGGUUUGAUGCAUUUAUGGUUUCUCAUGAGUUUAUGCGAAAUUAGUAUGAUAGCUGUGUUUACUUUAAAACAUUGCCUGAUGGUUCAUUUAUUUAUUUGUUGCUAUAUGUGGAUGACAUGUUGAUUGCAGCUAAGAAUCGAGCUGAAAUUAACAAACUGAAACAAUUGUUGAGUAGUGAGUUUGAGAUGAAAGAUUUGGGUGCAGCUAAGAAAAUCUUGGGGAUGGAGAUUUGGAGAGACAGAGAUGCAGGCUUGUUGUAUGUCUCACAGCAAAAAUACAUUGACAAGUUAAUGCAGGCUUUCCAUAUGGAUCACUCUAAACCGGUGAGUACUCCAUUAGCUCAACAUUUUAAAUUUGAUCAUAGUACAUUGCCUAGCACUGAUGAGGAGGUGGAGUACAUGAAGAGUGUGCCUUACUCUAGUAUGGUUGGUAGUUUAAUGUAUGCUAUGGUGUGCACUAGACCAGAUCUUGCUUUUGCUGUUAGUGUUGUAAGCAGAUUCAUGAGUAACCCUGGUAAAGAUCAUUGGGAAGCCGUCAAGUGGAUUAUGCGUUAUUUGAAGGGUUCAAGUAGUGUAUGCUUGGUGUAUGGGAAUGGUGAUGUAUCUAGUGGAUUGGUUGGGUUUACUGAUUCUGAUCAUGGAGGAGAUCUCAUGAAGAGAAGAUCAUUGACCUGUUAUAUUUUCACUCUGUUUGGGUGUGCUAUUAGCUGGAGAGCUUCUUUGCAGCCAACAGUUGCUUUGUCUACAACUGAAGCGGAAUACAUGUCCUUGACAGAAGGGGUGAAAGAAGGUAUGUGGUUAAAUGGUUUUCUUGGCAGCUUGGGUUUGAAUUUGUCUAAGCCGGUUAUCUAUUGUGAUAGUCAAAGUGCUUUGUGUUUAGCAAAGAAUCCUGUUUAUCAUGAGAGGACAAAACAUAUUGAUGUUAGGUUGAACUUUAUUCGUGAUGUGAUCGAAGAAAAGUUAUUCUCCAUUGAGAAGGUUGCCACGGAAGUUAAUCCUGCAGAUAUGUUGACUAAGCCAAUUACUACUGAAAAGUUCAAGCAUAGCUUGGACUUGGUGAAUGUUUGCAAAGUUUGAGCUUGAGGCCCUUCGGGGCGUAGCAGAUGAGUAGUUCUAUAUUCUGAAUUGAAAGAAGAAAGAAAACUUAAUUCAAGGUGGAGAAUUGUUGAGUUGAAUUGAUUUUUUCUUUGUAAUAUGUUGAAGCUAUCCUUGUAAAACAUGGGCUAAGGCUAAAUGGGCCGAGUCUUAUUGUUAAAUGGGUUUUAGGGUUAGGGUUGGUAUAUGAUAACUAGAACUCUUGUAAACUCUAUAAAUAGGUGGCUUGGGAAAACGUAAAAAGUGACUGAAAGGUGCAUGAGCCGUCUUUCAAUAGUGAAAUAGAAUUGCUCACUCUAUGCCUGUGGACGUAGAUCACUUUGAUCGAACCACGUAAAUCUUGUGUUUGUUCUUGUGUUAUUGUUUUCUUCCAUUAUUCCGCGAUUCUAUUGCUUGCUUACUUGACAGAUACUAAUUGAUCAAUUAUAAAAUAACAUUAGUACUCUUAUAUAUAAACGGUGCAAAUUCAUAAUUUGAAUAUGUAAAGCAAAAUUUUGGAUCUCACUUGCAAUAAUUGCCAAGAUGGCUCCCUUUUAAAUGUUUUCUUCGCAAAUAUUCGAAGAGCCCUUUAUUAAAUAAGUUCAAUGGUUAGUUUUUUAAAAUAGGUAAAUGUUACAUGUUUUAAUAUAUAGAAAUAAAAAUAAAAUGUGUUUGAUGUGAAUGUCAUUUUAAAAAAAAAAUGCAUGAUUCAUGAAAAACAUGGUGCUAUGAAGCCUUUUAGCUGAGUUGGUGGUUAAUAUAUGGGGUGAUGUCAUAUGGCUGGAUGACUUAUUGUGAUGGUCGCAUCACAUCUAAAUUUUUGUGACCAUAUUUUAUAUGAAAAGGACAUUAAAAAAAUAUUAUUUUAUUAUUUUAAGAAUAAUUAAUAAAUCACUUUAUUCUCAAAUUAUCUAAACAAAAACUUAAUAAAAAAUAUUUCAUCCCAAUUUUAUUUUCAAAACUUUCUUAUCGACAAUUAUCUCAUAUGUAAAUUAUUUUAUUAUACAAAGAAAUUCUUAUUCUAUUUGUGAGAACAAUAUAGAAAAAGUCAUCUUCAUUAUAGCGUAAAGCAAAACAACAAUCUUCUACAUUGAAAAUUAGAGUUCAAAACAGAGCAAGAGUCUUCCAUGUUUAAUACACCUUUAGUGAUAGAAAUUGGAAGUCUAAAAUUCAAAACUCAUUAGAUAAUAAUACGAAGAAUUUUUCUACUUUUAAUGCUCAUUUAUUUAUAGUUUUCUUACUUAAUACUUACAAUUAUUAUUUAAAAGUUUUAUAUAUGAUUAAUGUUAAAACCUGUAGCAAGUACAAGUUUAAGGGAUAGUGGAUAAGUGCUAUGGUAAAGGUUUUGUCAAUUGAGCCAAAAAGUCAAAAUUGUAUAUGAAAACAAAAAUUAAGCUUUAAAAAAUAAAUUAAUUAACACAAAUGAUUUUAUGUAAACUUGUUUAUUAGACAUAUCAAAGAAGUCUAUUUUUAUAUUAUUUUUUAAAUCCUCUUAUUUUCAUAUGAGAAAUUUUCAUUUAUACUUAAAUUACUUUUAAAAAAUUAAUCAUUGCAAAAACAUUUUAUUUUUAAAAUUAUUUUCAACAUUCUUAUUAAAAAAAAAUUUAUCAUUUGAUUAUUUUCAAAAAAGAUAAAGCCCUAAAAAACCAUUUAUAGCCCAAUUUAAACUCAAAAAUUAUUCCCAGUAUUAUUAUUUUUUUACUCUUAAAUGCUUUUCAAGCAAAAUAACAAUUAUUGAUACAUUGGUUCAUUUUUAAAUACUUUCACAAGAAUAUAUUUUAACUAUAAGUUAUUUUAAUUUAUUAAAAUAUUUUCAGGAAAUGAACUAUUAUCCAUUUAUUACUAUCCUAUUUUUUAGAAAAUAUUUUCAAUCAUUUCAUACACGUUUUCAACUACUAAAAUGAUUUUUUUUAUAGAAUAAACAAAGAAGCAUACACUUCUCCUCCACUCACUAAGUCAACUAUUACAAUCGCGCACCCUAAUAUUUUAUUCACUUACCAAUAUUUCAUUCCAUUUAGGUGACUCUCAACAAAAUCAUAUCUAUAAUACCCUUUACUCUCUUAUGAUACCGAGUAUUUUAUUCCAUUUAGGUGACUCUCAACACAAAGAAAGUGGGGAACGUCUUCUUAUGUUAAUUGAACAAAGACCUUUUUGUUUUUGUUUUUGUUUUUUACUUUCUAAUAUGUAUAUAAAAAAAAUUAUUUAUUACAAGGAAUGUGAUAGAAAGAUCAUUUUAUUUUUAAAGAUUUUUUUUUAGAAUUUCUUAAGCAUUUACAAAUAAUAGAACCUAACAAUUUUAUUUCUAAAAAAAUGACCAAUUAGAAAAAAAAAAUAUUAUUUUAAGAAAAGUUAAUAAAUCACUUUAUUCUUGAAUUAUCUAAAUAAAACUUACCAAAAAAUACUUUAUCCCAAAUUUAUUUUCAAAACUUUCUUAUUAAUAACUGUCACAUACAUAAACUAUUUUACUAUACAAACAAAUUCUUAUUUUAUUUUCUUUAGAGAAAAACUCACUUGUUUAUUAGACAUCAAAGAAUGUAUUUUUAUGUCUAUAUAUAUUUAAAUUCUCUUAUUUUCAUACAAGAAAUUUCUAUUUAUGCCUAAAAUACUUUUAGAAAAAUCAUUGCCAAAAACAUUUUAUUUUUAAAAUUAUUUCCAACAUUCUUAUUUAAAAAAAAAAAAGAAGUUAUCAUUGGAUGAUUUUCAAAAAAAGAUAGUCCUAAAAAAAUUAAUCAUUUAUAGCUCAAUUUUAACUCAAAAAUUAUCCCCAAUAUUAUUUUUAAAUUCCUAAAUUAUUUCAAACAAAAUAACAAUUAUUGAUAUUUUGGUUCGUUUUUAAAUACUUUCACAAAAAUAUAUUUUAACCAUAGAUUAUUUUUAUUUAUCAAAAUAUUUUUAGGAAAGGAGCUAUUACCCAUUUAUUACUAUCCUAUUUUUCAAAAAUAUUUUCAGGCAUUUCAUUCAUGUUUUAAAAUUUCAAACACUAAAAUUAUUGUUUUUAUAGAAUAACAAAGCAUGCAAAUUUCAACUACUAAAAUUAUCGUUUUUAUAGAAUAAACAAAGCAACAUACACUUCUCUUCCACUUACUAAUUCAACUAUUACAGUCAUCUCAAUAUUUUAUUCACCUACCAAUAUUUCAUUCCAUUUAGGUGACUAAAAAAAAAUCAUAUCUACAAUACCCUUUACCACUAUAUGAUAUCCAAUAUUCUAUUCCAUUUAGGUGACUCUCAACACAAACAAAGUGGGAAGGUUUUCUUUGGUUAACUAAAGAAAACCCUAAACAACUUAAGUGCUUUUGGAUUAAUUGGGCGUCAUCUUGUAGCACUAGCCAAUAUGCUAUUGUUAGACUUCAUCCAAAAACUCCUAGCAUGGUGGAAAAAAGUACCAAAUGUAGUCAAGUCUUCAAUAAAAUAUUUUCACAUGUGAAAAAUUACAACCAAUACACUACAGUCAAGUCUUCAAUAAAAUAUUCUCAAAUGUGAAAACUUACAACCAACUAGUGUAUCUCUCAUUCUCAAUUAGACAAAAAUUUUAAAAAUCACUCAUUUUUCUUGUUUUCAUUCGUUUUGGGUCUUAUUAGCAAUGAAACGAAAAAUAUGUUAGAAUGUUAAACCUAGUUUUUACUUUCCUAAAACUCAAUAAAAAAUGUCAUUCACAAAACCUACAUCAUAGAUAUACUAAAUCAAGCAAUAUAAAACAAUUAUACUAAUAAAGAUUUUUGUAGUAAUAAAAAAUAAAUAAAGAUGAUAGAUAAGGGAUUUUGACUUACUCGAGAUUUUACAAAGCAAAGAAUAUCAGUUAUGGGUGUGUCGACCGUGGGUGUGAGAAAAAGGAGAAGAAGACGAUAGUUAGGGUUAAGAUCUUUUAUAUUAGUUAAUGUAUAUAUGGAAACAAUGGACUUUUCAUAAAUUUUUCCUACUCACUAUUUUAAAAAAGGACCCAUUGAGUUAUAAAAUUAAUUUUUUUUUAUAUUUCAUAUGGUGUCACUUCCAAAAAAUGAUACCAUUAAUAUAAAAUUAGCAUCAUCUAACUACCCCAAUUGAAGAUUUUUUAUAUGAUGUGUUGCCUUUAUAAAUUUUAAGCAUUGUGGUGUCAUUAUUUUAAAUGUGACACCAUAAAUUAUUUUAUAGUAGUGUACCUCUAUUGGGAUUGAACUCCUGAAAGAAAAACAUGAUGUAACAAAGUUAGACUUAACCAUCCCCUUGUUAUCUUUUUGGUGUAUUGACAUUGAUUCGAACAUUCAACUCAUGUCUCUUACAUUGUACAUGACUUAUGUGCAUUAGGAGUUACACGAAAGAUACAAGUCAUAGGUUCCUUGUAAGUAGAUAAGUUGUCUAUAGUCGAUUCAUGGAUUUGGGCAAUCUAAUAGAGACUGUAGUGCAUCACCUCCUAAUUGGAGGGAUGACUUGUCUUGGUCAUCGGGAUGAGUUUCCCAUGAUGGGUACACUAGUAUAUGUGAUGCACACUAGAUAGGAUCUACAAUGAAUUAUGACGCAAAGUUAUCAAUUGUCAUGAUUCACCAAGCUACUAUACUACAUGGACUCUCAACCUUGAGAGGAUAUUGAGCUUGCUCCAAAAUCAAUAAGAGGCUUUGACCAAUAGGUGAGACCCUAAAGUAGUCAUUUAUCCUUAUGGAUUGGGCCACUAUUGAUGGAGGCUGGUGACAACAGAUAUUCUCAAUAGAGACACUAUGAUAUCUCAUGGGAUUGAGACAAUGUGUCCUCUUGGGUGAUCCAAAGGACAUGUGAUCAUGAAAUCUAUGAACACUGUAAUUUCUUUAAUGGAAUUUGACUUAUGCUCCUUAGAGUUAGGGUAUGUUAGUUGAUCAUAUAAUAAGUGAGAUCUAUAAAUCAAGGAUUUGAGAGGUAAUCUUGAUAGAUGAUAACACUACCUUGUUAGAUUAUAGACAUCAAUUCAUAGGAAGUCUACAUGCAAUGGAUAGUAGGUUAUGGACCGAACUUCGUCUCGUUGUUAUAUAAAUAGUGUACUAGAGUGGAGUUGAUUCUAUUUAGUGGAAUAUUGAAUCAACUUCAGAAUUAGAUUACGAGGAAGCUAGUACUCCUAUGGGUCCCAAUGGUCCCCACUAUGAGCUCAUAUACCAAAAUGAUACAGUUAAUGAGGUUGGAUUGACUCUAGGUUCAUUCUUGUGUAUAAGGGCAUUUGGUUAAUUUUGUAAGAUUGCAUAGGAAAUAACGAACAAGAUCUCUAGAUUGGUUUAAUUGAUUAAUUAGAUGACCCUAUGUGGUUAAAUAAUCAAUUAAGGCUUGUUUUAGGCUAGAUUAAGUGACCUAAGCCUUGAUAGGCUUAAGUCACUUAAGCCCAAUGGGCAUCCCUAUAAAUACCCUUUUAUCGGUUAGGGUUUUCUAAUGACUUUUGGUGAGAGUUGUUUUCCACCUCCAGAGAGAGCAUAGUCUUCUCAUUUCCAAAACCCAUACUUUAGAGUGCUAAGAUCGUGGUUCAAGUCAUUAGACAAAAAAUCUUGGGUGUACGAGACCUCCUUGGAUGAAGGGCUACAACAUUGGAUGUGCACAAGUCACAUACACGAGAAGCUCACAGGACAUGGGACAUUCACAAGCCCCAUGCACGGGAAUCACACGAGACAUGCACAUGGAUAGCAGCAUGAGGAGAUAGACUCUCUAGUUUUUUCAAACAUGUUUUUCAGCAAAUGAAUUCUAUCUAGGAACAUCCAGAUCACAAGUAUGAGUUUUGUAUCUUUAGAUCUUUAUUCUAAAAUGGUUUUAAAGCUAUUAUUUUUCAUUUAUGUUAGAUCUAGAGAGCCCUGGGGAUAGAUGCAUGCAUCCUACGAGAUCCUGGACACAGGAACAAAGUAAUCCAAGGUUCCUAACAACCUCCUAAUUUGAGGGAUGAUUGACCUUGACCAUCGAGAAGAGGUCCCCAUGGUGAGUGCAUUAGUAUGUAUGGUUACACAUUGGACAAAACCUAUGGUGAGUCAUGAUGUAAAGCUAUCGGUUUGUUAUAACUUCAAUAGGCUACUAUGUUAUAUUAUCUCUCAACUUCGAGAGAAUAUUGAGCCUGUGCUGAAGUUAGUAAUGACUUUGAGCUAUAUAUGAGAUCCUAAAGUGAUCAUAUAUUCCUUAUUGAUUGGGCCACUAUUGAUAAAAGUUGGUAGCAAUGGGUGAUUGGAACCAAAAUAUGCACUCCAAUCACACAAAUAUGACAUGAUUUAUGUAACAUAAAAAGCUCCAAUUAUCUAAGUUAACUCAAAUUGAUGCUAAGACCCUAACUAUGGAUCUAACUUUUAUUUUGAGCCUAAUUCUAGGUUUAAGGGAUGAAAAGAAUGCUAAGUGUAAAAGUCAUUUUCAACCAAGGAAGUAGAAGAGGUUAAAUAUGCAUAAAUGAGAGACUUGGGACUUAUUAACUAUGAAGAGUCUAAGAAAUGACAUAAUGAGCAAACCAUAGGCAUGAAAUACUAGCAAGGGGUGUUAUGGAUUAAGAUAGAGGUCAAGAAACCAUAAUAGAGGAGGGUUGAACCACAUGCAAUCAAGUUCACAUGGAAAUUUAGAACUCAAAAUCUAGCUACAACAUAUUCUUUGAUUUUAAGGUAAAAUUUGGAGCACUUACUAAUGUCAUUUUUGGGCAUACUAUAUAUCAUUUUGAAGCUCGAGAAGUAAGGAGUCCAACGCUUUAAAUAGUGUGCAAAUCAAAAUUGUGAUGAGGAAGUUAUGCACGUUAGAAACAAACUAGUAGUGGGUGAGUUCAAAAUUCACAGUGAAUUUUGAACUUUCAUGUUUUCACUAGUAGGAAUAGAUCCUCUCUGUUAGAUCACCUUAGAUAAAUUAUAUAGGAUUCUUAUCAAAAUACUACUAAUUCUUGGGAAGACCUUGAUUGCUAGUUACUAUAGUUUGAUCCUAUUGUUAACGAAUUUAAGGGUUGAAUCUAUGAAGAUGGAUAUGGGAUUUUGAUUGAAUAAAAUUGAAAAUAAAAACAAACCAUCAUUUCUAAUUGAUUUAAGAUUUACAAUAAUGAGAUUAAUGACUGGUUGGGUUACAAAUUAUGAAUGUUUAGUCUCAUCCUUGUAAGUUAUAUUAGGGAAUGAUAUGGUAGGUUAUUACUAGAUACUAAUGAUUCCUAACAACUCUUGAUCAAGUUAUCUUGGUCUUCCCAAUCAUUACCUGCCUUAAAACAAAGCUACAAGGAGUAGGAAGGGUUAGCCUCAUAGCAAUGCUACAAGGAGUAGGAAGGGUUACAAAGCUAAACCUUAAACCAAUAAUUAAUCUCAUUUACUUGAUGUUUUAGGAAUCUAUUUUAAAAAGGAAAAACUAAGUUUCCAAUGCAAUAUUGGUCUUAAUAUUCAAUUUGGUUGUGGAUUGAUUUUGAUCUUAAAUCCUAAAUUUUAUAAUGUUCUUUCUCUCUCUCUAGGAAUUAACACUAGAUUGUGAAACUCUCUAGAACAUUCUUUCUUUUAUUUGAUUUAUUUCAUAAAAUAGUUUAGGAAAUUUUUAUUCAUGUUUAUCCCUAUUUAUUUAAAUUAAGAUUUCAGUAUUUUUAGCAAAUAAUUACUCCUUUUCAUCUAAAAGAAAAUAAACAAAUUAGAGUUGAUCCUAGAAGACAACAACCCACUACACUACAAAGUCGUGGUAACUCUAUCUCUAAUUUUUCUUAGCUAGAGUUAUCAUAUAUUUAAGCUUAAUUAUUUUAAUUACAAUAGAGAUUUGCAGUGAAUGGGUAUUCUUAAUGGAGAUACUAUGAUAUCUCAUGGACUUUAAGACAAUAUAUGCCCUUGGGUGAUCUUAAAGAUACGUGUUUAGAUAAACUAUGGUCAUAGUAGUUCCUUAAGCUCUUUGUGAGAUAGGACAUGUCAAUUGAUUACAUAAUAGGAGGAUUUGUAACUUAAUUAUAGUAGAGGUAAUCUUAAGUGGAUGAAAGUUUUUACCUUGUUAGAUUAUAGACAUCAAUUCAUUGGGAGAUUAUAUAUAGUGGAUAGUAGGUCACGAACCCGAACACUUAGUGUCUUGUUAUAAUAUGUAUAGGGUAUUAGAGAAUAAUUAUCUUAGUAUAAUGGGAUGUUUUGUCAACUUCAAAAUUGAAUUAUGAGAGAGCCAAUACUAUCCUAGAAGUUCCAAUGGUCCUCGUUCAAACAUAUAUACCUUGAUGACACAGUUUAUGAAGGUUGAAUUGACUUUUGGUUCACUUAUAUGCAAAAGGAUGUUUUGGUAACUACAUAAGGUUGCCCAGGAAUUAGUGGACAACAUCUCUAGAAUAGGUUAAUUGAUUAAUUGAAGUUUUGAUGGGUUAAUUAAUCAAUUAAAACUCUUUUUUGAGAUAGAUUAACUGACUUAAGUCGAAGGUAGGCUCAAGUCACUUAAGCUUAGUAGGAACCCUAUAAAUACCCCUUAUAAGAUUAAGGUUUCAAGUCUUCUUUUAUCAUUCUCCCUAUGUUCCAAAGAGAACCCUAACUUCCAUCCUCAUGACUUCCACCAUUUGUGUGCUUAGUUUCAAGAAAGAGUCAUUUGGAACAUUGGGGGUUUGUGAGAUCACAUUUGACUACCGCGGCAUCAAAUAAUGAUAUUCACCAUAAGGAUUCAAUCUAAACAUGUAAUCUAGGUCUUGUAAAUAGUUUUAAAUGUUAUAUUUUUGCUACACAUAGAUCUAGUAGCCUUAGGAGUAAUUUGAUGCACCUAACCUGAUCCUUGGACAGGAAUAAAGUAAUCUAGAUUUCCCAUCAGUUGGAUUACCUUGUUGAAAAGAAAAAUUGUUUUCAUGCUUUGAAAGGUAUGGUUUUCUAGGAAGCAUAUGACCACUGGUGUGGUGUAGUGAUUAUGUAUGAUGAAAAAAAAUAUAUAAAAAAUGAAUAAAAUAAAAUAAAAGAAUGCAGUGGGCUGCGAGGUUACAUAGUAGUGAUUGUGCUGUUGGAAGAGAUGAUAAUAAUUUGGUGAUGGUAUAGAUUAUUGGGAGAAGUGAGAGUAGGAAAGUAAAAUAAAAUUAUUAUAUAAAACAAUAAACAAAAACACAAUUAUGCUGGGCUAAUAACAUGACAACGGAAUCUGAAGCAAAGACAUGAAGAACAAUAAGAAACUAAAAACAUGAACCACCUUACACACAGACACACUCAACUCCAAAACCCUUACUGGUAGAAGUUAAACUUAAACCUAAAAUGAGAACCAUGAUCACAACAAAUUCAAGGGAAAGGAGGAGAACCAGCGCCACCACCAGGACCACCGAGUCCACCACCGGUGCCCACUCCACUGCCUAUGCCGCCUAGGGUUCCGAGACCACCGGUGCCACCCAAGCCACCCAAGCUGCCGAGCCCUCCUGUCCCACCUAGUCCACCUGCACUACCGAUUCCUCCGCCAACUCCGCUGACUCCACCUAGCCCACCAAAUGGCAGUCCAGAAUCACCUACUCCUGCAAAGCCACCGAGCCCGCCAAAGGUGGCGAUGUUCUUUUGGUCAUCGAGACCAGCAUCACUAGGCACAGUCCUUGCAGUGGUGUGAGCCACUGCUAGGGCAAGCACUGCCAUGAUAAACCACUUUGCCAUCUCUCUCUUUUCUCACUCACUCACUCACUCACACUCUAAUGCUUCUUUUUGAGUGUGUACUCUGUUGCACCUGAAGGGUGUUGCGGGUCUCCUUUUAAAGGCCUAAAGGGAGGUGGGGGACAGUUGCAAGUAGUAAAUGAAGUUAAAUGCUGAUCAGUCCACAGCUAUACUCAGUCGAUGGAAUUGAACAGGAUUUGUUGCGACUAUGCUCCGAGCCUCAGGGCCUCAAAUUGAUCAACAUCUAACAAAUAAAAAUGAAAAUCACUUGCAUAUCAUCAUGGCUUCCAUACAGAUAUUAUGCAAUAUGUAUGGCUGUGCUGGGAUUCAGAAAAAUGCCCCUGCCAAUAUUUGCAUGACAGAAAACCUAAAGGACAUGAAUAUUAGGGGUUUGUUUUGACGUACGUAAAAUUUGAAUGACAGGCCACAAAAAAUGUCUCUUUCUCUGGUAAUUCUUUCGCGUUUUAUUUUUCAUAUCCUGAAUUUUUCAGUUGAUCUCUAAGAGAAUGUAUGGAAAAAAUGAAUAGCAAAUUAGAUAAAUUGAUACCUAAUACUAUAUUAAUACCUCUCUGGGGUGCAUUUCGUCUUUUUGGGCUUACCAUAUGAGAUAGAAAGGGAUGCAAAAUAACAUAAAGAAAUUCUUGGAAUUAUUAUGUGUGGACCCCGCAUUUCGAUCGCUCGAAUGCGUUUCCCACUCGAUGGCGAACUCGAUUUUUAUUUUUGAAAAAAUUGAUUUUUAUUGAUUAUUUGAAAAUGACUUAGAGUCGCCACUUAUUUUUGUUUUAUUUUUAAAGGGUAAACAAAAUAAGAAAGAAAAACCCUAAGUGUGACUCCUUAUUUUGGAAAAGGUGGUCUGUGAAAAACCGGAUCGGGUUCGGGGGUCAGGUUACUUAUCAGGAAGGUACGGUAAAGACCGUAGCACCCUUCUAAGUCCCUAAAGUCGGGUCUCUACUAAUGAGAUGAAACUGACAUGGCAAUCAAUGAGAAAAUCAAUAAAUACUCGAAUCAAUCAUGCACAUAUGAGUAUCAGAAUAUGCAAUAGAGGAUAACUAAAGUGAAAGUGGAUGCGUACCUGAUCAGCAAACGGCAACGCGCUAUCACAAAAUGAGAUUAGUGCAUAGUAAUGAACAUAAAGUACAUGUCACCAAAACAGAGAAAGAAGCACCAAUAGCACGCAUGAUAUUUCAUUCAAAAUUCAUUGUUAUUUUUAAAGCAAAUUUAUUUGAUGUCGGGCCCCCACCAAAGCCCAUUUAUUUUUGCAUGAAUUAAUUCCAUAAAUUCUAUUAUUCGGAAUUACGGAAUUUAAUUCAUACUUAUUUUAAAACAUUUUAAAACAAAAGAGAUGUUGAAAUUGUUUGCCAGAAGGAAAGAUGGCAACCAAGUUUUAUUAGAAAAAGAGACUUUGGAACCUAAGGGGUUCUAAGGAUGAAGGAGGAGAGUUGAAAUUUAUCGGAAAAUCAAAAUUUGAAGAGUUGUUUACAAAAUGGAAAUUGAAAAAUUAUUUUUGAGGAAUGAGAGUGUGAGAAAUUAUUUUUUAAAAAUAGAUGAAAGGAGGAAGUGAGAAGGACACAUGGCCAAAGUAGUAUGCCCGAAGGUGGCCAUGUGAUACAUGCCCUGGAGGUUUGACUGGAUGCCAGAAUAGUCACUGAAUCAGGCCACGAUGCUAUGAGCCUUGCUUGCCCUUUAGACCCCAUCUUCAACUAUUAUUGACUUGGCGUGCCGAGCAUAGAAAUUCUUACUCACAACCAACCGACAUAUUCCCAUCCAUCUUUUCACAACAAAAACUCAAAACUCUAUGGCAAACUCGCUGAACAGCAUGUUAUCCAAGAAGCUUGAAUCGUAGUGACUCUCCUUUGAAUCUCUGUAGCCAGCUUUCUCAUCCUUCUUCCUUCUUACAGAGGUUAUUUUGAGUCUGAGUGGCACAAAUGAGAAUCCCUAGGCAUAUUGAAAUUGCCUUAACCCCAAAACCUGAGCCUCUGUUCUCAGCAAGUCUUCAGUCUGGGUCUGUCCGUGUUCGAUUAGGUCGACUCCAUCCUCUUUUGAUUGUGCAAGCAUGAUAGUGAUGAGUGUGUUGGCGGCACCUUGAUAUUCCCAUUUUGAUGCUCUGAUAUAGAGAACGUCCAGAUCAGCCCUUUCUUUGGCUACAGUUAUUCUUCAUGCAAUGACACCUUUGAACUAGUUGAAAAACUCCACAAAUAUCUAUCAAUGCGCCACGUGACGUCUACCUUGGAGUUUCCACGAUUGAUUUGUCUCUUUGCUGAAUGCAGGAGAGUGGCAUAAGCAUGACAUCACCCACAAUCUCAAAUGAGACUCUAAAUGAUAGACUUAUCCCAAGUGACUUAGCACAUUCCCUCACCUGUAUCUUUUGAAGCAAGCGGAUUCUUAUCAAAUCUAAAUAGCCGGGAUCACUUACAUUCGGAUCGGUGUUAAUAUUUCAUAGCCUGCAGCUUCCUUUCACAUAAAUACCUUCCCAUAUUGAUGUUACGAUUUGUACAAACUAGAAUAACAAGCUGCUCUGUGUCAUAGACUACACUCGUCAUCAUAUCUGACUAGUUCGCGCUGAUCAAAGAGGUUUCUCACCAUACUCACAGCUUCAUUGUGACGAAGGCAGCAAAGAAGAAUCUCAUCACAUGUGGCCAGUCAAGCUCUAGGCGCGCCAAACAUCUCCGUGUCUUUCAAGAAGGUCAUGCAUGCGUUAAAACGAUCAUGCAUAUGGGUAUGGUCUCCUCAAUCGAUGAGUGGACUGGGUGGUGGGGUUUAGUGAGAGAGAUGGGGCAACGGUUUGAGUAUAGAUAGGUGAUGGUGUAGAAUCUAUAAAGGUGGUAUAGAAACGGAGUGGAUUUGUAAGGCAUGGUGACAUGGGUAUGGUAGCAGCUUCUUGGAUUCCUCGGCAUCUUGUUGAGCAUUUCCUCAUCGCCCUGAUCAUCAAUCUUCUUUGCAUCAGGAUCUGCAUAUGGCUUAGACCUUCUGUAGGCAGUUAUCAUACCCAAGCAUCCAUUCGUAUACACUUCCACUGAAGAGUAGAAAGCACCAGAAGCCCUAUCCUCUGAAACGUCUUCACUUCAAACACAUAUUUUAUCUCCUCCACCUGCAGGUCCAAGAGAAGAGAAGCAUCGGUUUUACUGGAGCUUGACUUUCUCUUCUCACGGGCAUUUUCUUCAUGGGGACUCUCUAUCUGAUCUGUUGCUGCAGCUGCACUUUCUCCCUCAUUCUCAUGGCAUUCUAAUCUGCUUCCACGGAUGCUGCAACUGACACCACGGCCUCUUGAAUGCGAGUGGAAUCCAGCUGACGAUGGACCUAAUGGAGGUCUCCCAAUGGGUUUACUUUAAGAGCUUCUUGAGGGCUCAAAGGAUAUUGCAGAAUCUUGGACUUAGGACGCCAUCUGGAGGGAUUAUCAUGAUAUAAAAGGAACACGUGGCAGUUAUGCUGGAUAAGCUGAAAGUUCCAUGGCUUGAGGCUGCAAUUUGGUGUCAUUCUUGAACAGAGGAAACACUGAAUCUCUUACCAAUUAGAUACUUUACAUCAGAAACAGUGUUGAUGGGGUCAUAGGUAUUUGACCGCUGAGAUCACUAGACAUCAGCUGAAGAUUGAUCCAACUAUGAAUACUUGAGAGCUAGUGAUGGAUCAUUCCAAUGAGGUUGUCCUGAUUCGAAGUCAAAACCGCAGCUGCUUAAGAUCACCAAGGCCAGAUGCCAUUUCGUCUAUUAAUCUGUCACUGCUCGAAUGUAAGGUGGUCAGGUUCUCCGUCAUGAACAGUCCAGCAUCAAACAUCCUCCAGAAAUUCUUUUCAGUCAGCUCAGACGCUGCGUAUUGUGGCUGGAAUCCAGAGUUUUCAAUCGAUCAGUUCUCUAUUCCGCGAACUGCUUCUGCACCAUCAAACUGAGUUGUAUUCUCUCCAACGAGAUUGACAAGGACUCAGCAAACCAUCCUUAUUCUUCCUUGCUUAGCUCCUCUCCUUACUCUGCUUGUAACAACUUCAACCAGAGAAAACUCCCCUUAACAAUAAACCCACUGCUAUUUGAACUAUAUCACCACCUCCGGUUCCGAUGGCUGUGAGGAAUUCAGCCCUGUGUGCAAGUGAAACGCCUUCACCAUGGCUCUCCUACUGGAACAUAACUCAGAUUAAGAGCAACUUUAACUUGCUCAUAGGUGGCAAAAUAUGGGAAGGAAAACCAUAGAGGACAUGGGUUAAAUGGGAAGGAGGCAGUAGCAUUAACCACUACUAAAAGUCUCUCCUCUGGCAGGGUAACAAGCCUUGAACCAAUUUCUAUGAGCAGGACCUCAAAUUCACUAGCCAAAUGGGCGUGCUUGCUUCUAAGAGCCUCUGGGAUAUCCUUGACAGCGUCAAAAGCACUGGCAGCAGAAGAUACCAAACCAAAAAAAACACCAUUGCGCCUUAAUGCAUUUUGACCACCUUCAUUAAUGGUUGAAGAAUUCUGUUGCAUAGGUUGGUCAUUCCCAGCAUGUGCACUGCCAUCAAAUUCAUGUCUCAUAUUCCACAAAUACUAAGACAAAGCUUUCAAAGAAUCAGGAAUCAUUGGUGGCUGUAGUUGCUCUAGAGUAGCAUCAUUUGGAAGCAAAGAAGCACCAUUGAGAGAAACAGUUUGAUUAAUUGUAACAGCUUGGUUAAGUUGCUGUUCGCCAGAGUCUCUCAGGCCACUUAAACUAGAAGUUCCUAUGCCCCUCUCUGAGACAGGAUCCCAAAAUUUUGAAGAGGAUUUAUCUUCAUGUGAAGAAGAAACAGGGCAUGUAGCAUCAGUGAAGUCCCUAAACCAUACAAGCCCAUCCUCUGUACCACAGCUAGUAGUGAUAACUCUUUGCAUCGUCCUCAAAUCGAUUAUGGAAACAUAGGAACCAGCAGCAACAAAGAGCAAUGAUUCAUAACAUUUCAUGUCCACAGGUGCAUCAAGAACAGAAGUCAUUCCCACGCAGCAUGAAGAAUGGAUAUUCAUCUACUCCGGUCUCAAUGUCUUCAGCUAUUAGUCUUUCCAGAAGGUCCCUCAUGCUGAUUCUGGUCAUUCUUGGAACCUCGGCUUCCAGCUAUUGCUCUGACAGCGAAGCCAAAGCAAAAAUAGUAGCCUAUCUUAUUCUUCACCAGACUGUAGAACCAGCAACUUUUCUCUGAUGGGAGUGUGCAGCCAGACCUGGAUAUACCCUUUCAAAGCCAUUGCAUUGAGCAAGGCAUAGAAACAAAUAGUGGCCACAACAAAGAAGAGUCCAUAGAAAAUAGAACACAAAAGAAAAUGAGUAAAGGGGAUCUUCAGAGGCUUCACUUCAUGGGUCAUCAGUGAGCCCUCUGAUCAGGUGAGAAAGACCAUCUCAAAUGCAACUAUGAGCAUUUUCACAAUAGGAGCAAAACAUACUAAGAUUAACAGUGGUAAACAUGUAGGCAUGAUUAUGUUUCAACAAGCAAUAAGUGGCCUUCAUUAUCCACCCCAAGCAAACCAACAAAUAUCCAGAUAUCAACAAGAAAUGUAGAGGGAUAGCAAGGAUCCGAAAUCAAACAAUAUACCUGUUGUAUUCAUACCUGAGAGUGCCCUUCUCUUGCAAGGUUCUGUUCAGCUUCAAACACCUCAAAACCUCUGUCAAAAAGCCAUGAAAAACCUCCCUUUGCAGCUUCCAACUUCUUCCGUAGCAGCUUGCUCCUCCUUCUAGCAGCUUCCUCUCUCUUGCUUGCAACCCAAGCUUUUCUUUCUAGCUCUGUAACCAGUAACCUCUCCCAGAAAAAAUACUGUCCAAAGCUCCCGGAGUCCCUCUCUCCCCCUCCAAAAAAUCUCUUCUUUCUCUUUUUCUUUUCCUCUACCCCAAAAUAACCAAACAAAAAAAUCCUCUCCCAAAGAUCUCUGCAGUCUUCCCCUCUAAAGAUCUCUGCCCACUUUCCUCUAACGGCUGAGCCUCUCUCCCCCCACUACUCUGCACCACUACCUUGCUAAUAACAGAAGACGCUCCUCAAUACAACGGCCUGCAGAUCCUCAUGCCACUUGUCAACCUUCCAUUGGCAUCCUAAAAGCAUCAUCUGAUUCUGCACCAGCCUCUCAAGAGAAGACACGUGGUGAAACAAGGCUCUUCCACGUGGCAAAAUGAGCAGCUGCCCGAAUGGCCCCAAAUGGGGGGUCUACAUUAUGUUUUAAAUAAUUAAAAAAAAAAAAAAAAGAGUUAUGCAUGAUGUUAUUUAUUUUGACUGGAAUGGAGACAAAGUAUUAUAUAUAUAUAUUAACUUUAUUUGUUUUUUUCCAUAAAAUUUUACUUCAGGGUGUAGGUAAGAAGAUUAUCAAUCCACCAAACUGCUGAUAAUCUUUCAAUGUUAUGUUGGAAUCCAUGCGGUGUCUGGCUUUGUCAUUAUAGAUGUGUCAUUGUGAGAUGGAGAAUUAAUUAAGCCUUGGUUUGUAUUAUUUGAUUCUUUUUAGUUGAAGUCUUCACCAAAAAGAAUUGACAAACUUUUGAGAACAUUAUAAUCAUAAUGCCAAAAAAAAUAAAAAUUAUAGCUACACCCAUUUAAUCAAAUUAAGAUUUUUCAUGUUAGUUUGGAGUCAUGAAAAGGCUAAGUACUUUAUCCAAAUAAAAAUUAGUUAGGUCUCGUUUUUCUAGUCUGAUGAACAUGAUGAGAAUUUGGUGAGAACUGAAAGAUAAAGGCCAAGGGUUGCUGAAGCUCCACUUAUUGGGCAAAUACUAAGAGAGAAGGAGAGUGAGGUGAUCAGUGGAGUAGGGAGAAUCAAUAACAGCUCCUCCAGCUGCCCUUGACAGGACUAGGGCUGAGGAUGCUGACCUUGGAGGAGGAGACAGUAAAUGCAUUUGUGAGGACGGUUUGUGGACUCCUAUUAGUUUCACUUGUUCUUAAAAAUUCAUUUUGUGACCUACAACUCUGAUACACACAUAUUCAUGCUCAUGUAUAAUGCAUGCGAGAUAUCUAUCCCAUAUGCAUCUUCUUAACUAAGCCUAUUUAGCAACUGUUUUCUAUAACAAUUUUUGUUUUCUGGAAAUGAAAAAUAAAAAAAAAUAUUUUACAACUAGAAAACCAUUUUCUAUUUUAUGUUCGAAAGUAUAAAAAAUAUAAUAUUUUUAGAAAAAUAUCUUUUUAAAUAUUUUCGGUUGAUUUCCAAAAAUUACUUUAUAAAAUAAUUAUACAAAAAUGUAAAAUAAUAAAAAAUAAAGCAUUAGAUAUAAAAAUUAUUUUUAAAAUAUUAAAAAUAGGUUAAAAACAUAUUAGGUCCUAAACACAUUUUUAUUUUUCAAAACAUCAAAUAGUAGUUUUAAAAAACUGUUCAAAAAAAUUAUUUUUAAAAUUGUUUUUGAAAACAGUUACCAAACAAGGCUUAAGUAUAUUUUUUGUUUUUUAUUUUUAAAGUUAGAAAAAUAGUGGGAAUUUUCAUGUCAGAGACAAGUACUUUUGGAAAUUUAUAUUAAAAAAUUAAUGAUUUUAAAUUUGUUUAAAAAUUUUGAGAUAUUAAUAAAAUUUUACUAUUGAAAAAUUUUAAAUAUAUAUUGAGAAUAUAUAUCAACAAAUCCAACAAAAUUGAAAAACAAUACGGCAUAUAGUACUUCCACAAAUCAAGACUUUUAAAAAUAUGGAAGAAGAAAUUAAAAAAAAAAAUUACCACCACAAGAUACCUCUCCUUAUACUGGUUUACCUUGAGACUCCUAAAUAUAAAUAAUAAUAAUAAAAACCAGACCAGAAAAUACAAAUCACAAAAAAAACCAAACAUAACAUUUAGGAUUAAGUGUCAAAUGAGAAAUAAAAAUUAAAAAAAUUCAAAAUAGAUCACUAACAAAGAUUUUGGAAAUUGGCGGCUAGUUUGGCCUCAGUUCAAAUUAAGAAAUAUACCAUUUGAACCCAAUCUAAUCUCAAAUCCAAAAUACUUAAUUCAAACCCAAUUCAAACUCAAUUUUUAAACUUUAACUAAACUUUUAUUAAUUGGAUUAAGCUUGAGUUGGUUUGAUUAUAUGAUUUAAAAUACAUGUAAGAAAAAAAAAUGUAUAUAUUUAUAGAAAAAUGAAACAAGUAUAUAAUAUAAUUCUAAUUUGAUAUUUUUACUCAAAAAUCUAAAAAAAAUAAUAAAAAUGAAUAUUAUUAUACAAUAUAUAUUAAUUCUAAAUAUUCAAAAAAUAUUAAAUCAAAUAGAAAAAUGAAACAAGUUGUGGACCCCGCAUUUCGACUGGCUCGAAUGCGUUUCCCACUCGAUGGCGAGCUCGAUUAUUUAUUUGGAAAAAUUGAUUUUUAUUGAUUAAGAAAAAUGACUUGGAGUCGCCACUUAUUUUUUGUUUUAUUUUUAAAGGGUAAACAAAAUAAGAAAGAAAAACCCUAAGUGUGACUCCUUAUUUUGGAAAAGGUGAUCUACGGAAAACCGGAUCGGGUUCGGGGGUCAGGUUUCUUAUCGGGAAGGUACGGUAAAGACCGUAGCACCCCUCUAAGUCCCUAAAGUCGGGUCUCUACUAAUAGAAUGAAGCUGACGUGGCAAUCAAUGAGGAAAACGAUGAAUACUCAAAUCGAUCAUGCACAAUAUGAGAAGUAAAGCAUGUAUAAAGAAUAGGCGAAAUAUGAAUAGAUGCGCACCCGGACGGCAAACAGCAACGCGCUAUCAUGGAACAGGGUUAGUGAAUUAUGAACAGAUAUAAUUAAGCGCAUAUCAAGAACAGAGCAAAUCAAUCAUGCCGGGAAAGCCAAUCAACUAAUCAGUAAAUCAAUCAAACAAUCAAUCAAUCGUCAAUUCACAUAUGUGGGGCCCCCACCAAAGCCCAUUUAUUUUUGCAUGAAUUAAUUCCAUAAUUUCCAUUAUUCGGAAUUACGGAAUUUAAUAGAUGCUUAUUUUUUAAAACAUUUUAAAAUCAUGGAAAAUUCGAAAGUGGCUCGCCAAAAAGAAAAAGGCGACCAAAUUUUAUUGAAAAUGGGAUUUUGAGUCCUAAAAACUCUAAUGAUGAAAGCUUUGGAAACUUGAAGUUAUUUAAAAACCGGAAUUUAGGAAAUUAUUUACAAAACGAAGCUUGGAAAAAUCUUUUUCAAAAUCAAAGAGGAUUGGAGAAAAUGGAAAAUGACACGUGGCCCCUUGGUUGCAUGCCAAAGGUGGCCAUGCAAAACGGGUCAUGCUUGUGGGUCCAGUGCACAAGUGGGAUAGCCAUCUGUAGGUAUCACUGAUAGGGGUCUGAAGAAAUCAUAACCUUUCCUCUCCAACUUCUUCUACAUGUAGUCCUUGCUAUGCACAACUGACUUACACAAGGCCUGAAUUACAGAUGGGUCUCUUUCUUUAUAAGGGAAUCACCAACGUAGCAAUGGAGCCCGGGUCCCACAUAGGGAUUGGUCAGGCAGCUGACCUGCGGAAUGUUUAGUCUACUUCCAUAGGGUGCUCGUCAUAUGAGAAGGUAAAGGCAAAUGAGCAAGGAUGCCAUGAAUUUCAGGAUCAUCAUUAGUUUCUUCCUUAGGAUCAGGUUUGCUACCCUUCAACUCUGAAGUCUUUAUUUGAUGAAUCAUCUCCAUCGUUGCAGGUAUGUCCCCAAUCCCGUGUUCAUUGAUGGAGUAUCGCCAGUACUCUCUUGAAGAAAUUUUCUUGUCGACAUGUUCCCUAGAAACCNNNNNNNNNNNNNNNNNNNNNNNNNNNNNNNNNNNNNNNNNNNNNNNNNNNNNNNNNNNNNNNNNNNNNNNNNNNNNNNNNNNNNNNNNNNNNNNNNNNNNNNNNNNNNNNNNNNNNNNNNNNNNNNNNNNNNNNNNNNNNNNNNNNNNNNNNNNNNNNNNNNNNNNNNNNNNNNNNNNNNNNNNNNNNNNNNNNNNNNNNNNNNNNNNNNNNNNNNNNNNNNNNNNNNNNNNNNNNNNNNNNNNNNNNNNNNNNNNNNNNNNNNNNNNNNNNNNNNNNNNNNNNNNNNNNNNNNNNNNNNNNNNNNNNNNNNNNNNNNNNNNNNNNNNNNNNNNNNNNNNNNNNNNNNNNNNNNNNNNNNNNNNNNNNNNNNNNNNNNNNNNNNNNNNNNNNNNNNNNNNNNNNNNNNNNNNNNNNNNNNNNNNNNNNNNNNNNNNNNNNNNNNNNNNNNNNNNNNNNNNNNNNNNNNNNNNNNNNNNNNNNNNNNNNNNNNNNNNNNNNNNNNNNNNNNNNNNNNNNNNNNNNNNNNNNNNNNNNNNNNNNNNNNNNNNNNNNNNNNNNNNNNNNNNNNNNNNNNNNNNNNNNNNNNNNNNNNNNNNNNNNNNNNNNNNNNNNNNNNNNNNNNNNNNNNNNNNNNNNNNNNNNNNNNNNNNNNNNNNNNNNNNNNNNNNNNNNNNNNNNNNNNNNNNNNNNNNNNNNNNNNNNNNNNNNNNNNNNNNNNNNNNNNNNNNNNNNNNNNNNNNNNNNNNNNNNNNNNNNNNNNNNNNNNNNNNNNNNNNNNNNNNNNNNNNNNNNNNNNNNNNNNNNNNNNNNNNNNNNNNNNNNNNNNNNNNNNNNNNNNNNNNNNNNNNNNNNNNNNNNNNNNNNNNNNNNNNNNNNNNNNNNNNNNNNNNNNNNNNNNNNNNNNNNNNNNNNNNNNNNNNNNNNNNNNNNNNNNNNNNNNNNNNNNNNNNNNNNNNNNNNNNNNNNNNNNNNNNNNNNNNNNNNNNNNNNNNNNNNNNNNNNNNNNNNNNNNNNNNNNNNNNNNNNNNNNNNNNNNNNNNNNNNNNNNNNNNNNNNNNNNNNNNNNNNNNNNNNNNNNNNNNNNNNNNNNNNNNNNNNNNNNNNNNNNNNNNNNNNNNNNNNNNNNNNNNNNNNNNNNNNNNNNNNNNNNNNNNNNNNNNNNNNNNNNNNNNNNNNNNNNNNNNNNNNNNNNNNNNNNNNNNNNNNNNNNNNNNNNNNNNNNNNNNNNNNNNNNNNNNNNNNNNNNNNNNNNNNNNNNNNNNNNNNNNNNNNNNNNNNNNNNNNNNNNNNNNNNNNNNNNNNNNNNNNNNNNNNNNNNNNNNNNNNNNNNNNNNNNNNNNNNNNNNNNNNNNNNNNNNNNNNNNNNNNNNNNNNNNNNNNNNNNNNNNNNNNNNNNNNNNNNNNNNNNNNNNNNNNNNNNNNNNNNNNNNNNNNNNNNNNNNNNNNNNNNNNNNNNNNNNNNNNNNNNNNNNNNNNNNNNNNNNNNNNNNNNNNNNNNNNNNNNNNNNNNNNNNNNNNNNNNNNNNNNNNNNNNNNNNNNNNNNNNNNNNNNNNNNNNNNNNNNNNNNNNNNNNNNNNNNNNNNNNNNNNNNNNNNNNNNNNNNNNNNNNNNNNNNNNNNNNNNNNNNNNNNNNNNNNNNNNNNNNNNNNNNNNNNNNNNNNNNNNNNNNNNNNNNNNNNNNNNNNNNNNNNNNNNNNNNNNNNNNNNNNNNNNNNNNNNNNNNNNNNNNNNNNNNNNNNNNNNNNNNNNNNNNNNNNNNNNNNNNNNNNNNNNNNNNNNNNNNNNNNNNNNNNNNNNNNNNNNNNNNNNNNNNNNNNNNNNNNNNNNNNNNNNNNNNNNNNNNNNNNNNNNNNNNNNNNNNNNNNNNNNNNNNNNNNNNNNNNNNNNNNNNNNNNNNNNNNNNNNNNNNNNNNNNNNNNNNNNNNNNNNNNNNNNNNNNNNNNNNNNNNNNNNNNNNNNNNNNNNNNNNNNNNNNNNNNNNNNNNNNNNNNNNNNNNNNNNNNNNNNNNNNNNNNNNNNNNNNNNNNNNNNNNNNNNNNNNNNNNNNNNNNNNNNNNNNNNNNNNNNNNNNNNNNNNNNNNNNNNNNNNNNNNNNNNNNNNNNNNNNNNNNNNNNNNNNNNNNNNNNNNNNNNNNNNNNNNNNNNNNNNNNNNNNNNNNNNNNNNNNNNNNNNNNNNNNNNNNNNNNNNNNNNNNNNNNNNNNNNNNNNNNNNNNNNNNNNNNNNNNNNNNNNNNNNNNNNNNNNNNNNNNNNNNNNNNNNNNNNNNNNNNNNNNNNNNNNNNNNNNNNNNNNNNNNNNNNNNNNNNNNNNNNNNNNNNNNNNNNNNNNNNNNNNNNNNNNNNNNNNNNNNNNNNNNNNNNNNNNNNNNNNNNNNNNNNNNNNNNNNNNNNNNNNNNNNNNNNNNNNNNNNNNNNNNNNNNNNNNNNNNNNNNNNNNNNNNNNNNNNNNNNNNNNNNNNNNNNNNNNNNNNNNNNNNNNNNNNNNNNNNNNNNNNNNNNNNNNNNNNNNNNNNNNNNNNNNNNNNNNNNNNNNNNNNNNNNNNNNNNNNNNNNNNNNNNNNNNNNNNNNNNNNNNNNNNNNNNNNNNNNNNNNNNNNNNNNNNNNNNNNNNNNNNNNNNNNNNNNNNNNNNNNNNNNNNNNNNNNNNNNNNNNNNNNNNNNNNNNNNNNNNNNNNNNNNNNNNNNNNNNNNNNNNNNNNNNNNNNNNNNNNNNNNNNNNNNNNNNNNNNNNNNNNNNNNNNNNNNNNNNNNNNNNNNNNNNNNNNNNNNNNNNNNNNNNNNNNNNNNNNNNNNNNNNNNNNNNNNNNNNNNNNNNNNNNNNNNNNNNNNNNNNNNNNNNNNNNNNNNNNNNNNNNNNNNNNNNNNNNNNNNNNNNNNNNNNNNNNNNNNNNNNNNNNNNNNNNNNNNNNNNNNNNNNNNNNNNNNNNNNNNNNNNNNNNNNNNNNNNNNNNNNNNNNNNNNNNNNNNNNNNNNNNNNNNNNNNNNNNNNNNNNNNNNNNNNNNNNNNNNNNNNNNNNNNNNNNNNNNNNNNNNNNNNNNNNNNNNNNNNNNNNNNNNNNNNNNNNNNNNNNNNNNNNNNNNNNNNNNNNNNNNNNNNNNNNNNNNNNNNNNNNNNNNNNNNNNNNNNNNNNNNNNNNNNNNNNNNNNNNNNNNNNNNNNNNNNNNNNNNNNNNNNNNNNNNNNNNNNNNNNNNNNNNNNNNNNNNNNNNNNNNNNNNNNNNNNNNNNNNNNNNNNNNNNNNNNNNNNNNNNNNNNNNNNNNNNNNNNNNNNNNNNNNNNNNNNNNNNNNNNNNNNNNNNNNNNNNNNNNNNNNNNNNNNNNNNNNNNNNNNNNNNNNNNNNNNNNNNNNNNNNNNNNNNNNNNNNNNNNNNNNNNNNNNNNNNNNNNNNNNNNNNNNNNNNNNNNNNNNNNNNNNNNNNNNNNNNNNNNNNNNNNNNNNNNNNNNNNNNNNNNNNNNNNNNNNNNNNNNNNNNNNNNNNNNNNNNNNNNNNNNNNNNNNNNNNNNNNNNNNNNNNNNNNNNNNNNNNNNNNNNNNNNNNNNNNNNNNNNNNNNNNNNNNNNNNNNNNNNNNNNNNNNNNNNNNNNNNNNNNNNNNNNNNNNNNNNNNNNNNNNNNNNNNNNNNNNNNNNNNNNNNNNNNNNNNNNNNNNNNNNNNNNNNNNNNNNNNNNNNNNNNNNNNNNNNNNNNNNNNNNNNNNNNNNNNNNNNNNNNNNNNNNNNNNNNNNNNNNNNNNNNNNNNNNNNNNNNNNNNNNNNNNNNNNNNNNNNNNNNNNNNNNNNNNNNNNNNNNNNNNNNNNNNNNNNNNNNNNNNNNNNNNNNNNNNNNNNNNNNNNNNNNNNNNNNNNNNNNNNNNNNNNNNNNNNNNNNNNNNNNNNNNNNNNNNNNNNNNNNNNNNNNNNNNNNNNNNNNNNNNNNNNNNNNNNNNNNNNNNNNNNNNNNNNNNNNNNNNNNNNNNNNNNNNNNNNNNNNNNNNNNNNNNNNNNNNNNNNNNNNNNNNNNNNNNNNNNNNNNNNNNNNNNNNNNNNNNNNNNNNNNNNNNNNNNNNNNNNNNNNNNNNNNNNNNNNNNNNNNNNNNNNNNNNNNNNNNNNNNNNNNNNNNNNNNNNNNNNNNNNNNNNNNNNNNNNNNNNNNNNNNNNNNNNNNNNNNNNNNNNNNNNNNNNNNNNNNNNNNNNNNNNNNNNNNNNNNNNNNNNNNNNNNNNNNNNNNNNNNNNNNNNNNNNNNNNNNNNNNNNNNNNNNNNNNNNNNNNNNNNNNNNNNNNNNNNNNNNNNNNNNNNNNNNNNNNNNNNNNNNNNNNNNNNNNNNNNNNNNNNNNNNNNNNNNNNNNNNNNNNNNNNNNNNNNNNNNNNNNNNNNNNNNNNNNNNNNNNNNNNNNNNNNNNNNNNNNNNNNNNNNNNNNNNNNNNNNNNNNNNNNNNNNNNNNNNNNNNNNNNNNNNNNNNNNNNNNNNNNNNNNNNNNNNNNNNNNNNNNNNNNNNNNNNNNNNNNNNNNNNNNNNNNNNNNNNNNNNNNNNNNNNNNNNNNNNNNNNNNNNNNNNNNNNNNNNNNNNNNNNNNNNNNNNNNNNNNNNNNNNNNNNNNNNNNNNNNNNNNNNNNNNNNNNNNNNNNNNNNNNNNNNNNNNNNNNNNNNNNNNNNNNNNNNNNNNNNNNNNNNNNNNNNNNNNNNNNNNNNNNNNNNNNNNNNNNNNNNNNNNNNNNNNNNNNNNNNNNNNNNNNNNNNNNNNNNNNNNNNNNNNNNNNNNNNNNNNNNNNNNNNNNNNNNNNNNNNNNNNNNNNNNNNNNNNNNNNNNNNNNNNNNNNNNNNNNNNNNNNNNNNNNNNNNNNNNNNNNNNNNNNNNNNNNNNNNNNNNNNNNNNNNNNNNNNNNNNNNNNNNNNNNNNNNNNNNNNNNNNNNNNNNNNNNNNNNNNNNNNNNNNNNNNNNNNNNNNNNNNNNNNNNNNNNNNNNNNNNNNNNNNNNNNNNNNNNNNNNNNNNNNNNNNNNNNNNNNNNNNNNNNNNNNNNNNNNNNNNNNNNNNNNNNNNNNNNNNNNNNNNNNNNNNNNNNNNNNNNNNNNNNNNNNNNNNNNNNNNNNNNNNNNNNNNNNNNNNNNNNNNNNNNNNNNNNNNNNNNNNNNNNNNNNNNNNNNNNNNNNNNNNNNNNNNNNNNNNNNNNNNNNNNNNNNNNNNNNNNNNNNNNNNNNNNNNNNNNNNNNNNNNNNNNNNNNNNNNNNNNNNNNNNNNNNNNNNNNNNNNNNNNNNNNNNNNNNNNNNNNNNNNNNNNNNNNNNNNNNNNNNNNNNNNNNNNNNNNNNNNNNNNNNNNNNNNNNNNNNNNNNNNNNNNNNNNNNNNNNNNNNNNNNNNNNNNNNNNNNNNNNNNNNNNNNNNNNNNNNNNNNNNNNNNNNNNNNNNNNNNNNNNNNNNNNNNNNNNNNNNNNNNNNNNNNNNNNNNNNNNNNNNNNNNNNNNNNNNNNNNNNNNNNNNNNNNNNNNNNNNNNNNNNNNNNNNNNNNNNNNNNNNNNNNNNNNNNNNNNNNNNNNNNNNNNNNNNNNNNNNNNNNNNNNNNNNNNNNNNNNNNNNNNNNNNNNNNNNNNNNNNNNNNNNNNNNNNNNNNNNNNNNNNNNNNNNNNNNNNNNNNNNNNNNNNNNNNNNNNNNNNNNNNNNNNNNNNNNNNNNNNNNNNNNNNNNNNNNNNNNNNNNNNNNNNNNNNNNNNNNNNNNNNNNNNNNNNNNNNNNNNNNNNNNNNNNNNNNNNNNNNNNNNNNNNNNNNNNNNNNNNNNNNNNNNNNNNNNNNNNNNNNNNNNNNNNNNNNNNNNNNNNNNNNNNNNNNNNNNNNNNNNNNNNNNNNNNNNNNNNNNNNNNNNNNNNNNNNNNNNNNNNNNNNNNNNNNNNNNNNNNNNNNNNNNNNNNNNNNNNNNNNNNNNNNNNNNNNNNNNNNNNNNNNNNNNNNNNNNNNNNNNNNNNNNNNNNNNNNNNNNNNNNNNNNNNNNNNNNNNNNNNNNNNNNNNNNNNNNNNNNNNNNNNNNNNNNNNNNNNNNNNNNNNNNNNNNNNNNNNNNNNNNNNNNNNNNNNNNNNNNNNNNNNNNNNNNNNNNNNNNNNNNNNNNNNNNNNNNNNNNNNNNNNNNNNNNNNNNNNNNNNNNNNNNNNNNNNNNNNNNNNNNNNNNNNNNNNNNNNNNNNNNNNNNNNNNNNNNNNNNNNNNNNNNNNNNNNNNNNNNNNNNNNNNNNNNNNNNNNNNNNNNNNNNNNNNNNNNNNNNNNNNNNNNNNNNNNNNNNNNNNNNNNNNNNNNNNNNNNNNNNNNNNNNNNNNNNNNNNNNNNNNNNNNNNNNNNNNNNNNNNNNNNNNNNNNNNNNNNNNNNNNNNNNNNNNNNNNNNNNNNNNNNNNNNNNNNNNNNNNNNNNNNNNNNNNNNNNNNNNNNNNNNNNNNNNNNNNNNNNNNNNNNNNNNNNNNNNNNNNNNNNNNNNNNNNNNNNNNNNNNNNNNNNNNNNNNNNNNNNNNNNNNNNNNNNNNNNNNNNNNNNNNNNNNNNNNNNNNNNNNNNNNNNNNNNNNNNNNNNNNNNNNNNNNNNNNNNNNNNNNNNNNNNNNNNNNNNNNNNNNNNNNNNNNNNNNNNNNNNNNNNNNNNNNNNNNNNNNNNNNNNNNNNNNNNNNNNNNNNNNNNNNNNNNNNNNNNNNNNNNNNNNNNNNNNNNNNNNNNNNNNNNNNNNNNNNNNNNNNNNNNNNNNNNNNNNNNNNNNNNNNNNNNNNNNNNNNNNNNNNNNNNNNNNNNNNNNNNNNNNNNNNNNNNNNNNNNNNNNNNNNNNNNNNNNNNNNNNNNNNNNNNNNNNNNNNNNNNNNNNNNNNNNNNNNNNNNNNNNNNNNNNNNNNNNNNNNNNNNNNNNNNNNNNNNNNNNNNNNNNNNNNNNNNNNNNNNNNNNNNNNNNNNNNNNNNNNNNNNNNNNNNNNNNNNNNNNNNNNNNNNNNNNNNNNNNNNNNNNNNNNNNNNNNNNNNNNNNNNNNNNNNNNNNNNNNNNNNNNNNNNNNNNNNNNNNNNNNNNNNNNNNNNNNNNNNNNNNNNNNNNNNNNNNNNNNNNNNNNNNNNNNNNNNNNNNNNNNNNNNNNNNNNNNNNNNNNNNNNNNNNNNNNNNNNNNNNNNNNNNNNNNNNNNNNNNNNNNNNNNNNNNNNNNNNNNNNNNNNNNNNNNNNNNNNNNNNNNNNNNNNNNNNNNNNNNNNNNNNNNNNNNNNNNNNNNNNNNNNNNNNNNNNNNNNNNNNNNNNNNNNNNNNNNNNNNNNNNNNNNNNNNNNNNNNNNNNNNNNNNNNNNNNNNNNNNNNNNNNNNNNNNNNNNNNNNNNNNNNNNNNNNNNNNNNNNNNNNNNNNNNNNNNNNNNNNNNNNNNNNNNNNNNNNNNNNNNNNNNNNNNNNNNNNNNNNNNNNNNNNNNNNNNNNNNNNNNNNNNNNNNNNNNNNNNNNNNNNNNNNNNNNNNNNNNNNNNNNNNNNNNNNNNNNNNNNNNNNNNNNNNNNNNNNNNNNNNNNNNNNNNNNNNNNNNNNNNNNNNNNNNNNNNNNNNNNNNNNNNNNNNNNNNNNNNNNNNNNNNNNNNNNNNNNNNNNNNNNNNNNNNNNNNNNNNNNNNNNNNNNNNNNNNNNUAGGGUUGACAAAUAGCGUCAUCAAUUCCAACUUUAUUUGCAAUUCCCACAUUUGUACCCACAAACUGCCUGUAACCUCUCCUAUCUAAUAUCAUCCUUCUACAAUGACUGCAAGACUUGUAGAAGUAUAUGGACACACUUGGCUCCACCACAUAAUACCAUAGAUAAACACCAAAAUACAGAGGAGUGCAGAGGGAAAAAUUGAUAAAACAGAGCAAGAAUAGAUGAGAUGAAAGUGUAUUAAGCAAAACCUGUUCUCACAAAGUAUCAACAGGCUUACCAGCUGGUGGGAGAAAGAAGGGAUUUAAAUUAAAGGAUACGAGAGUGACCUUCAGACAUCACACAAUAAAUCUGGACUAUACUCAUGUUAUUUCUUCCAACACAAACACAGAAAAAUCAGAUGGUGAUGCAAUCAUAGCAGGUCCAGGGGAUGCUCAGAAAUCAAUAAAAAUGGUCAUAGGAUAUCCGCACACAAAUAGCUAAAUGAUACUCAGCAAUACACAGAGGAGAGUGGAUAGCAAAAGAACUAUAGAAACAGAUAAGAAAACUCCCUGGAAAUACCUCUCUACCUCCUCUGUUUUGCUCUUCUCAGCCAAAAAAUCUCUCCUCUCUCCGGUUCCUCUAAGCUUUCUGAAAUCUGCCCUCCUUUCUCAGCUUCCUUCCUGAAGCUCCUCCCAAAAAGAACCAAACAAAAGCUCUCCCCCUCUCUCUGUUCUCUCCUUCUCUCCGUAACUCUCCCUCUCUCUCUGUUCUCUCCUUCUCUAGUUGCUCUCCAGAAAUCCUUCUCUCUAACCUCUCCAGCUUGCUCCCCCCCUCUAAGUUCAACUAUCCUUCUCUCAAGCUCUCCUCCCACUCUCACCUUUCUCACCAAAGCCACUUUUUCUCCAAGCCACCACACCAAAAGCUCCUCUUUUUCUCUAGCUAAACUCCUCUAAGCCUUCCCUCCGUAGCAGCCUAAGCUCCAGGAAUCCUCUCCACAAAAAAAAACCAAAAAAACCCAAAGCUCUCUCUCUAACGGCCUGCUAAAAGCAAAACCCCCCCCUCUCUAGAAGAUCUCUGCAGCCUUCUCUAAAAGCUACCACCACCUGCAGGAGACGUUCCCCAUAACAGAAACGUACCUCUUCUGCAACUCCCCUCCAGGUGUCAACCUCUGAUUCGUCCCUCAAUUCCACUAUUUUGAUCCCAUAUUGCCUAAUCCGGGAGUGACACGUGGCCAUGCAAGAUGGUGACACUUGUCAAGCAUCAGCUGCAAGAAUGACUCCCAAAAUGGGGUUCUACACAAGUAUAUAAUAUAAUUCUAAUUUGAUAUUUUUACUCAAAAAUCUAAAAAACAAUAAUAAAAAUGAAUAUUAUUAUACAAUAUAUAUUAAUUAUAAAUAUUAAAAAAAUAUUAAAUCGAAUUCAAGUAGAUUCAAGUUAUAUAAAUCUUAGCCUUAACUCAAUCCAAUCAAAAUUGAGUUUGGAUUAAAAAAACUUUCACAACUAUUAACAAUGAUUAUUUAAAUUAAUUCAAAAGUCAAAUUAAGUUUGGACCCGGUCCACACAAAUUACGAUGCUUACCUAUGACCCAUGAAAUUGUAUACUUUAUUUAAGUAAUUUUAAAAUUUAUAGUUAGUUAUAUUUAAUGUUUAUUUCUAAUUUUUCACUUAUUUAUAUAAAAUCUUUUAUGAUGUCCCAUUGGAUAAAGGAAAAAAACUUCUGAAGUUAUUUUUGUAGAUGCAUUUUAAAAAGGGCCACAAUGAUGAUGUAGCAUGGAGAUGUUUUAUGAUAUCCCAUAUUAAAUUAACAUGAAAAUUUCAAAAAGAAAAAGGAAAAAAACUUCUAAAGUUAUUUUUGUAGAUGUAUUUUAAAAAUGGCCACAAUGAUGAUGUGGCGUGGAGAUGUUUUGUGAUAUCCCAUAUUAAAUAGGGGAGAGUAGGUUUCGCUACAUUUUUACUCUUUUAAGUAUAUUUAUCUUAGUGAAAGUAUUCCUAAAAUCCUAAUACGUAUCUAACAUGAAAAUUUCAAAAAGAAAGAGUAUGUACACAUAUAAUCGCAUGAAUUCGUCGUCGUUAAUGCAAAUUGGUGGACUUUUUUCAAUAGUACAGUAAUUUUAAAAAGUUAUGCUUAAAUUAUUGUAGUAGAAGAAGUUAUUACAAAUAUAUGGUAGUUUUUGCUAUAUAAAAGAGAGGGUGAACGGAUAAAUUCUUUUAAAAAAGGGAACUCGUCUCUUCAAGAGACGAGUUCCAUGAAAAAAAAAUAUAUAUAUUUUAAAAAUUCCCCAUUUACUCAAGGGAACUCGUCUCUUCAAGAGACGAGUUCCAAUUAAAAUAUAUAUAUAUAUAUAUAUAUAUAUAUAUAUUUUAAAAAUUCCCAAAUUAAAAAAAAAAAAAAAAAACAAUUCCUCAAUGGAACUCAACUCGGAAAGAAGAGACGAGUUCCCAUGGAAAAAAAAUAUUUUUUUAAAAAAAAAAUAUAUAUAUAUAUAUAUAUAUAUAUUUUAAAAAUUCCCAAAAAAUAAAAAUAAAAAAAAAAGAAUUUCCUCAAGGAACUUGUCUCUUCAAGAGACGAGUUCACAUGGGAAAAAAAAAUAUUUUUUUUAAAAAAUGUAUAUAUAUAUUUUAAAAAUUCCCAAAUAAAAAAAAAAGAAAAAAAAAAAGGAAUUUAAGGGAACUCGUCUCUUCAAGAGACGAGUUCCCAUGGAAAUUUUUUUUUUUAAAUAUAUAUUUUUUUUAAAAAAAUUCCUAAUUUAAAAAAAAAAAAAAAAAGAAUUUCCUCAAGGAAAAGAGACGAGUUCCCAUGGAAAAAAAAUAUUUUUUUUAAAUAUAUAUAUUUAAAAAAAUUCCCAAAUUAAAGAAAAAAAAAAGGAAUCUCUUCAAGAGACGAGUUCCCAUGAAAAAAAAUAUAUAUAUUUUAUAUAUAUAUUUUUAAAAAAUAUUUUAUAAAAAAUUUUUUUUUUUUAUAAAAUAUAUAAAAAUAAUUUUUUUUUUCAUGGGAACUCGUCUCUUGAAGAGAUGAGUUCCCUUGAGGAAUUUUUUUUUUUUUUUUAAUUUGGGAUUUUUUUUCAUGGGAACUCGUCUCUUCAAGAGACGACUUCCUCGAGGAAAUGUUUUUUUUUUUUUGGAAUUUUUUAUAUAUAUAUAUAUAUAUAUAUAUAUAUAUAUAUAUAUAUAUAUAUAUAUUCAUGGAAGUUCCCUCGAGGAAAUUUCUUUUUUUUUUUUUUAAUUUGGGAAUUUUUUUUUCCAUGGCGGAUUGUUUUUUUUUUUUUUUUNNNNNNNNNNNNNNNNNNNNNNNNNNNNNNNNNNNNNNNNNNNNNNNNNNNNNNNNNNNNNNNNNNNNNNNNNNNNNNNNNNNNNNNNNNNNNNNNNNNNAAAAAAAAAAGUUCCCCGGGAAGGGGUCUCUUCAAGAGACGAGUUCCCCUUAGUUGAUUUUUUGGGAUUUUUUUAAAAAAAAUAUUAUAGUUCCCUUUUUUAUUUAAUUUUAAUUUUCGAAUUUUUUUAAAAAAAAAAUUUUAUUUUUUUUAAAAUUAAUAUAUAUUUUUUUCCAAGGAACUCAUUUCUUGAAGAGACGAGUUUCCCUGAGGAGUUUUUUUUUUUUUUUUUUUUUUUUUAAUAAUUUAGGAAUUUAAAAAAAAAAUAUUUUUUUUUUCAUGGGAAGAGACGAGUUCCAUUGAGAAAUUGUUCUUUUUUUUUUUUUUUUUUUUAAUUUGGGAAUUUUUAGAAAAAAUAUAUAUUUUUUUUUAAUGGGAACUCGUCUCUUCAAGAGACGAGUUUCCUUGAGGAAUUGUUUUUUUGAGGAAUUUUAUUUUAUUUUAUUUGGGAAUUCCAUGGAAACUCGUCUCUUGAAGAGACGAGUUCCCUUGAGCAACUGUUUUUUUUUUUUUUUAUUUUAUAAUUUGGAAAAUUUUAAAAUAUAUAUAUAUAUUUUAUAAAAAAAAUAUUUUUUUUUUCAUGGAACUCGUCUCUUGAAGAGACGAGUUCCCUUGAGUAAAUGGGGAAUUUUUUUAAAAAAAUAUAAAUUUUUUUCAUGAAACUCGUCUCUUGAAGAGAUGAGUUCCCUUUUUUAAAAAAAUUUAUCCAUUCACCCUCUCUCCUCUCUCCUCUCUCCUCUCUCCUCUCUCCUAUGUGGUAAAAGCUAUCAUAUAUUUGUAAUAAUUUUUUCUACUAUAAUAAUUUAAGUAUAACUUUUUUAAAUUACUAUACUAUUGAGAAAAGUUCCGCAAUUGCGACCGCCCUCGGUUAAAGAAGGAAACAAAAAACUCCACCGGCUAUUAACGUCAAGAUGACAUGGAUGGAUAAGAAUCAGAGUGGAUACGCCUGUCGCCAAACAUGCCAAACCACUGGCGGUUCUUUUGAAAGCUUCUCGGCCAUCGAUCUUAUUGACUUCUCAUCUCCAUCACAUGUUCUCCUACGCCCACUGCUCCUCACCACACUUGGGGUGGCUUCCCAUUUUUCCCUUUACUCAAUUAUUGAUUUCAUCUGGGCCCACAUAAGAGGCUAUCCAAUAACCUUCUUGGAUCAUUAACUUUGGGAUUUGACUUUCAUGUGGGUUGUAUAAGUUGUUUUGCAAAAAUGUAAUUCAACUUUUUGAAAGUUCCAACAACCGUGAAGUGAUUGGUAGUGAAACAUGCUAUGUUCGUCAUCGGAAAGUAUUAAGGAAAGAAAUUAUAUAUAUAUAUAUUUAUGUUAUUGUAUUAAAAUGAGUAAGAAAUUUAUAUAUUUAUAAAUUAUUUAAUUUUUAUAUGUAAGAGUUAAAUUAGUGAAAUAAGUUUGAUGUAUGAUAUAACAAUAAUUUAUUGACUUUAAAUUUACUUUUUAUUUUUUUAACCUCUGUUUUUGUUCUAUUUUUCUUUUUUAUUUUCUUUUCUUCAAAUUUUAUGGGAACCAAAUAUGUACUAUAUGAACUUUCAUGGUAGAAAAUGAGUUUUUCACGAGAAAGGUAUUUCUCAUCAAAAUUUUUUAUUUUUAAUGAUGAAAAGUUUGUUUGUGAUGAAAAAAAAAAUAUUUAGUCACCAUAUAUACAUGUGAUACAUAAUUUUUUUUAUUUAUAAUUUUUAGUUAUGAAAUUAAUAUUUAUAGCAAAAAAACAUAUUUAAAAACAAUAUUUAUUAAUUUUUUUUUAAAAAUCUUUUUCAAUAAAUUAAUUUUUAGUUUAUACCAAUAAAUCCCAUUUAUACACAAAAUCAAUUUGUAAUAAAUAGUUCUCUAUUUAUAAAAUAUUUGAUAGAAUUUUUGAAAGAGCUGAAAUGAUCAAAUUGACAAUAAAAACAUUGUUUUAUAGGUGAAAUUGGUUAAACAUGAGGAUGAUGGUGGCGAAAACGGUUGAAGAAUGGAACAAUAUUUAACUGUGGGGGAUAAUAAACUAAGAUAAUGCUCGGACAACUUGUCUAUAUUUGGCCAUUUGUUGGGAUUUGAUGCUUACAUCUAGUGAGAUGCUUACAGCAUAUGUUCAUCUAUUUGUAUUUUAGAGUGGAGAGACUAGUACCAAGCAUAUCGUUCUCUAUUUUGCUUUCAUUGGUGCGUAGUUAAGCUUGUCAAUGAGUUAUGGUAAGGUGUUAACCCAAGUGGACAAAGAGAGAGAGUGAGAGAAUCCGCAAAACUUAAAGAGUCUAUUUUACCAUGUCAGUAAAAAAUAGCCUUUAAAAAUUCAUAAUACUAUUUGACUAUUGUUCUCUAUUUAUAAUUUUGAAAAACAAGUGAAAAUAAAGAACAAUUUUUAGAGAAUAAAUAAAAGUUAUUUUCAUUAAUUUUUAAAAAUGAAAGAAAAAUAUAAGGAAAUUUAAAAAAAAUCAUAAAAAACUAAAUAAAAUUGAACAUCAUAUCCUUUUUUUUUUUCUUUCCCAGAGAUCUAAUAUUGAUAUUGAAAAUCUUUAAAUAUUAUUUUCUUACAAAUUACACUUGUUUUUCUAAAUUUCUUUGAACUUCUUUAAAAUUUUUCAUUCAACAAAUAAAUUCUAAAUCAAAUUAUACUUUAUAUAUAACAUUUAUUAAUUGUUUUAAAUAAUUUAAAACUCAAAAAUUGAUAUAAUUAGUACUAAAAGGUUGUGGAACUUAAUAAUAUUAGAAAGUCAUAGACCAAAAUUUAUUUUAGGACAUAGUUUCUUCUUUACAUAUAGCAUAUUUUUACUAAUUUUUUCAUUAGAAAAAUAAAUUUCAAAUUAAGUAAGACCUAUUGAGUUGGAUUCAUGAAUGAGUUUAAUAAUUUUUAAAAAUAACUUAAAACUCAAAUAAUGAUCCAAUCAAUAUUAGAAAUUGAUGGAUAAAAAUUGGUCUAAAAUGACUCUAUUAUUAUUAUUAUUAUUUUACAUAGAAUUAUUAUUUUCUGAUUUUGUUUUAUUAUGCAAAUAAAUUUCAAAUUAAAUAAGACUUAAUGCAUUAGAUUCAUCAAUGAGUCUAGUAAUUUUUAAAAAUAACUUAAAACUCAAAUAGUGAUCCAAUCAAUACUAGAAAUUGAUGUAUAAAAAUUGGUAUAGAACGACUCUUAUUUCACUUUUACAUAUAAUUAUUAUUUUUCAAAUUUUUUUUUGCUAGGCAAAUAAACUUUAAAUUAAACAAAACAUAAUGCAUUGGAUUCAUCAAUGAGUCUAGUAAUUUUUUAAAAUAAAUUCAAAUUCAAAUAGUAAACCUAUUAAUAUAAAAAAUUUAUGGAUAAAUAUUGGUUUACAAUGACUAUUAUUUCUUUUCUACAGAUAAUUAUAUUUUUAUAAAUUCUCUUACUAGAAAAUGAACUUCAAAUUAAGUGACGCUUUAUAUUAAAUUUAUUAUUGGGUUUAACAAUUUUUAAAAAUAAUUUGGAACUCAAAAAAUAGAUCUAAUCACUAAAAAAAAAACUAAUAAAUCAAAAUUGAUAUAUUAUGAGUCUUGACUUUACUAUUUCUUUAUACACACAACUAUAUAUAUAUACUAAUUUUCUCAUUAGGAAAAUAAAUUAUAAAUUAAGUAAGACACAAUUCAUAAUUUAAAUUCUUUAAUGAAUUUUAAUUUUUUUUAAAUAAUUUGGUUAUUUAAUUUUUAAAAAUAAUUUGGAAUUCAAAAAACCAAUCUAGUUAAUUUCAAAUUAAAUCAAAAUAUCUUAGAAUAUUAUGUUCAUAAUUGAAUACUGUGUAUGUAAUAAAAAACUUAGAUCAUUUACAUGUUAAAAAAUUAAAUUUUAUUCAUGAUUCAUCUUAAAUAAAAUAUUAUUAAUAAUUAUUAUUUUAAAAUUAUUACUGUUCCCUUUUAACAAAAAAUUUAUAAAGAUGUAAAUAUCCUUAUAUUUCUAACAUGUACUAUAAUAUUACUAUUCAUGUUUUACUAAAAACUAUUUAUUUAUUAAUCUAUUUAUAAUUGCAAAACUAUUUUCGGUUUUAAUAAGAUUUAGAAUAAAAUUUAAUUCAUAUUAUAUAAAUUGAAUUUACAAUAUUUUUACCAUGUCAAAAUAGAAAAAUUAUUUUAAAAAACAAAUUAUCCAAAUAAAGUUUUUGGUUUUUAUUUUUAAGAAUUGUUUUUAAAAACAACUUGCCAAACAUGCUUAUUUUUAUAAAAUAUUAAAAAACUAUUUUUUGUUCUUCAUAUGAGAAAAUUCUUUAUUGUUUUUUUUUCAAAACAUUAGAUUAUGUAUCGAAAGAGAAGUAUGAGAUAAAGGGUAUUUCCGAUUUUAUCUUAUCUAUCGGGGGUCCGUUUCAGCGUCACAAACUUUUUGUUUUCACACCAGAAGGCUCUUAACAAUCUUUAUGUUAUGAAAGGAUACGAAAAUAAAAAAUAAUCUUAUUUGGUUCUUAUUUUAUUUGAUCAGAUCAAAAAGAAACUUUGGGAUUGCUGAAUCAUAGAGGAAAUAAAUAUAUAACGUAACAGAGCCAUCAUAGUAUUUUUUAACUUCUCCGAAAGGAAGGGUGGUAAUUGGAUCAUUUACUGAUCUGGAUCUAACAGAUCCUACAUUUUUCGAUGGCAGGUAAAAGUCAAUUCCAUUGUAGAGUCGUAUGCAAUUCGCAAAAUUAAAAAACAAGUCUUUGAAAACAUGGCAAAUGAACCCAAAAUUUGCGUAUCCACAACUUACAUGAAGCCUUUUCAUCAAGGAUAUCAAGGCCAUUUUGCUUUAUACUUGUUUUCUUUAUUAGGUUGUGAAGAAAAACUUUGGAAGUGUACUAGGCUUUUCUUUUUACUUAUUUAUGGAAGUGGUUUUUUGUAACACCCCGACCUAGAAUAAGGGCUAUUUAUGGAAUUUAAAAAUUAAGCAAAAAAUAGAGAGAAGUAAGAUAUUUUUGGUUCCUAUAACUACUCACUGUCUUUAUCUUGUUAUGAUUUUUUCCUUUCCAAUUCUUCAUCCUUGUUAUUAGGAACGAUAAAAAAAUAUAUAUAAAGAGAAUAGAGUUUUUAUGAUUAAUCUUUCAAGGAAAGAAUCUAACCUAUAAAUUUAAUAUCCGGUUCCAUUUUCCUGGUUGUGUAAAAUAAAUAACCUUGAAUCUUUUAGGUAUUCUCUUGAAAAGAUUUGAAUUUAGGAUUAAUUUAUUUUUUUUAAAAAAGAAUAUAGAUAGGUUGAUUUAUUCAUGGAGAUAGGAAAAUUGUAUAGAUCCAAGUCAAUUAAAAAAAUAAAAUAAAAAUCUAUUGCAACAUUAAUUAGAAGAAAAAGUACAAACUUGAUGGCCUAUUGGUUUAUUGUUACAUCUUUGAAAAGAAAAAGAAAAAGAAAAAGAAAAAGAGAUAUUUUAUGGGUUUCAAAUUUUAUGCCAUUAGUGUUAGGAUAAAGACCUUAAAAACAUGACAUGAUUUAAUAAAUUUGGAAUUUAUUAUUUAUUUAAUUAUACUUUAGUUGCACUUUUAUCUAUCCUUAUUCUAUGCUUUAUAUUUUGAGUGUUUUAACCUAUAAUUCUUACAUUUUACAUGACUUGAGUGCAUUAGGAGUUGCACAGAAGAUCCAAUCCAUGUGUUUUUUGCAAGUAAAUGAUUUGUUCACAACUGAAUUGAUUCCACGUGAUAAAGUUGAAAAAUGAAGUCACAAGAAGUACAAUAAACCGGAAGUUUUCCACCCGAUGACUUGUACCUUGAUCUUGACACACUUCCGAUGGGGAUGGAAGAGAGGGUAGAGACUAUGACCCUCUCUCUCUUUUUAGGUGGAAGACAACUCUCUAGAAAAAACUAUGGAAACCCUAAACCCUAAGAAAUGUAUUUAUAGGAUUUCCCAUUGGGCUUAAGUAACUUGAGCCCACUAAGGCUUAGAUCACUUAACGGGUCCUAAUUAAUUAAUUAACCCAAUAGACUCUACAAAUUAAUCAAUUGGCCCAAUCUAGAGACCUCAUUCACUUACCCUUGUACAACCUUGCAUAAUUACCAAAAUGCCCUUAUGCACAAAAGUGAACUUAGAGUCAAUCCAACCUUCAUAACCUAUGCCAACAAAGUAUAUAAGCUCAGAAUGGGGACCAUUAGGACCCAUAGGAGUAGUGACUCCCUUAAAAUCCAAUUCUGAAGUUGAUUUAACAUCCCACUCACAAUGGGAAACCCAUGUCGAUAGCCAAUACUAGUCAUCCCUCUAAUAAGAAGGUGGUGCACUACAACCUUUAAUGGGUUGUCUAAACCCCAUGAACCGAUUAUGAAUGAGUCAUCUAUUUACAAGGAACUUGUGACUUGGAUCUUCCGUGCAAUUCCUAAUGCACCCAAUUUACGUAUAAUACAAAAGAUGUAGGUCAGAGUGCUUACAAAGUAUAAUGCAUGGAAAUAAGAUAGUUAAAAGUGAACUAGAACUUUAUUAAACAAAUAAUAAAAUUCAAGAGUUUAUUACAUCAUGUCAUGCUUUUAAAGCCUUUAUCCUAACACUUAGGUCAUCCAGUUGAGGUUGUAGUACACUACAUACCUCUAUUGGGAUUGAACUUCUAAACGCAAAACAUGAUGUAACAGAGUUAGACUUAACUAUCCCCUUGCUAUCCUUUUUGGUGUAUUGACAUUGAUUCGAGCAUUCAACUCAUGUCUCUUACAUUGUAUAUGACUUGUAUGUAUUAGGAGUUGUACGAAAGAUACAAGUCAUUGGUUCCUUGUGAGUAGAUAAGUUGUCCAUAGUUGGUUCAUGGAUUUGGACAAUCUAAUAGAGAUUAUAGUGCAUCACCUCCUAAUUUGAGGAAUGGCUUGUCUUGGUCAUCAGGAUGAGUUUCCCAUGUUGAGUGCACUAGUAUAUGUAAUGCACACUAGACAGGACCUGCAAUGAAUUAUGACGCAAGUUUAUCAAUUGUCAUGAUUCACCAAGCUACUAUACUGCAUGGACUCUCAACCUUGAGAGGAUAUUGAGCUUAUGCCAAAAUCAAUAGGAGACUUUGACCAAUGGGUGAGACCUUAAAGUAAUCAUUUAUCCCUAUGGAUUUGGUCACUAUUGAUGGAGGCUGGUGACAACAUGUAUUCUCAAUGAAGGCACUGUUAUAUCUCAUAGGAUUGAGACAAUGUGUCUUUUGGGUGAUCUAAAGGACAUGUGAUCAUGAAAUCUGUGACCACCGUAAUUCCUUUAGUGGAAUUUGACUUAUGAUCAUUAGAGUUAGGCUAUGUUAGUUGAUCAUAUAAUAAGUAAGAUCUGUAACUCAAGGAUUUGAGAGGUAAUCUUGAUAGGUGAUAACAUUCCCUUGUUAGAUUACAAACACUAAUUCAUAGGGAGUCUACAUGUAGUGAAUAGUAGGUUAUGGACCAAACUUCGUCUUGUUGUUAUUUAAAUAGUGUACUGAAGUGGAGUUGAUUCUCUUUAGUGGAAUUUUGAAUCAACUUUAGAAUUAGAUUAUGAGGGAGCUAAUACUCCUAUGGGAACUAAUAGUCCUCGCUCUGAGCUCAUAUACCAUGAUGACACAGUUUAUGAGGGUUGAAUUGACUCUAGGUUCAUUCUUGUGCAUAAGGGCAUUUGGUUAAUUUCGUAAGGUUGUAUAGGGGAUAAUAAACAAGGUCUCUAGAUUGGGCUAAUUGAUUAAUUAGAUGACCCUAUGUGGUUAAAUAAUCAAUUAGGGCCUGUUUUGGGCUAGAUUAAGUGACCUAAGCCUUGAUAGGCUUAAGUCACUUAAGGCCAAUGGACAACCCUAUAAAUGUAAAUAUUGGCCAUUUAAAACUCAAAAAUCGAUAUAAUUAGUACUAAAAGGUUGUGAAACUUAAUAAUAUUAGAAAGUCAUAGACCAAAAUUUACAUGGUUAGUUUCUUCUUUGCAUAUAUCAUAUUUUUACUAAUUUUUUCAUUAGAUAAAUAAAUUUCAAAUUAAGUAAGACUUAUUGAGUUGGAUUCAUGAAAGAGUCUUAUAAUUUUUAAAAAUAACUUAAAACUCAAAUAAUGAUCCAAUCAAUAUUAAAAAUUGAUGGAUAAAAAUUGGUCUAAAAUGACUCUAUUAUUAUUAUUUUUUACAUAGAAUUAUUAUUUUCUGAUUUUGUUUCAUUAGGCAAAUAAACUUCAAAUUAAACAAGACUUAAUGCAUUAGAUUCAUCAAUGAGUCUAGCAAUUUUUUUAAAAACUUAAAAGUCAAAUAGUGAUCCAAUCAAUACUAGAAAUUAAUGUACAAAAAUUGGUGUAGAACGACUCUUAUUUAUCUUUUACAUAUAAUUAUUAUUUUUCAAUUUUUUUUUGCUAAGAAAAUAAACUUUAAAUUAAACAAAACAUAAUGCAUUGGAUUCAUCAACGAUUCUAGUAAUUUUUAAAAAUAAAUUAAAACUCAAAUAACAAACCUAUUAAUAUAAAAAAUUUAUGGAUAAAAAUUGGUUUACAAUGACUAUUAUUUCUUUUCUACAAAUAAUUAUAUUUUUAUAAAUUCUCUUACUAGAAAAAUGAACUUCAAAUUAAGUGACCCUUUAUAUUAAAUUUAUUAUUAGGUUUAACAAUUUUUUUAAAUAAUUUGGAACUCAACAAAUAGAUAUAAUGAUUAAAAAAUACUAAUAAAAAAAAUUGAUAAAUUAUAAGUCUUGACUUUACUAUUUCUCUAUACACACAACUAUAUAUAUAUAUAUAUAUAUAUAUAUAUAUAUAUAUAUAUAUAUAUACUAAUUUUCUCACUAGGCAAAUAAAUUAUAAAUUAAGUAAGACACAAUUAAUAAUUUAAAUUCUUUAAUGAAUUUUAGUUUUUUAAAAAUAAUUUGGUUAUUUAAUUUUUAAUAAUAAUUUGGAAUUCAAAAAACCAAUCUAGUUAAUUUCAAAUUAAAUCAAAAUAUUUUAGAAUAUUAUGUUCAUAAUUGAAUACUAAAUAUGUGCAUAUAAUAAAAAAACUUGGCUCAUUUACAUGUUAAAAAAUUAAACUUUAUUUGUUAUUCAUUUUAAAUAAAAUAUUAAUAAUAAUAAUUAUUUUAAAAUUAUUAUUAUUCACUUUUAACAAAAAAUUUAUAAAGAUGUUAAUAUCCUUAUGUUUCUAAAAUUUACUAUAAUAUUACUAUUCACAUUUAACUAAAAACUAUUUAUUUAUUAAUUUAUUUAUAAUUGCAAAACUAUUUUCGGUUUUAAUAAGAUUUAGAAUAAAAUUUAGUUAAUAUUAUAUAAAUUUAAUUUACAAUAUUUUUACUAUAUCAAAAUAGAAAAAUUAUUUUAAAAAACCAACUUAUCCAAAUAAAGUUUUUGUUUUUUAUUUUUAAGAAUUGUUUUUAAAAACCAACUUGUUAAACACCCUUAUUUUUAUAAAAUAUUAAAAAAAUAGUUUUUGUUCUUCAACUUAAAAACAAGUCUUUGAAAACAUGGCCAAACGAACCCAAAAUUUGCAUAUCCACAACUUACAUGAGGCCUUUUCAUCAAGGAUAUCAAGGCCAUUUUUUUAUACUUGGUUUCUCUAUUAGGUUGCAAAGAAAAAUUUUGGAAGUGUACUAGGCUUUUGUUUUUUGUUUUUUGUUUUUAAUUAUUUAUGGAAGUGGUUUUGUGUAACACCCCGACCUAGAAUCAAGGAUAUUUAUGUAAUUUAAAAAUUAAACAAAAAAUAGAGAGAAGUUAGAUGUUUUUGAUUCCUAUAACUACUUACUAUCUUUAUCUUGUUAUGAUUUUCUCCUUUCCAAUUCUUCAUCCUUGUUAUUAGGAACGAUAAAAAUAUAUAUAUAUAUAUAUAUAUAUAUAUAUAUAUAUAUAUAUAUAUAUAUAUAAAGAGAAUAGAGUUUUUAUGAUUAAUCUUUCAAGCAAAGAAUCUAACCUAUAAAUUUAAUAUUUUGGUUCCAUUUUCAUGGUAGUGUAAAAUAAAUAACCUUGAAUCUUUUAGGUAUUCUCUUGAAAAGAUUUGAAUUUAGGAUUAAUUUAUUUAAGAAAAAAGGGAAUAUAGAUAGGUUGAUUUAUUCACGAAGAUAGAAAAAUUGUAUAGAUCCAAAUCAAUUAAAAAAAUAAAAUAAAAAUCUAUUGCAACAUUAGAAGAAAAAGUACAAACUUGGAUGGCCUAUUAGUUUAUUGUUACAUGUUUGAAAAAAAAAAGAAAAAGAAAAAGAAAAAGAGAUAUUUUUAUGGGUUUCAAAUUUUAUGUCGGUGGUGUUAGGAUAGAGACCUUAAAAACAUGACAUGAUGUAAUACAUUUGAAAUUUAUUAUUUAUUUAAUUAUAUUUUAGUUACACUUUUAUCUAUUCUUGUUCUAUGCAUUAUAUUUUAUGAGUAUUUUAACCUAUAUUUUUUACAUUUUACAUAACUUGAGUGCAUUAGGAGUUGCACGGAAGAUCCAAUUCAUGUGUUUUUUUGUAAGUAAAUGAUUUGUUCACAACCGAAUUGAUUCCAUGUUAUGAAGUUGAAGAAUGAAGUCAUAAGAAGUAUAAUAAACCUGAAAUCUUCCGCCCGAUGACUCGAAGUUUGAUCUUGACAUACUUCCGAUGGGAAUGGAAGAGAGUGUAGAAACUAUGACCCCCUCUCUCUCUCUGUAGGUGGAAGACAACUCUCUAGAAAAAACUAUGAAAACCCUAACCCCUAAGGAGGGUAUUUAUAGGGUUUCCCAUUAGGCUUAAGUAACUUGAGCCUACUAAGGCUUAGAUCACUUAAUGGGUCCUAAUUGAUUAAUUAACCUAAUAGACUCUACAAAUAAAUCAGCUGGCCCAAUCUAGAGACCUCAUUCACUUACUCUUGUACAACCUUACGUAAUUACCAAAAUGCCCUUAUGCAUAAAAGUGAACCUAGAGUCAAUCCAAUCCUUAUAACCUAUGCCAACAAAGUAUAUAAGCUUAGAAUGGGGACAAUUAAGACCCAUAGGAGUAGUGGCUCCCUUAAAAUCCAAUUCUAAAGUUGAUUUAACAUCCCACUACAGAGAAUCAAUUGAGCUCCAAUAUCCUAUGUAAAUAACAACGAGACACUAUGUACUCGGGUCUAUGAAUUGUUAUCCAUUGCGUUCAAUCUCCCUAUGAAUUGGUAUCCAUAGUCUAACAGGUGAAAGCUAUCAAUCUUUCAAGAUUACCUCUACUAUCUUUGAGUUAUAAACCCUCCUAUUGUGUGUUUAAUUGACAUAUAUUAGCUUUCCAAGAGCAUGAUGUCAAGUUCCACUUAAGAACUACUAUGACCAUAGUUUACAUGAACACACCUCUUUAGGAUCAACCAAGGGGCACUUUGUCUCAAUCUUAUAAGAUAUUAUGAUGCCUCUAUUGAGAAUACCUACUACUACCAGCUUUCUUCAAUAGUGACCCAAACUAUAGGGAAUAUAUGAUCAUCUUACAAUUUCACCCGUAAGUUAAUUAAAACAAUUGCUAACUUUAGCACAAAUUUAAUAUUCUCUCAAGGUUGAGAGAUAACACAAUGAAACAACUUGGGGAAGUCAUGGCUACUUGAUAGCCAUACACACUAGUGCAAUGUGUAACCAUAUACACUAGUGCACUCAUAAUGGGAAACCCAUAUCGAUAGCUAAUGCUAGUCAUCCCUCUAAUAAGGAGGUGGUGCACUACAACCUUUAAUGGGUUGCCUAGACCCCAUGAACCGAUUAUGAAUGGGUCAUCUAUUCAUAAGUGUGGACCUCGCAUUUUUAAUGAUGCGUUCCCACUCGAUCGGCGAGACUCACUUUUCGUUAUUUGGGUGAAAAAUAUGUUUCUCAGAAAAGACUUGGAGUCGCCACUUACUUUUAUUUAUUUUUAAAGGGGAAAACAAGUAAGAACAAAACCCCUAGAUGGACUCCUGAUUUUGUUUUUGGAAAGUUGCCUGCGAAAAAACCUGAGUCUGGGUCCGGGGAUCAGGUUACUUAUUGGGAAGGUACGAUAAAGACCGUAGCACCCCUCUAAGCCCCUAAAAAAGGGCCUCUACUAAAUAAGGUGAAGCAAACAUGGCAAUUAACUAGGAGAUCAAUGGAUACCAAAAUGAUCAUAGUUAAAAAAUAAGUCAUGAUAACGAAAUAAUAAACAGAGUGAGAGUGUACCUUAUUAGCAGCUAAUAAAGUGCUGUCAUGAAAACAAGGUUAGUGUACAAUGACAAGUGUAAAAACAAUCUCAUACAGAACUAAAUCAAAAUCAAACAGAAUGGAGAGCACAACUUACUUGAAUUAUUUUCGAAGAAAACGUUAUGAAUGUCAGGCCCCCACCAAAGCCCAAUUUAUUUUUGCUAUGAAUUAAUUCUCAUAAAUUCCAUUAUUUUGGAAUUAUGAAAACUUAUUCAUUUCUAAAUAAAAAAAAAUUUGAAAAAAGGAAUUUAGAAAAUUAAAUUUGAAAUUUCGGAAGUGUGGAAUUUUAUUUUAAAAAAAAAUGAGUUUGACAAUUUUGGAAAUCUCUUUGAGAAUGGUAUUUCAAAAUAAAUAAAUAAAUAAAAUAAUUUGAAAUGGAAUUAAAUAAAAAAACGAAUAAAUAAAUAAAUUUUGAAUUUUGGAAAAUGGAAUUUUGAGAAUGGAAUUUUGAAAAAUUAAAUUAAAAAAUUGAAAAUUUGGAAGGAUUAUUUUUGAAAAGUGAAAUUUCGGAAAAUUAAAUUUUAAAAAUUGUAAAUUUGGAAAAUUGGGACUUGGAGAAUGGAAUUUCAGAAAAUUAAACUAAAAAAAUGAAAUUUUGGAAAAUUAUUUCGAAAAUAGAAAUUUUUGGAAAAUUGGAAUUUUUGAAAAUCGAAACGUGAAGAUCAAAGUUUUGAAAAUUAUAUUUUUUGAUGUAUGAGAAUAAAAAUAAAAAAUAAUAAAUAAAAAGAUGGUACGUAGUCGGUGGGACUCGCAUCCCGAAAGUGGCCAUGCAAAGCGUGGGCCUGGGAUGGAAUAUCUUAUAACAUAAUAAUAAUAAUAAUAAUAAUAAUAAUAAUAAUAAUAAUAAUAAUAAUAAUAAUAAUAAAACAAUCUCAACCUCACAUACUUUAAUACUAUUUACACAUGAAAUAUUGAAAACUAACAACUGAAUAUCAGAACAUGAGAAAAUUAGUUAAGGGAAACUAACCCUAAAAUUAUUAAGAGUAUAUACUAACAUGAAACAUUAAAAUAAAUCGACAACUAGGGAUGCUAAAAACCUAAAUUAAUGAGGAACAACCAAACUAAUGCUAGAGAUAAUAAAAAAAAAAACAUGAACUAAUUUAGGUUCAACAAGAAUGAAUAAUUGGAAAAUAAUAAAAACUAACAUCUAAGGAUAUUUAAAUCCCAAACUAAUAAGAGGUAAAUAAAUACUAAAACCUUAAUAUUUAAAGAAAACUAUUGAACAACAAUGGAUCAACCGAAAUAUCAAUUAAUCAUUCAAAGAGCAAUAUAUGCCAACAUGGAUCAGCCCAAACCAAAGACUAAAAAUUCAAGAAGUAAUAUAUACUAACAUGAGUUAUUAAAAUCAACAAUUAAAAACUCCUAGGUAUAUACAAAUUAUCAUAGGCCAUCAAAUUAAAAACUAAAAAUUCAAAGGACUACAAAGAAUUAACAUGGGUCAACCAAAAUAACAAUUCAUAAUUUUAAUGACAAUGUAAAUUAAUGUAGAUUGACCAAAAAUAAGAAUAAAAAUUUAAUGAGCAAUAUAAAUUAACAUAGAUAUUUAAAAAAUUAACAACAAAUGAUUUUAUGAAAAUGAAGAAUAAUAAUAAUAAUAAUAAUAAUAAUAAAUAAGCAAACAAAAUUUCAUGAAUAUUAUAAAGCUACAUAGAUAUUAGUUUUCAUUUCUUUCAUUUUAAAUUUAUAACAAUGUAAACCAAUAACAUAUGAUCCACCAUAUUCACUUGAAUUUUUAAUUCAAUGAAACAAACCACUAACAUGAAACAUCUCAUGGCCGGCCAUUAAUCUUACUUUGAGUUUUUUUUAUUAAAAAAAAAAACAAUGCUCAAGCUUCCACUAUUAUUCGAAAUUAGCCAAAAUUAAGGAAAAAAUAAAAUAAAAUCCUAUUAUUUAAAAAAAAUCUAAUUUUCCAUUAUUAUUAAAAUUGAUCAAAACUAAAUUUAUUUUUUUUUAAAAAAAAUUCCAAUUUUCUACUAUUAUUCAAAAUUUGACCAAAACUAAAAUUAAUUAAAAGAGAAAAUUUAUGAGGAAUAAAACAAAAAUUCUUAUGCCGUGAGAUCAAAUCGAACACUUAAAAUAAAAUGAUAAACACGCAAUAGCUUAGAACCUAAAAUACAAGAGCCUAUAAAAAUAAUAAACAUUCAUGCAUAUUAUAAUACAAGUCCACACGCAAUGCUAUAUCCACUAUGCAUCAACAAUUCUUUAAACAAUAAAAGUUAGUGGACUUUGAAUGUCAUGCAAUACCAUAAUAAUUAAUAAACAUUGACAAUGGUCAUUUGACGCAUGCUGGAAAACUUUCUUGUGCCUGUUGCCAAAAAAAAAACUUUAAAACAAGGAUUUUAAAAACACUAUUUGGGCCAGAAAAGUGAAUAAAAUAUAUGGUUUAAUAGUUUUUUUUCCUUUCUUUCUUUUUGUUUCCUUUUGACCUUGACAGAGAAGCAAAGUGAAUGGACUGCAUAAAGACGAGCUCUUGCAUGCGACGCUGGGAAGCAGUCAGUUUGCUACCGCCAACGAGACUCACAUCUAAAGACUACCCGAACAAUCCUAUAUAUUCCGGCGAGGGCAAAGGAAGUCACUACAACCGCUAGUAGGGCUGCAACCAAGGCCGGCCACCAGAAAAAUAAGUUGCAGCCCCCCCUAUGCGCAGCUGAAGCGAGCACCUGGACAGGGUUUCAUCUCCAGCUUUCAGCCGCCGCCACCAACAGUAUAGCCACCCCGUUCAGACACCGCAUGGCUGGUUUGAAGAACAUGAACCUGCCUAGCCCCAACAAUGAAGAAAACGGUGCCUAGCUCUUAACGUUUUGACAUCUUGUUCAAACACUACAUGGAUAUCAUCUCAUGAUCAUCCACGACUUCUCAACAUCCCAUAUUCACAGGGUCCAAUUCUCCAUGGUCAGACAUCCGGAAACAAAGGUCAAACACCCAGAAAAUAGAGCACAUAACGAAAGGGAUGGAAUGAACUACCCAUAAUAGCGUUUCAUGUCAUAGCCAAUGAGCUCAGAUUGGUGGGAUGGAAGCAGGUGAGUCCAAGGUCAAAUAGAGACACAAACCAGAAAAAUGUCCAACAACCAAACUAAGACUGCAUAUUCAUAUUGUAUUUCUGAGCAAGAAGAUGAAAGUAAAAACAAACAUGCAACAAUGGUAAAUAGAAAUAUCAGAACUAGAUUCCCACGGACAACAAGCAUUCUUCACUGUCUAUUCUCAAGUAAUUUAAAAUAUCCAGGAAUCAUGAAAGAGAAAGGAGAGUGACAUGGCAUGCAAAUUAAACAACAGGAAUAAUAUACCUCGGAAGUCAUCUCUGGCUGUAUGAAAUAUCAGUUUCCAGCUACUCCCUUUUUUGCUCAGAUUCCUCCUGUUAGCUCUUUCUUUUACUUUUCUUUCUUUCUUUCUCAAAACCUUCCCUCUUACUCCUUUUAGAUUUCUCUCAAACUCCUCUCAGACUUCUCUCAAACUCCUCUUUUCUUUCUUUUUUUCUCCUUUUCCCGUUCUUUCUCUGUUUUUCUCAAAACCUCUCCCCUUCAUUUCUCUUCCUUCCUCCCAAAAAAACCCCUCGAGAACCUCCUUUUCUAGCCGAUCAUUUUCUUCUUCUUCAAGACUUCCCUUCUCUGCAUUUUCCCGUGCCAAACUCUUCGAAAGUCCCCCUAACCUUUUUUCCAAGCUCCUCUUCAUUCCAUGCAGCCCGCUGACCCAUCCAUUUUCUUUUCAAACCCUAUUCCACCAUUUUAUUUUAUUUUUUUAUGUGGCUGCCCAACUCCCAUACCUUUCCAUUUGCUUAUUAUUAUUAUUAUUAUUAUUUCUUUUUUUUAGUUAAUAAAAUAAGAAAAUAAAAAUAAAGAUAAAGAUAAAUAAAGAUAAAAAAAAUGAAGCUAAAAUAAGAUGAAUAACAUAAUGAUAAAAAGAACAUACAAUAAAUGAAUACUAAUAAUAAUAAUAAUGAUAAUGAUACUAACAAUAAUAAUAAUACUAAUAAUACUAAUAAUAAUACUAAUAAUACUAGUAAUAAUAAUAAUAAUAAUAUAAGAUCCCCAAUCACCUGCAAAUUUUUUUUUUUUUUUUUUUGAGAAUAAAUAAGUAGAUGGAUAAGUGACUAAAGCAAGAAAAAUAAAUAAGUGCCCAAUGCACGUAACAAUAAUCUAAACAUUAAACUAUAACACAGAUAAAACUAAAAAAUAAAAAUAGACAAGAUAUCAAAUUGACACAAUCAAAAUAAUUGAAAAUUCAUCUCAAGCAAUCCAAAAAAUAUAAAAAAUAAAAAUCAAGCCAAAUACUCGCCUAAUCUUAAAAAUAAAUCAAUCAAGAAAUUAGUCUUAAAUAAUUAAGCCUAAAGAAAAUAUCUAAGUGACCCAGGUAACCUAAGUGGAAAGUGUCAAGGUGAAUUAGGUGCCCAAUGGGUCAUCAGAGAAUUAUCGUAAAGUAUCAAAUGGACACAUAAUAGAACAUGUGCUAGUAGGACAAAAUAAAGGGUCUACAAUAAGGAACUUGUGACUUGGAUAUUCCAUGCAACUCCUAAUGCACCCAAGUCACGUAUAAUGCAAAAGAUGCAGGCCAAAGUGCUUACAAGGUAUAAUGCAUGGAAAUAAGAUAGUUAAAAGUGAACUAGAACUUAUUAAACAAAUAAUAAAAUUCAAGAGUUUAUUACAUCAUGUCAUACUUUUAAAGGCUUUAUCCUAACACUUAGGCCAUCCAUUUGAGGUUGUAGUACGCUACCACUACAAGGAAAAAGCUACAUGGUGAUGUUUAUAAUGAGUCACCAUAAACAUAGGGUGUCACUACAACAUAGCGCGUCAGCUGAUCCACUAACACCGUAAAGAGUACCAAUUGGUGACGUACUUGGAAGUGAUACCAAAGUAGAUAAAUUGUGACACAUUUAGAAGCGACACCAUAUAUUUUUUGUGAUGAUUAUUUUGUGUUGUGUGAGAUAUAUAGGGUGUCACAUUAAAUACAUCACCUUUGAGUUAUGAUAUCACAUUAAAUGUAUUACCUUUGAGUUAUGGUGUCACAUCAUUGUAAAUGAUUGUGGAAGAUAUGGUUGCUUUUGGUUGAUUAACUGUCUGUGGAUUUUUGUAAUGCUUAUAAUUAACAAGUAAGAUUAACCCAUGUAUAUUUUAUCCAUAAAUAUAAUAAUCAUAUUAAUACAUCGCAUCAUCUAAUAAUAUUUGUAUAUCAAAUGUUCACAAAAGAGUAGUACAUCAAACAUAUCAAACCCACCAAAAUUAAAAAGGAAAAGUGAAUACAUACUAAAACAUCAUUUAGAAAUGUUAAACAUCCCAAAAUAAAUGUAUACCUCCAUUUCAUAAGCAUAAAACUGGCUAACUAUAAAAUGACAUAAAUGUUUCAUUUAAAAACCUAAAAUUUUCACUACUAAUUAAAGUAAUAUUUAUGUCCUUCAAUGUAUGAUAUAAGAAUCACAUUUAAAAACCCAAAAUCUUGUUGUCUCCUUUCUUUUUAUUCUCCAUUCCAUCCUCCCAAGAGUGUAUACCUGCAUUUCAUAGUUUAAUGAAUUUUAGAGUUUUUAUUGAAAAUAAAUAUGAAUUGAUGUUAUCAUAAAUGAAUAAACCUAAGAACUAUUUUUUUUCUUUCCUGUUUUCAAAUAGAAACAUUAUUAAAAGAAUAAGUAAUACUAUACAAUGCAUAUGAAAAAAAUUCAUAUAGUGGCUAAGGGACUCACCAUGCAUGAUUAUGCUGCAUCAACAUGAUUCACGAUUAAUUGUAACACAAAAAUAGCCCAUUCUCAUAUAAUUUCAUCAAAUUCUACUUGAGAAUAUGUUUUUUUGUUUUGUAUCACAAAAUUGAAAUCAAAUAAGAAAAUAACAUUAAUAUAAACAACAAUUGGAAGCCUAAACUAUGUACAAUUCACUAAAUGAGUAAUGCCUUUGACACAAUAAUUAUAGGAUCAACAAUUAUCUUUUUAAUGAAUCUCAUAAUAAAGUAGCCACAUUUGAUACCUCCUUCUUGUCUUGGACACUAAUUGAUCAAUUAUAAAAUAACAUUAGUACUUUUAUAUAUAAACGGUGCAAAUGCAUAAUUUGAAUAUGUAAAGCAAAAUUUUGGAUCUCACUUGCAAUAAUUGCCAAGAUGGCUCCCUCUUAAAUGUUUUCUUUGCAAAUAUUCGAAGAACCCUUUAUUAAAUAAGUUCAAUGGGCAGUUUUUUAAAAUAGGUAAAUGUUACAUGUUUUAAUAUAUAGAAAUAAAAAUAAAAUGUGUUUGAUGUGAAUGUCAUUUAAAAAAAAAUGCAUGGUUCAUGAAAAACAUGGGGCUAUGAAGCCUUUUAGCUGAGUUGGUAGUUAAUAUAUGGGGUGAUGUCAUAUGGCUGGAUGACUUAUUGUGAUGGUGGCAUCACAUCUAAAUUUUUGUGACCAUAUUUUAUGUGAAAAGGAUAUUAAAAAAAUAUUAUUUUAUUAUUUUAAGAAAAAUUAAUAAAUCACUUUAUUAUCAAAUUAUCUAAACAAAAACUUAAUAAAAAAUAUUUCAUCCCAAUUUUAUUUUCAAAACUUUCUUAUCGACAAUUAUCUCAUAUGUAAAUUAUUUAUUAUACAAAGAAAUUCUUAUUCUAUUUGUGAGAACAAUAUAGAAAAAGUCAUCUUCAUUAUAGCGUAAAGCAAAACAACAAUCUUCAACAUUGAAAAUUAGAGUUCAAAACAAAGCAAGAGUCUUCCAUGUUUAAUACACCUUUAGUGAAAGAAAUUGGAAGUCUAAAAUUCAAAACUCAUUAGAUAAUAAUACGAAGAAUUUUUCUACUUUUAAUGCUCAUUUAUUUAUAGUUUUCUUACUUAAUACUUACAAUUAUUAUUUAAAAGUUUUAUAUAUGAUUAAUGUUAAAACCUGUAGCAAGUACAAGUUUAAGGGAUAGUGGAUAAGUGCUAUGGUAAAGGUCUUGUCAAUUGAGCCAAAAAGUCAAAAUUUAUAUGAAAACAAAAAUUAAGCUUUAAAAAAUAAAUUAAUUAACACAAAUGAUUUUAUGUAAACUUGUUUAUUAGACAUAUCAAAGAAGUCUAUUUUUAUAUUAUUUUUUAAAUCCUCUUAUUUUCAUAUGAGAAAUUUUCAUUUAUACCUAAAUUACUUUUAAAAAAUUAAUCAUUGCAAAAACAUUUUAUUUUUAAAAUUAUUUUCAACUUUCUUAUUAAAUUUUUUUUUAUCAUUUGAUUAUUUUCAAAAAAGAUAAAGCCCUAAAAAACCAUUUAUAGCCUAAUUUAAACUCAAAAAUUAUUCCUAGUAUUAUUAUUUUUUUACUCUUAAAUGCUUUUCAAGCAAAAUAACAAUUAUUGAUACAUUGGUUCAUUUUUAAAUACUUUCACAAGAAUAUAUUUUAACUAUAAUUUAUUUUAAUUUAUUAAAAUAUUUUCAAGAAAUGAACUAUUAUCCAUUUAUUACUAUCCUAUUUUUCAGAAAAUAUUUUCAGUCAUUUCAUACACAUUUUCAACUACUAAAAUGAUUGUUUUUAUAGAAUAAACAAAGAAGCAUAUACUUCUCCUCCACUCACUAAGUCAACUAUUACAAUCGCCCUAAUAUUUUAUUCACUUACCAAUAUUUCAUUCCAUUUAGGUGACUCUCAACAAAAUCAUAUCUAUAAUACCCUUUACUCUCUUAUGAUACCGAGUAUUUUAUUCCAUUUAGGUGACUCUCAACACAAAGAAAGUGGGGAACGUCUUCUUAUGUUAAUUGAACAAAGACCUUUUUGUUUUUUACUUUCUAAUAUGUAUAUUAAAAAAAAUAUUUAUUACAAGGAGUGUGAUAGAAAGAUCAUUUUAUUUUUAAAGAUUUUUUUAUAGAAUUUCUUAAGCAUUUACAAAUAAUAGAACCUAACAAUUUUAUUUCUAAAAAAAUGAUCAAUUAGAAAAAAAAAAAGAAGAAUAUUAUUUUAAGAAAAGUUAAUAAAUCACUUUAUUCUUGAAUUAUCUAAACAAAACUUACCAAAAAAUACUUUAUCCCAAAUUUAUUUUCAAAACUUUCUUAUUGACAACUGUCACAUACAUAAAUUAUUUUACUAUACAAACAAAUUCUUAUUUUAUUUUCUUUAGAGAAAAACUCACUUGUUUAUUAGACAUCAAAGAAUGUAUUUUUAUGUCUAUAUAUAUAUAUAUAUAUAUAUAUAUAUAUAUAUUUAAAUUCUCUUAUUUUCAUACAAGAAAUUUCUAUUUAUGCCUAAAAUACUUUUAGAAAAAUCAUUGCCAAAAACAUUUUAUUUUUAAAAUUAUUUCCAGCAUUCUUAUUUUUUUUUUAAAAGUUAUCAUUGGAUGAUUUUCAAAAAAAGAUAGUCCUAAAAAAAUUAAUCAUUUAUAGCUCAAUUUUAACUCAAAAAUUAUCCCCAAUAUUAUUUUUUAAUUCCUAAAUUAUUUUCAAACAAAAUAACAAUUAUUGAUAUUUUGGUUCGUUUUUAAAUACUUUCACAAAAAUAUAUUUUAACCAUAGAUUAUUUUAAUUUAUCAAAAUAUUUUUAGGAAAUGAGCUAUUACCCAUUUAUUACUAUCCUAUUUUUCAAAAAUAUUUUCAGGCAUUUCAUUCAUGUUUUAAAUUUCAAACACUAAAAUUAUUGUUUUUAUAGAAUAACAAAGCAUGCAAAUUUCAACUACUAAAAUUAUCGUUUUUAUAGAAUAAACAAAGCAACAUACACUUCUCUUCCACUUACUAAUUCAACUAUUACAAUCAUCUCAAUAUUUUAUUCACCUACCAAUAUUUCAUUCCAUUUAGGUGACUCUAAAAAAAAUCAUAUCUACAAUACCCUUUACCACUAUAUGAUAUCCAAUAUUCUAUUCCAUUUAGGUGACUCUCAACACAAACAAAGUGGGAAGGUUUUCUUAGGUUAACUGAAGAAAACCCUAAACAACUUAAGUGCUUUUGGAUUAAUUGGGCAUCAUCUUGUUGCACUAGCCAAUAUGCUGUUAUUAGACUUCAUCCAAAAACUCCUAGCAUGGUGGAAAAAAGUACCAAAUGUAGUCAAGUCUUCAAUAAAAUAUUUUCACAUGUGAAAAAUUACAACCAAUACACUACAGUCAAGUCUUCCAUAAAAUAUUCUCAAAUGUAAAAACUUACAACCAACUAGUGUAUCUCUCAUUCUCAAUUAGACAAAAAUUUAAAAAAUCACUCAUUUUUCUUGUUUUCAUUCAUUUUGGGUCUUAUUAGCAAUGAAACGAAAAAUAUGUUAGAAUGUUAAACCUAGUUUUUACUUUCCUGAAACUCAAUAAAAAAUGUCAUUCACAAAACCUACAUCAUAGAUAUACUAAAUCAAGCAAUAUAAAACAAUUAUACAAAUAAAGAUUUUUGUAGUAAUAAAAAAUAAAUAAAGAUGAUAGAUAAGGGAUUUUGACUUACUCGAGAUUUUACAAAGCAAAGAAUAUCAGUUAUGGGUGUGUCGACCGUGGGUGUGAGAAAAAGGAGAAGAAGACGAUAGUUAGGGUUAAGAUCUUUUAUAUUAGUUAAUGUAUAUAUGGAAACAAUGGACUUUUCAUAAAUUGUUCCUACUCACUAUUUUAAAAAAGGGCCCAUUGAGUUAUAAAAUUAAAAUUUUUUUAUUUCAUAUGGUGUCACUUCCAAAAAAUGACACCAUAAAUAUAAAAUUAGCAUCAUCUAACUACCCCAAUUGAAGAUUUUUUAUAUGAUGUGUUGCCUUUAUAAAUUUUAAGCCAUGUGGUGUCAUUAUUUUAAAUGUGACACCAUAAAUUAUUUUGUAGUAGUGUACCUCUAUUGGGAUUGAACUCCUGAAAGCAAAACAUGAUGUAACAAAGUUAGACUUAACCAUCCCCUUGCUAUCUUUUUGGUGUAUUGACAUUGAUUCGAGCAUUCAACUCAUGUCUCUUACAUUGUACAUGACUUAUGUGCAUUAGGAGUUACACGAAAGAUACAAGUCAUAGGUUCCUUGUAAGUAGAUAAGUUGUCUAUAGUCGAUUCACGGAUUUGGGCAAUCUAAUAGAGACUGCAGUGCAUCACCUCCUAAUUGGAGGGAUGGCUUGUCUUGGUCAUCGGGAUGAGUUUCCCAUGGUGAGUACACUAGUAUAUGUGAUGCACACUAGAUAGGAUCUACAAUGAAUUAUGACGCAAAGUUAUCAAUUGUCAUGAUUCACCAAGCUACUGUACUACAUGGACUCUCAACCUUGAGAGGAUAUUAAGCUUGCUCCAAAAUCAAUAAGAGGCUUUGUCCAAUAGGUGAGACCCUAAAGUAGUCAUUUAUCCUUAUGGAUUGGGCCACUGUUGAUGGAGGUUGGUGACAACAGAUAUUCUCAAUAGAGACACUAUGAUAUCUCAUGGGAUUGAGACAAUGUGUCCUCUUAGGUGACCCAAGGGACAUGUGAUCAUGAAAUCUAUGACCACUACUGUAAUUUCUUUAGUGGAAUUUGACUUAUGCUCCUUAUAGUUAGGGUAUGUUAGUUGAUCAUAUAAUAAGUGAGAUCUAUAAAUCAAGGAUUUGAGAGGUAAUCUUGACAGAUGAUAACACUACCUUGUUAGAUUAUAGACAUCAAUUCAUAGAAAGUCUACAUGCAAAUGAUAGUAGGUUAUGGACCAAACUUCGUCUCGUUGUUAUAUAAAUAGUGUACUAGAGUAGAGUUGAUUCUAUUUAGUGGAAUGUUGAAUCAACUUCAAAAUUAGAUUAUGAGGAAGCUAGUACUCCUAUGGGUCCCAAUGGUCCCCACUAUGAGCUCAUAUCCCAAAAUGAUACAGUUAAUGAGGUUGGAGUGACUCUUUCUUGUGUAUAAGGGCAUUUGGUUAAUUUCGUAAGAUUGCAUAGGAGAUAACGAACAAGAUCUCUAGAUUGGGCUAAUUGAUUAAUUAGAUGACCCUAUGUGGUUAAAUAAUCAAUUAAGGCUUGUUUUAGGCUAGAUUAAAUGACCUAAGCCUUGAUAGGCUUAAGUCACUUAAGCCCAAUGGGCAUCCCUAUAAAUACCCCUUUAUCGAUUAGGAUUUCCUAAUGACUUUUGGUGAGAGUUGUCUUCCACCUCCAGAGAGAGCACAGUCUUCUCCCUUCCAAAACUCAUACUUUAAAGUGUUAAGAUCGUGGUUCAAGUCAUUAGACAAAAAAUCUUGGGUGUACGAGACCUCCUUGGAUGAAGGGUUAUAACAUUGGAUGUGCACAAGUCACAUGCAUGAGAAGCUCACAGGACAUGGGACAUUCACAAGCCUCAUACACGGGAAUCACACGAGACAUGCACAUGGAUAGUAGCAUGAGGAGAGAGACUAUCUAGUUUUUUCAAGCAUGUUUCUCAACGGAUGAAUUCGAUCUGAGAACAUCCAAAUCACAAGUAUGAGUUUUGAAUCUUUAGAUCUUUAUUCUAAAAUGGUUUUAAAGCUAUUAUUUUUCAUUUAUGUUAGAUCUAGAGAGCCCUAGGGAUAGAUGCAUGCAUCCUAUGAGAUCCCGGACAUAGGAACAAAGUAAUCCAGGGUUCCUAACAACCUCUUAAUUUGAGGGAUGAUUAACCUUGACCAUCGAGAAGAGGUUCCCAUGGUGAGUGCAUUAGUAUGUAUGGUUACACAUUGGACAAAACCUAUGGUGAGUCAUGAUGUAAAGCUAUCGGUUUGUUAUAACUUCACUAGGCUACUAUGUUAUAUUAUCUCUCAACUUCGAGAGAAUAUUGAGCCUGUGCUGAAGUUAGUAAUGACUUUGAGCUAUAUAUGAGAUCCUAACGUGAUCAUAUGUUCCUUAUUGAUUGGGCCACUAUUCAUAAAAGUUGGUAGCAAUGGGUGAUUAGAGCCAAAAUAUGCACUCCAAUCACACAAAUAUGACAUGAUUUAUGUAACAUAAAAAGCUCUAAUUAUCUAAGUUAACUCAAAUUGAUGCUAAGACCUUAACUAUGGAUCUAACUUUUAUUUUGAGCCUAAUUCUAGGUUUAAGGGAUGAAAAGAAUGCUAAGUGUAAAAGUCAUUUUCAACCAAGGAAGUAGAAGAGGUUAAAUAUGCAUAAAUGAGAGACUUGGGACUUGUUAACUAUGAAGAGUCUAAGAAAUGGCAUAAUGAGCAAACCAUAGGCAUGAAAUACUAGCAAGGGGUGUUAUGGAUUAAGAUAAAGGUCAAGAAACCAUAAUAGAGGAGGGUUGAAGCGCAUGCAAUCAAGUUCACAUGGAAAUUUAGAACUCAAAAUCUAGCUACAACAUAUUCUUUGAUUUUAAGGUAAAAUUUGGAGCACUUACUAAUGUCAUUUUUGGGCAUACUAUAUAUCAUUUUGAAGCUCGAGAAGUAAGGAGUCCAACACUUUAAAUAGUGUGCAAAUCAAAAUUGUCAUGAGGAAGUUAUGCACGUUAGAAACAAACUGGUAGUGGGUGAGUUCAAAAUUCACAGUGAAUUUUGAACUCACCAUGGUGAUUUUGAAUUUGGCACUUUUCCUCCACAUAUGAAUUCAAAAUUGAUUUGGAACUCACCCCAACUUUGAACUUAGCUAUUGGUGGUUGAGUUUUAAGCUCCAAAACAUGUCAAAAUGAGUUUCAAAUUCCUUCAUCCAGAUUAGAAUGCAUGACACUCAUUUAGAACUCAUAAUAUUUUCAAUCUUUUAAGUUGUUUAUGACUUUUCUUUGUAAUAAGUGGCCAAUGGAAGUGUGCACAUAUUAGGUUAUUGAAUUUAUUAUAUAAACUCUUUUAGUUAUAGUUUUAAGGAAGAGAAAAGAGGUUAGAUUGUAAAGAGGGAGAUUGAUAUCUCAUCUUGAAAUUCUUUAAUAAAGUUUUAGGUUUUCUUUUCUUUUCUUUCCUUUUUCAAUCUUUCUUUUUAUUUUCUUGGUAACCAAAUAUGGGUUGUGAGAACAAAUCCACCACUAUGUUUAACUAGCUUGAUUGAUUCAGAGAUGCUAACAUGAAGGUGAAGAAUCCAAAGGAGUGGCAAGAAAUGAUAAUGUAUUAAAUGGUUUGAUUAUAUUUUCAAGUUUUCACUAGUAGGAAUAGAUCCUCUAUGUUAGAUCACCUUAGAUAAAUUAUAUAGGACUCUUAUCAAAAUACUACUAAUUCUUGGGAAGACCUUGAUUACUAGUUACUAUAGUUUGAUCCUAUUGUUAACGAAUUUAAGGGUUGAAUCUAUGAAGAUGGAUAUGGGAUUUUGAUUGAAUAAAAUUGAAAAUAAAAACAAACCAUCAUUUCUAAUUAAUUUAAGAUUUACAAUAAUGAGAUUAAUGAUUGGUUGGGUUACAAAUUAUGAAUAUUUAGUCUCAUCCUUGUAAGUUAUACUAGGGAAUGAUAUGGUAGGUUAUUACUAGAUACUAAUGAUUCCUAACAACUCUUGAUCAAGUUAUCUUGGUCUUCCCAAUCAUUACCUGCCUUAAAACAAAGCUACAAGGAGUAGGAAGGGUUACAAAGCUAAACCUUAAACCAAUAAUUAAUCUCAUUUACUUGAUGUUUUAGGAAUCUAUUUUAAAAAGGAAAAACUAAGUUUCCAAUGCAAUAUUGGUCUUAAUAUUCAAUUUGGUUGUGGAUUGAUUUUGAUCUUAAAUCCUAAAUUUUAUAAUGUUCUUUCUCUCUCUCUAGGAAUUAACACUAGAUUGUGAAACUCUCUAGAACAUUCUUUCUUUUAUUUGAUUUAUUUCAUAAAAUAGUUUAGGAAAUUUUUAUUCAUGUUUAUCCCUAUUUAUUUAAAUUAAGAUUUCAGUAUUUUUAGCAAAUAAUUACCCCUUUUCAUCUAAAAGAAAAUAAACAAAUUAGAGUUGAUCCUAGAAGACAACAACCUACUACACUACAAAGUUGUGGUAACUCUAUCUCUAAUUUUUCUUAGCUAGAGUUAUCAUAUAUUUAAGCUUAAUUAUUUUAAUUACAAUAGAGAUUUGCAGUGAAUGGGUAUUCUUAAUGGAGAUACUAUGAUAUCUCAUGGACUUUAAGACAAUAUAUACCCUUGGGUGAUCCUAAAGAUACGUGUUUAGAUAAACUAUGGUCAUAGUAGUUCCUUAAGCUCUUUGUGAGAUAGGACAUGUCAAUUGAUUACAUAAUAGGAGGAUUUGUAACUUAAUUAUAGUAGAGGUAAUCUUAAGUGGAUGAUAGUUUUUACCUUGUUAGAUUAUAGACAUCAAUUCAUUGGGAGAUUAUAUAUAGUGGAUAGUAGGUCACGAACCCGAACACUUAGUGUCUUGUUAUAAUAUGUAUAGGGUAUUAGAGUAUAGUUAUCUUAGUAUAAUGGGAUGUUUUGUCAACUUCAAAAUUGAAUUUUGAGAGAGCCAAUACUAUCCUAGAAGUUCCAAUGGUCCUCGUUCAAACAUAUAUACCUUGAUGACACAGUUAAUGAAGGUUGGAUUGACUUUUGGUUUACUUAUAUGCAUAAGGAUGUUUUGGUAACUAUAUAAGGUUGCCAGGAAUUAGCGGACAACAUCUCUAGAAUAGUUAAUUGAUUAAUUGAAGUUUUGAUGGGUUAAUUAAUCAAUUAAGACUCCUUUUUGAGAUAGAUUAAGUGACUCAAGUCGAAGGUAGGUUCAAGUCACUUAAGCUUAGUAGGAACCCUAUAAAUACCCCUUAUAAGAUUAAGAUUUCAAGUCUUCUUUUAUCAUUCUCCCUAUGUUUCAAAGAGAACCCUAACUUCCAUCCUCAUGACUUCCACCACUUGUGUGCUUAGUUUCAAGAAAGAGUCAUUAGGUGAAACAUUGGGGGUUUGUGAGAUCACAUUUGACUACGUGGCAUCAAAUAAUGAUAUUCACCAUAAGGAUUCAAUCUAAACAUGUAAUCUAGGUCUUGUAAAUAGUUUUAAAUGUUAUAUUUUUGCUACACAUAGGGUCUAGUAGCCUUAGGAGUAAUUUGAUGCACCUAACCUGAUCCCUGGACAGGAACAAAGUAAUCUAGAUUUCCCAUCAGUUGGAUUACCUUGUUGAAAAGAAAAAUUGUUUUCAUGCUUUGAAAGGUAUGGUUUUCUAGGAAGCAUAUGACCACUGGUGUGGUGUAGUGAUUAUGUAUGAUGAAAAAAAAUAUAUAAAAAAUGAAUAAAAUAAAAUAAAAGAAUGCAGUGGGCUGCGAGGUUACAUAGACUAGAUUGUGCUGUUGGAAGAGAUGAUAAUAAUUUGGUGAUGGUAUAGAUUAUUGGGAGAAGUGAGAGUAGGAAAGUAAAAUAAAAUUAUUAUAUAAAACAACAAACAAAAACACAAUUAUGCUGGGCUAGUAACAUGACAACGGAAUCUGAAGCAAAGACAUGAAGAACAAUAAGAAACUAAAAACAUGAACCACCUUACACACAGACACACUCAACUCCAAAACCCUUACUGGUAGAAGUUAAACUUAAACCUAAAAUGAGAACCAUGAUCACAACAAAUUCAAGGGAAAGGAGGAGAACCAGCGCCACCACCAGGACCACCGAGUCCACCACCGGUGCCCACUCCACUGCCUAUGCCGCCUAGGGUUCCGAGACCACCGGUGCCACCCAAGCCACCCAAGCUGUCGAGCCCUCCUGUCCCACCUAGUCCACCUGCACUACCGAUUCCUCCGCCAACUCCGCUGACUCCACCUAGCCCACCAAAUGGCAGUCCAGAAUCACCUACUCCUGCAAAGCCACCCAGCCCGCCAAAGGUGGCGAUGUUCUUUUGGUCAUCGAGACCAGCAUCACUAGGCACAGUCCUUGCAGUGGUGUGAGCCACUGCUAGGGCAAGCACUGCCAUGAUAAACCACUUUGCCAUCUCUCUCUUUUCUCACUCACUCACUCACCCUCUAAUGCUUCUUUUUGAGUGUGUACUCUGUUGCACCUGAAGGGUGUUGCGGGUCUCCUUUUAAAGGCCUAAAGGGAGGUGGGGGACAGUUGCAAGUAGUAAAUGAAGUUAAAUGCUGAUCAGUCCACAGCUAUACUCAGUCGAUGGAAUUGAACAGGAUUUGUUGCGACUAUGCUCCGAGCCUCAGGGCCUCAAAUUGAUCAACAUCUAACAAAUAAAAAUGAAAAUCACUUGCAUAUCAUCAUGGCUUCCAUACAGAUAUUAUGCAAUAUGUAUGGCUGUGCUGGAAUUCAGAAAAAUACCCCUGCCAAUAUUUGCAUGACAGAAAACCUAAAGUACAUGAAUAUUAGGGGUUUGUUUUGACGUAUGUAAAAUUUGAAUGACAGGCCACAAAAAAUGUCUCUUUCUCUGGUAAUUCUUUCGCGUUUUAUUUUUCAUAUCCUGAAUUUUUCAGUUGAUCUCUAAGAGAAUGUAUGGAAAAAAUGAAUACCAAAUUAGAUAAAUUGAUACCUAAUACUAUAUUAAUACCUCUCUGGGGUGCAUUUAGUCUUUUUGGGCUUACCAUAUGAGAUAGAAAGGGAUCAUGCAAAAUAGCAUAAAGAAAUUUUUUGGAAUUAUUAUGUUUUGAAUAUUUUUUUUUAAAAAAAAAAGAAAAAAGAGUUAUGCAUGAUGUUAUUUAUUUUGACUAGAAUGGAGACUAAGUAUUAUAUAUAUAUAUGUAUUAACUUUCUUUGUUUUUUUCCAUAAAAUUUUACUUCAGGGUGUAGGUAAGAAGAUUAUCAAUCCACCAAACUGCUGAUAAUCUUUCAAUGUUAUGUUGGAAUCCAUCCAGUGCCUGGCUUUGUGAUCAUUAUAGAUGUGUCAUUGUAAGAUGGAGAAUUUAAGCCUUGGUUUGUAUUAUUUGAUUCUUUUUAGUUGAAGUAUUGACCAAAAAGAAUUCACAAACUUUUGAGAACAUUAUACUCAUAAUGGAAAAAGAAAACAAAAAUUAUAGCUACACCCGUUUAAUCAAAUUAAGAAUUUUCAUGUUAAUUUGGAGUCAUGAAAAUUAUUAGAAUUUUUAGAUAAGAUGGCUAAGUACUUUAUCCAAAUAAAAAUUAAUUAGGUCUCAUUUUUCUACUCUGAUGAACAUGAUGAGAAUUUGGUGAGAACUGAAAGAUAAAGGCCAAGGGUUGCUGAAGCUCCACUUAUUGGGCAAAUACUAGAGAGAAGGAGAGUGAGGUGAUCAAUGGGGUAGGAAGAAUCAAUAACAGCUCCUCCAGCGGCCCUCGGCAGGACUAAGGCUGAGGAUGCUGACCUUGGUGGAGGAGAAAGUAAAUGCAAUUAUUAGGACGGUUUGUGGACUCCUAUUAGUUGUUUCACCUGUUCUUAAUAAUUCGUUUUAUGACCUACAAUCUGAUACACACAUCUUCAUGCUCAUGUAUACAUGCAUGUGUUAUCCCAUAUGCAUCUUGUUAAGUAAGAGUUUAUUUGACAAUGAUUUUUGGAAAUGUUUCAAGUUUUUUUAAUAUUUGAAAGAUAAAUUUUUUUAAAAUGUUAAAAAGAGUAGAAACACUUUUUAAAAUCACUCUCAAACAUACUCUAAGUUAUAAAAUUAAUAUUUAUAGCAAAAAAAUCAUAUUUAAAGACAAUAUUUAUUGAUGGAAAAUAGGUUUUUAAAAUCUUUUGCAAUAAAAUUUUAAUUUACACCAAUAAAUCCCAUUUAUCCACAAAUUAAAGUUAAAAUAUUUGAUAGAAUUUUUAAAAGAUAUGAAAUCGGAGAACUUGUCUAUAUUUGGCCACUUGUUGGCAUUAGAUGCUUACAUCUAGUGAGAUGUCUGCGUUUGUAUUUAUAAAUGUAAAUAUAAGAUGGAACAACAUAUGUCCAUGUAUUUGUAUUUUAGAGUGGAGAGACUAGUACCAAACAUAUUGUUGUCUAUUUUGCUUUCAUUGGGGGGUAGGUAAGCUUGUAAUGAGUUAUGGUAAAGAGAGAGAGGGUGAGAGAAUCUGCAAAAUCUAAGAGUCUAUUCAACCAUGUGAGUAAAAAACAAUCUUUAAAAAUUCGUAAUACUGUUUGAGCAUUGUUCUCUAUUUACAAUUUUUAAAAACAAGUGAAAUAAAGAACAAUUUUUAAAGGAUAAAUAAAAGUUAUUUUCAUCAGUUUUUAAAAAUAAAAGAAAAAUAUAGAGAAAUUUUUAAAAAUCAUAAAAAUACAAAUAAGAUUGAACAUCAUAUCAUUCUUUUUCUUUGUUGAUGAUAAUACUAAUAUUUUAAAUAUGAUUUUCCUAUAAAUUAUACUUGUUUUUGUAAAUUUCUUUUAACUUCUCCAAAAUUUUUCAUUAAGCAAAUAAAUUUUAUAUCAAAUUAUGCUUUACAUAUGACAUUUAUUAAUUGUUAAAAAUAAUUUAAAACUCAAAAACCGAUAUAAUUAGUAGUAAAAAGUCAUAGAACUUAAUAACAUUAAAAAGUCAUAAACCAAAAUUUAUUUUAUGACAGUUAAUUUCUUCUUUACAUAUAUCCUAUUUUUACUAAUUUUUUUAUUAGGCAAAUAAACUUCAAAUUUAGUAAGGCCUAUUGAGUUGGAUUCAUGAAUGAUCUAAUAAUUUUUAAAAAUAACUUAAAACUCAAAUAAUGUUCCAAUGAAUAUUAGAAAAUUGAUGGAUAAAAAUUGGUUUAGAAUAACUAUUAUUUCUUUUCUACAUAGAAUCAUUAUUUUUUUAUUUUAAUUUUUUUGUUAGAUAAAUAAACUCCAAAUUAAACAAGACUUAAUGCAUUAGAUUCAUCAAUGAGUCUAAUAAUUUUUAAAAAUAACUUAAAAUUCAAAUAGUGAUCUAAUCAAUACCAAAAAUUGAUGUACAAAAAUUAGUCUAGAAUGACUCUUUUCCCUUCUACAUAGAAUUAUUAUUUUUUGAUUUUUUUUUUUGUUAGGCAACUAAACUCUGAAUUAAACAAAACUUAAUGCGUUGGAUUCAUCAACGAGUCUAGUAAUUUUUAAAAAUAAUUUGAAACUCAAAUAAUAAACCUAUUAUCAUAAAAAAUUUAUGGACACAAAUUGGUUUACAAUGACUAUUAUUUUUUUUCUACACAUAAUUAUAUUUUUUUUUAUAAAUUCUCACACUAGGAAAAUGAACUUCAAAUCAAGUGAAGCUUUAUAUUAAAUUUAUUAAUGGGUUUAACAAAUUUUAAAUAUAAUUUUGAACUUAAGAAAUAGAUCUAAUCACUAAAAAACUAAUAAAUCAAAAUUGAUAUAUUAUGAGUCUUAACUUUGCUAUUUCUCAAUGCACACAACCAUAUAGAUUAUUAGUUUGCUUGGAUUAAAAACUAUUUCAUGAACCAAUAAUAACGACAAAUACUCAUAAUUAACUUUGCUCUUUGAUAAUUGUUAGUUUAUUGUUCAUAUGUGGAUAUAGGAUAGUAAUGGUUUUAUAAAUAUUAUGUUGAUUUACAUUAUGAAUGCAUAACAUUGUAUAUUGUAUUAGAGAUAUGAUAUAUGAUAAUUCUAUAGGUAAAAAAAAAAAGUGAAAAAACACAACAAAUAAGGCAAAUGUUGUCGAAAUUUGGGUAGAAUUUAGUAUUUUAUUUUUUAGAAAUUUGUUUAAUUUUAAUAAUUUAUAAAAUGCAUACUUAUGAUGUCACCGGUUUGACCAUGGUUUGGUUCUCAGUCAAACCAAUGAACUAUAUAUAUCUGCUUAUGUUCAUAUAAAUAUGCUUUGCAUGAUUGUAUGUUGCAUGACUACCCUCCUUUUGCAUGGUGCAUGAUUUGUUUAUCUAUGUGGACACACAUGCAUCCUUCUACUCCGAUUUUCAUAGCUCGAUCAAUCAUUUUCUUGUAUUUAGUUGAAAAUGACCAUGUCUUUGUACUAUGCUUGCUCUUCAAUUGAGCUAGUGACUAGGAGUGAGAUCUAGAUUUGGGCUACAUGGAAUUUGAAAGUUGUUGUGACACCAUCAGACUAGUGUCGCAUCAUCAACACCAAUAUUGUUUGCUUAGUGUUAGAGCCAUCUCAUCAGCAUUGCCAUGUCAUCGUUCGAUCUUCAGUGACAUCUUAUCACUAAUAUCAAUGCCACAUGCUAACCAUUAGAGCAGAUCAUGUGAUGAAGGACUCGGCUGAUCACGGUCAGACUAUGUGCCGAUGGUUUGCCCAUCCCCUAGGCGUCUACAAGGCCAUGCAUCCUCUGAAUAGCCUCUCUAGGCUCAAAACCCGACACAGUGGGCCAAGCCUUGGACUCAUACACCCUGAGUCCAACUGAAGGGAUGUCGAAAAUGCGGCAAAUGCUUUCCGGGCUCCGCUUGAUCUCAACACCUCAAACGAAUUUAGGGUUAAUUCCAAUUUUGGUUUUGAAACUUGAUGCAUAACUAUCAGAGUAUAAAAGGAUUGACAUUGAAACAUAAUCAUUGAUGUUCAAGGGAAAACAACUUACUAUCUAGUUCUAUAUUUUGAGAUUGAAUUCUUAGAAGGAAUCAAGUCAUGCCUUUUGUCAAAUUAGAAUCACAUCCAAUCAAUUUGUUCUAAGAUUGUUGGAUUUUUGUUUAACACGACAUUGUUCAUCUACAUACAACACAACUUAACUCCCCUUUAAUUAUACAGGCUAAACCAAAAUAUUGCUACAUACUAAAAGAGAAAAAGACAAUUAUGCAUGUAUCUGGAACGUUCAAUAAAAAUAACUAAUUCGGAGAUUUCUCUUUGGAUUUCGGGGCAUUACGUUAUCAACUAUAUAUAUAUAUAUAUAUAUAUAUAUAGAGAGAGAGAGAGAAAUUAUUUUGUGCUCUUUGUUCUUUUAUGACAUAGUUAGUUUCUUCUCUAAUCAUAAACCCUAAACCAUCGAUAAUAUAAUCUAAUAUUAUAGUAUAUGUUAGAAACAUAAGGAUAUUAACAUUUUAGUAAAUUUUUUGUAAAAAUUAAAUAUAAUAAUAAUUAUUAAUAUUUUAUUUAAAAUGAAUAACAAAUAAAGUUUAAGUUUUUAACAUGUAAAUGAGCCAAGUUUUUCAUUACAUGCACAUAUUUAGUAUUCAAUUACAAACAUAAUAUUCUCAAAUAUUUUGAUUUAAUUUGAAAUUAACUGAAUUGGUUUUUUGAAUUCCAAAUUAUUCUUAAAAAUUAAAUAAUCAAAUUAUUAUUAAAAAAUUAAAAUUCUUUAAAGAACUUAAAUUAUUAAUUAUGUCUUAAUUUAUAAUUUAUUUGCCUACUGAUAAAAUUAAUACAUACAUACACACACACACACACACACACACAUAUAUAUAUAUAUAUAUAUAUAUAUAUAUAUAUAUAUAUAGUUGUGUGCAUUGAGAAAUAGCAAAGUUAAGACUCAUAAUAUAUCAAUUUUGAUUUAUUAGUUUUUGUCUGGUCUGUAUAUAAGUUUUUGUCUGGUCUGUAUAUAGCCUAUUGAUACUUCAAUUGAUACUCAAAAUAUUUCCAAAAAUAUUUAUCAAUAAAAAUAUUGAUAUUAACACUCCUCAGCUAAACCAGCCUGCUUACUACCAGCAGACUUGAUUUAUAAUUUUUCAAUAUUAUAAAUGAUUUUUCAGCUAACUGAUUAAAUGAUUGUCCUGUCUGGGUUUCUUCAUCAGCUAUCUUGUUUGAUUGGCUGAUGUGUAUGCGUUCUUUACUUUCUUUCUUCACGUAUGUUUGUUUUGAUGGAAAAUGGAAUGGGGAAGAAAGAAAUGAGGUGGUGUUGCCAAUUGCCAGUUGCCCAGAAUCAAGAUCCCCUUCUCCUUUAUUUCUUCUUCAUUUCUUUUCUUUUGUUUUGUUUUUUAGUUUUGGAGCACCCAUUAUCAAUCCUACUUCCAAGCUUUCUUCUUUUAGUCCUCUCAAUAAAGAGAACACCUAUACCUGCAUCAGAUUUUUGUCUUAACCGAUUUCUUCUUAUAGAAUUGGAAAUUAAUUUUUAUGGAGGUAUUAAUCUCAUUGUUUUCUUGGGUAGGAGUGAUUUUAGAACUAUUCCAUGCUAUAUUUCUCCUCAUAAUUCUCUUUCUUGAAUUGUUUAAAUUGGAUUCGACAGGCCAAGUUGUUGUCUGGUCUAUGUUAUUUAAUUCUUGUUCAUUUUCAUCAGGAUUUAUUUCUUCAACUGUUUGAAAGUGGUGGGUGCAUUCUCAAACCUUCAGUACUAACAAAUUGUACAAGGCAAUGGAUGGUGGUGCUGGCUAUCUGUGAUAACCACAUAUAUUCAAGUUGUCAAUGGAUUCUAUUAACUUCUUUCUUUCUAUUUUCUUCAAGUGACUAUGAAAUGUGAAGUGCUCAGCUAUUUUUCUGGUAGUCAGAAUUUGUUUGUUAAUCAAAUCAAUUAAUAUCCGAAACUUUGAGAUUUUGUACAACUGUUAUACCUUCUCAACAAUCUCAAUAAUUCUUUGUUGUAAAUUGGUAGAACAGAAUCGACCCAUACCGAGCCAAUCUACAAAUAAGGGACGUGAUCAGAUUCUUGUAAUUGAGGUUCCAGUCGAAAAGGUGAAUUAAUGUAGUAUAAUUAUCUUGCUUUCAGUUGAAUAUAAACCUUAGUUCCAAUUUGCACUGCCAAUGCUUCCAGGUUGGUUUUCUCAUUGGAAGGAGAUGUGCAACCAUUGAUCAAAUACAACACACUUCUGGAGCUUUGAUUGGGGUUUGUGAUUUAACCACAAAAGCUUUAGUAUAUGUUAAGUUAUUCAAAUUAUCUUUCCUUACCAUGAGUGAUAUGUUAUUUGUCUCAUUACCUUCACUACAAGAAUUUUUUUUAUAAAAAAGUACACAUUUUAAGCGUCAAGAAAGAUUGUAAAUGAAAAAUUCAUUUUGGAAUAUAUAUAUGGAUUCAUCAUAAACCCUAAACUUGAUGAGGUUUGCUCGGAUUAAAAACUAUUUCAUGUCAACUGCAACCCAGAGUUGUUCAUAAUAUCUAGAGCCUUAAGCUCACGACCCAGAGUAGCUUAUGUCAUCCACAACCUGGAGUUGUUCAUAGCAUUUGGACACCUAAGCUCACAACCUAGAGUCGGCCAUAUAAACCAUAGCCUUGAACUAUUCAUAGUAUAUAGAACACUAAGCUCAUGACUCAGAGUUGUUCCUAUUAGCCACAUCCCUGAGCUAUUCAUAGCAUUUAAACCCUUGAGCUCACAAACCUAAGUAGCUCAUGUCAUCCAUAGUUGUUAAUUGUUCAUAGUAUUUAGAGCACUGAGCUCAUGACCUAGAGUUGUUCAUGUCAACCAAUCAUUGGGUGACAAGGAAAAUUUAAAAAGUGGUUUAGAAUCGAUUGAAAUCAUUCACAAAGGAUAAUGUUGUACACCUUUAUACAAUUAGUACAUUUUCCUUGUACAAUUAGUGUAAUACUCUUGUACAAUGACACAAAUUGCAUAUCCUUUCUAAGUUAUGUGUCCAUCGUAGGAGUGUUUAACCAUAUUUUCAAUGGUUUAGUUGAGAAGAUGGUGGCAUAUAGAUUGAAGCCAAAAUAUUUUGGUUUUCCAAAAUAUUCCCCAGCUGGUCUAUCAAAAAAGGCAAAUGAGGAAUUUUUAUUCAAUUUUUCAUUUUAUAUGGAAAGGUUUGGAAGAAUAAUGAAUUACAAAGGGUAAAAUUGUCAUUGAGUAUAUAAUUGACAAAAGAGUAGAUCAAUAAGAGAAAAGGGCAGGCAACAGAGAUUGACGAUAUUUUGGAUAAAAUAAAGAUGAUUGAUAAUCGUAGAUGAGAGGAGCACAAAAAUAAAUGGUGGUUUUGAUUAGAGGUUUGCUUGAUAAUUGAUGAGAUAUGGUAGCAAAAUGAUCUACUGCAAGAAUCUAAAAAACCCAACCUACAAUGAUUUUGAAAUUGAGGGUUUAGCUUCAUUUCUCAUGUUUGUGUGACUUAUUUCUUAUUUUGUAAUGGUCAUUCUUUAUCUCCUAAACUCAUGAUAUCCUCAUCUUACUUUUUCUUACAGUCCAUGAGUCUUAACUCACUCAUUUUCUCAUUUAACCCCUUAAUAUUUCAAAAUCUAAAAUAGUUUCAACUUGCACAAUUUACUUCUCAUAAACCUGAGAUAUAUCUCCAAAAUAAAAAUUAAACUUAUGAAUAGGGCUUUAGCAUUGAUUUAGGUUAAGUUGGAUGAUUUGAGUGUCCUUUAGUGUACAAAUGGUAUCAAAUAUGUGUCAUUAGAGCACAUAUUUUGGCUCCAAUUAGACACCUUCAUUCAUGUCAAGACAUAACAAUUCCAAUAUUAGAAAUCAUUUAAUAUUGGAAUUAAACCCAAUAUUUUCAUUUAUUGAGGAAGUAUAUUCCAAGGCGCAAACCAAAGAAGGCAAUGAAGAAUAGGCUACUUUAGGCAAGUCAUGACAAAUUACCACUCAUGCUCGAGAAUUUCCAUCCUUUUGGAAGAGAAGAUGGCCGUGACGUAACUAUUGUGGGUUGGCUAAGGCUUAUGGGUAACUGAGGUCUAAAAUAAAUAAAGAAAUGCUUCAACUUGAACUCAACUCUAUCCCACUCCUACAUUAAGAUACUCAAUUUAAGUUGAACUCAAUUUCAUAUUUCCAAAAUUCGGGUUGAAUUCAAAUUGGUUUUAUUAGAAUUGAUUCAGUUUUUUUAGAUUAUGUAGGCCAAAAUUGAAUUACGUAAUAUGCUAGGUUAGGUUGGGUUGCCUACAAUUUGAAUAAUAUAUGACAUGAUAUUUCAAAAUAAUAAAAACAAAUAAAAUUGCCUUUUUUGAAAAUAAAUAUUACAUGAUAUAAAUAUAAUUUGAUAUUUUUAAAAAAAAGUUAAAGAAACAAAUAAAAUAAAUACUAUUAUAUAGAAUAAUAAAAUUAUAAAUAUUAUGAAAAUAUUUUAUUAGGUUUGAAUUAGGUUGAAAACGUUGACCCAAACGCAACCAAUGUUAAACCCAGUCCAAAUACUAAAAAUAAUUACCUAAGUCCGGCUCAAAAUUGUAUUGGAUGAAUCCAAUCCUCCAAAUUUCACCCUAAUUUUAGCUAUAUAAACCACUUAUUUUAGUUUAAAAUUAUCCAUCAUUUCAAAAGUUUUAUUUUCUUACUCUGAUCGAUAAACUUUCCAUUAAAUUUUGUUAUGCAACAAGUUGAGUUGUAAUUUCAAAUAUUUGGUCUCCAUUGUGCAUCUUGAUAUUUGCAUGUGCAGAGAAAACGGAGAUAGCAAAGUCUAAAGGUCCACGAGAGUUUCUGAAUUGGAUUGACGUUCAGAAGAUGAAGUACACUUGGGGUGUGGCAUGAGAAACAAUGAGGCUUUCACCACCGCCUUAGGAACUUACCGACAAGCCUUAACUGACCUCACUUAUGGAGGUUACACAAUUCCAAAGGGAUGGAAGGUAUGCUAUAAAUACUGACAGAGUUUCACUUGCGGUUAGUCUAGGUUUAAGGUUGGCUAAGUUUGAUACAAUUCACUAACAUGACUGAAUCUAACAUAUUUUUCUCGGGUUUAAGUUGAUAAUAAUCUGUUGACCUAUAUAAUCUGUAUGGUAAACAUAAUUAUACAAAUUUAAUUUUAAUCGACCUAUUUAAUAAUUAUAUUAAUUAAUAUAAUUAUAACCAUAAUUUACUUAACUCACAUUUGACUCAUUUUAAAAUUUAAUUUUAAAUAAAAUUGCAAAAAGUGUGUUGAUUUCUUGCAGACACAUUGGAACGUGAUUUCAACGUACAGAGAUCCCCAGUACGUCCCCGAUCCUGAGCAGUUCGAUCCAUCGAGGUUCGAAGGAAAGGGGCUUGCACCAUACUCAUUUGCGCCGUUUGGAGGAGGACCAAGGAUGUGUCCAGGGAAGGAAUAUGCUUGAUUGCAGCUACUAGUGUUCAUGCAUAAUGUCGUGACAAGGUUCAAAUGGGAGAAAGUAGAUCCAAAUGAGAAGAUUACAUACACACAUUCACCUAUUCCUAUGAAUGGCUUCCCAAUUCGCCGCCACCCUAAUAAAAAAAUAUAGUCAUGAUUUAGCCCUUGGUAACUCUAUCAUGAGCAUAAAUGGGAGAUGAAUAAAUGGAUUAUAUGGAUUUAUAUUUGCAUUUUGAUCUGAAUAAUUAUGUAAUAAAAUGUUUGAGUAUGGGCUAUAUUUGUAUCUGCAUGCCUUGAUUUAGGAUAUUUUUUAAUAAGUUGUUUUAGUUGUUUUAAGAUAAAGACCACGUUGAGCUGUCUUGUAAAAAGUCUUUGUUAAUCAAAUCACACAUUCACAUGAGUAAAAAAUAAAGAAAAAAAUAAGAUUUUUAAUAUGGUUCGACAAUCAAUAUGAUCCCUAUAUCCACGAAAUACACCAAUACUUAACAAUUCACUAAUUAACACGAAUGAGAAGAGUUACAAUAAUGAAACUUUCGAAAAACACCUCUCAAUUACAACCGCACUCUCUAAGAAAUAAAACUCUAAAUAUAAAAGGGUUAAAUAUAUAAUAGGGGCAAACUCGAUCCUCAGCAUUCAGAACGAAGCAUAACAAAACUGAUUUAGAUUUCACAAUCCAACCAAUUUUGUGUAAUCUCAUUUUCUUUUUUAUUUUUUUCUUGGAGGAAAAAUAGAAGUUGAGAGAGAGAUUGGUGCUUCAGGCACGUUGGCCUUGUCCUAGUUUUGGUGUUAACAUGUCAAAUAAUUACCCCAAAGAAACCCAACAUAGACCACAAAAAUAAAAAUAAAAAUAAAAAUUCCUUUUUGACCCAAGUGACGUUGUACUUGAUUAAAUCAGCUAUAGUGAAUAUAGAGAGAGCAACCCAGCAAACACAAGCUAUGGCAACUUAUGAUAUCUUCUCCUUCAUCUCUACCAUCUUCCUCAUCCAUUCCCGAUUAAAAAAAUGUUGCCUAAACCCAUUUAUAUCUAUCCUACACUUGUCUUAUUGAAGGUAGGAAAACCAAUUUAUAUCUAUACUAAGCAUGCCUCAUUAAAGGUGGGAUGGGGUGGAUCUUCUAAAUUACUUGUCCCAUUGUCAUAUCUAGGUAUGGGCUUGACUCGAUUCUUUGUGGCCGUACCCAGCCCAAGUAUCCAAGGACUAGGCUCAAGCCCUGGAUUUUCUUACCAGCUAGUGGAUCUCUAUAUAGCUUCCCAUAAUAAAGAGAGUACACACAAAAUAAUGUUUAUUUUAUGCUUCUAAUUGUUUUAUAUCUCCUAUUUUUUUCUAAUAUAUAGCUCCAUGGUGCUCUUGUUUUGUGAUGCUAAAUCUUAGAAUUCAAUUAAGCUACUUCAAGGAGGUGGAGAAGUUGCUGAGGAAGAAACUGCGUAGUGAAGAAGCCAAGAUGCUAUUGAUGAAAGCUGUCUACUUGUUUAGUAUCGGAGGAAAUGAUUAUAGGGCCAUGGCAUCCUAUUUGCCUCACUCCCUUAAGAUUCAAUAUGUUGCCACUGUCAUUCGCAACUUGACACUUGCCCUUGAGGUUAGCAUUGCUCUCAUCACAGUCUUAAUAUAUAGUUUUUCUUUCUUCCUUUUUCAAAAUUUUCAAUCAUUUUUACUAAAGAUGGGAAGGAGGUAGGUUUUUUUGCGGAUACCCAUCAUUCCUAACUUCUAAUGGAAAAGUUUUAGUUUUGACUAACAACGAUAAACAGAUCCGGUUUAGACUUUUUUUUUAACCAUGGUUAGAAUCAUAUAAUUAAAGUUUAAACAAAUUAAAAAAAAUGAAAGGAAAAAAACAAAGAAAAAAGAAACUCUUCUCCCUUUUUAAAUAUUUUGCUUUGAGAUAAAGAUAAGAAUAUGUUUAAAUAAUAGAGGCAAGGCUUGGAUGGAAGGACCCUCCUAAAUUCGUCCCAUUAUCAUCUCUAAUUUUUACUACUAAAUGAUCAUUUGAAAAAUAAUAAUAUUAUUGCCUUAAAAGUUUACCUAAUAUGCAAAAUAUAAAGGGAAAUGAAUAGGAAUCAUAUUAUCAUAUAAUAAAAAUUGAGUUUUAGUUUCUAUGAAAAUAAGUAAUUUUAAUAAAAUAAUUAAUAAAAAAAAAGGGAUGAAUAUUUCAUUCUUAUUUUCUACUCUUUAGCUCUAUCCUUUCAAUAUAUAUAUCUAUGUAUAUUUGUCUACAAUUUUAUUCCAAAAAUACUUUAAAGAUUUAAAUAAUCUCGUAGAUAUUCUUGCUCAAUUUAAUAGCCAAACGUCUAAUAACCCUAAUAAACCUAUUGAAACCAUUGAAAUAAGACUCUUAGCUUUACAAGGCAACAACGUCUAAUAAGCCCAUUGAAGCCAAUGAAGUAACCCUCUCAACUUCACAAAGCAAAGGUGUCACAAUAGAUGGUUGCAUCUCUCCAUCUUCCAUAGCCACCAGCCAAAUCAUUGCAACAACUUGGGAAAACAAGUGUGCCUUCCACCUCUUUGUCCAUGUUUCUUGUUGUGAGGAGUCGACUAGAAACCCUAACUUCUAAAAGCCACCGAUUGGAUUUAUUUCAAUUUCAUGUAUGCACCACUCAAUUUUCUAAAUUAACUCUUUAGAAUCAAGUUACCAUUCCUGAUUAAAUAAAUUAUAUUCGUUAGCAAUCAUUCAGUCUACCAUGCAUUGAUUACCAUUGUAACCAUAUAUAUGGAUGUCUUCUUUUUUUAUUCUUCUUCUAACUUUCCACAUUCUUCCCUAAUUUUUCACUUUCACUUCCCUUUCAAUCUACUGCUUCCAUUUUUUCUUUUUUUCUUUUUUAACCUGGUGGGAAUUUAGGUUAUUACUUUAGUUUUCCAAGUAUUACAUUACAUUAUGCUAUCAAAUAUAAUAUUCUUUUUAAGAAAAAUUCCAUUCAUCUUUGAAUUUGGUGUAAUAAAUAGAUUGAUUGCAUUUUCUAAUGUCGGUCCUCUAUUCGACAAGCAAGAAAUUUGCUUAGAAUCAAGGGUACAUGAAAUUUCUAACUCUUCUUUAAAGGUUCUCCAAGCUCACAAAUCUCUUGUGUUCUCUAAAAAUUUGGUCGAUGGUAUCCUAUAAGGAUUUUGGUAUCUCAAGUUUCUAGAUUUGAGUUUGACUGAAAUUCACUCAAAAUACGUUUCUAAACUCGGUAGAAUUGUCAUGAUCGCUUGAGUGGACUUAGGUUGUUUAAGAGUUCUAACCACUUGAGUGGUCCCUGUUUUUUGAAAAAUCAUUUUGAAAAUAUUUUAAGCUCAAAAACGAUACCCCCCCCCCCCCCCCCCCACACACACACACACAACUGUGCACCCCUUAGAAUGUCAUGGCGAAUAGCAGAGUCAUAAGGAGCAAUAAACUAGUAGGAAGAAUUCCUCCCAUGGGGAACCCCCCUAGGCUAUGAUUUAGUGCAUGUGUAGAGGUGAUGACCACUUUGCAUGGAAAUGCCCGUCUCUUCAGAGACUUGUUGGAGGUUGCAUGCUAUUGGCGGUCUAGUAUGAUCAUUCCUACUAAGGUACCUUUGAUCCUACCUUUUAGAGCCAUCUUUACCCUAUAGAAUGAGAACUAGAACUUUGGCUUAGGAUACUUGCCCACAUGUGGUGCAUUUGUGUACAGUGAUUUUCAAUGGUAGAGUUUGAGAAGUGCUUUAAAUGAGGACUCAUAAGAUAUUGGUUAAGAGAAUUGCCUUCAAUGUGAUUAUUGAGUACACUAUCUUUUUUUUUUUUUUUUUUUAAUUUAUUGAAUACAUUAAUAUUAUUGUGCAUUUUGAAAGAUUUGUCCCGUAUUUUAGUUUCAUGAUAAUAUUGUUGAUUAAAAACUAUUUCACUCAAAUUAAUACAAGAAAUCUCGAUUUUACUUGAUUUUUUUCAAGUCUGUAUGAAAUAAAUAGGAAAUAUUUAUUUCAUAAAGACUUGAAAAAAUAAAAUUUUAUUAUCAUAAAUUCUCAUUAAAUUGGAGCCAAUUGGUGUAUUUUUAAAAAUUAUGAUUUAGGAGUUUAAUUAUUAACCCAAAUUAAACCUAUGAGAUAUUAAGAAUAAUAAAUAUAAUAAAAGAUCAAGCAAGGAACACAAUAAUUUUUACAUCCCCACUAAUUGCAUGUAGGGGUGCUAAUGAAGACUGAAAUAUAGAUCUCCUUUUCUUAAUCGGUACAUGCUCUGCUUUAUCACUGAAACGUCUCCCAAGAAUAGCGAUACCAAGCUUCUCAGAUUCAGAAACUGAGGCAUUCUCUGUUUUCUGAUGAAUUUCCAUUGCCCUUACAGCAUCAUGCUUUCACAUCUUGAGAUAAGUUCAUCUUACUGUUUAAUCAUGUAUUCUCAACUUGAAAGCUUUUCAUUUUCAUCCUUCAUGUUGAUCAGUAUUUCUUCACUGCUCGGCAUAAAUUGAAGAUCAAAACAAUCAGGCACAUAUUGACUUGAAGAAUUGGAAAGAACAAUUGCUUCAUUCAUUGUUGUGAAGAGAGAGAGAGAGAAAAAAAAAGGGAGAAUCCCUAAUUAUUGUUAUUGAAAAACUGUAAAGAAUACACAUUGGACUUGGGUAUAUAUAUAUACAUGCUAGUGGGACCCACAAUACAGUAAGGAAAGAAAAGGAAAAGGAAAAGUAAAUAACCUAAAUAACUAUACAUUAUCUAACACUCCCCCUCAAGCUGGAGCAUAUAUGUUAUAUGCACCAAGCUUGUUACAAAUGUGUUUAAUUCUAGGACCUCUGAGAGAUUUAGUAAAAAUAUCUGCUAGUUGAUCAUUUGAAUUGACAAAACUAGUCACCACACAUCCUAAUGCGAUCUUCUCUCUAAUGAAGUGACUGUCAACUUCAAUGUGUUUGAUCAUUUCAUGGAAGACUGGAUUGGAUGCAAUAUGCAAAGCGGCUUAGUUGUCACAAAUGAGCUUCAUCUGUUCAUCCUUUCCAAAUCUCAACUCCCGAAGAAGAUGUUUCAGCCAUAUGAGUUCACAUGUUGCCAGAGCCAUAGCUCAAUACUCGACUUCAGCACUAGAUCUGGCCACUACAUCUUGUUUCUCACUCUUCCAAGAUAUUAGGUUACCUCCAAUAAAAACACAAUACCUAGAAGUGGAACGCCUAUCUGUGGGUGAGCCAGCCCAAUUUGCAUCUGUGUAACCAACAACUUGGGUAUGAUCUAUGUUCUCGUACAACACACCUUGGCUUGGUGUGCUUUUGAUAUAUCGAAGAAUGCGGAUUACAGCAUCCCAAUGGCUAUCACAUGGUGAUUGUAGGAAUUGACUAACAACAUUUACAGGAAAAGAAAUGUCUGGACAAGUAAUGGUGAGGCAGCUUAGUUUACCUACAAGUCGCCGAUAUCUCCCAGGAUCUUCUAAAGGCUCCCCCUGUCCUGGUAUAAGUUUGACAUUUGGAUCCAUAGGAGUGUCUACCAGUUUACAGUCUAACAUACCGGUUUCUUCCAAGAUGUUUAAAGCAUACUUCCUUUGGGAAAGAACCACACCGGAACUGGAUUGAGCUAUCUCAAUCCCUAAGCAAUACUUGAGUUUCCCCAAGUCUUUAGUCUGAAAGUAGGUGAAAAGGUGUUGCUUUAGGUUCUGAAUACCAUUCUGAUCACUACCUGUAAUGACGAUGUCGUCCACAUAAACUACCAAAUAAAUACACUGCCCCGAAGAGUUAUGAUGAUAGAAAACGGAAUGGUCUGUUGUACUGUGGAACAUGGCAAACUCUUGAACAACAUAACUAAAAUGGCUAAACCAUGCUCAAGGAGAUUGUUUCAAGCCAUAUAGAGAACGACAUAACCUGCACACUAAACCAGACUCCCCCUGAGCAACAAAACCAGGUGGUUGCUCCAUAUAAACUUCCUCAGCAAGAUCCCCAUGAAGGAAAGCAUUUUUAAUAUCUAACUGAUAAAGAGGCCAAGAACGCAUAGCAGCCACGGAGAAUAAUAGACAAACAGAAGCUAUCUUGGCAACAGGAGAGAAAGUGUCACCACAAUUAGAACCAUAAACCUGAGUAUAGCCUUUAGCAACUAAGCGGGCCUUAAGGCGAUCAACCUGACCAUCAAGGCCAACCUUAACUGUGUAGACCCAACAACAACCAACUGUAGAUUUACCAGAGGGUAAAACAACAAGAUCCCAAGUGCCAUUGAAGUGUAAAACAACCAUUUCAUCUACCAUUGCCUGUUGCCAGCCUGGAUGGGAAAGAGCCUCAGGGGUGCUUUUGGGAAGAGAAACAGAAGAUAUAGCAGAAAUAAAUGCAGAAUAGGGUGAAGAUAAUCGAUGGUAACUCAAAAAAUUGUAAAUGGGAUGAGGAUUACGAGUAGAUCGAUUACCUUUUCGAAGAGCAAUGGGUAAGUCAGCAGAAGGAGGCAGAGUUGGGGCAAGAGAAGCCGAAGGGAUAAGAGGUGAGUCAGUAGGUACCGCGGCCAAAGAAGGAGGAACAACAAUACGAUGACGGCGAUGAUAAACCUAAAGUGGGUGAGAAGGCACUGCAUCAGGUGGGGAGAUAAUGGGAAGGGGUAAGACUUCAGAAAUAGGAAGAGACUCAGAGGUGGAGAAAAAUGGUGAGUCCUCAAAGAAAGUGACAUCAGCGGAGAGAAAGUAGCGAUGAGUCUCAGAGGAAUAACAACGAUAACCCUUUUGAAGUCUGGAAUAUCCUAAGAAGAUGCAUUUUGUGGCUCUGGCAGAAAGUUUGUCCUGUCCAGGAGUGAGAAUAUGAACAAAGCAAGUACAACCAAAAACACGAGGAGGAAGGAAAUAAAGUGGUUGGUCAGGGAAAAGAAGGGAACGAGGAAUCCGAUCGUGUAAUACAGAUGAUGGCAUAUGAUUAAUCAAAUAACAUGCUGUAAGAAUAGCAUCCCCCCAAAAACGAAAAGGAACAUGACUAUGGAGAAGGAGAGUACAAGCUGUCUCAACAAGAUGUCGAUUCUUAUGUUCAACUACCCCAUUUUGUUGAGGAGUAUGAGCACAAGAAGACUGAUGAAUGAUCACAUGUUGGGACAUAAAUAAAGUAAAUGGUGUAGAAAAAUAUUCCCUGGCAUUGUCACCGCGCAACACACGAAUAGAAAUAUUGAACUAGGUUUGGAUUUCAGCAUAAAAUUUUUGAAAAAUAGAGAAUAACUCAGCUCAAUUUUUCAUUAAAAAUAACCAAGUACAUCGAGAAUAGUCAUCAAUGAAAGUGACAAAAUACUGAAAUCCUAAAGUAGACGCGGUCUGACAAGGACCCCAAACAUUAGUGUGGACAAGUUCAAAAGGAGACUUUGCUCGAUUAUUCAAACGUUUUGGGAACGAGACACGAGUAUGUUUCCCAAGCUGACAGGACUCACACGCAAGCGACGAUAAAGAUGAAAAACUAGGGACCAUUUUUUUGGAACUUGGAUAGACUAGGGUGGCCUAGGCGAUUGUGGAUGAGGAGGAGAGCAUCAGUGGAAAUGCAAACUGCAGGUGAAGACGAGGUGAGGUGAUAGAGGCCUUGAGACUCACGUCCUUUGCCAAUCGUCUUCCCCGUACUCCGGUCCUGCAAGAUCACAAAUUUAUCAGAGAAAGUGAUAGAACAGUUAAGAGUGCGAGUUAUUUUGCUGAUGGAAAUAAGAUUAAAAGGACACUCAGGGGCAUAAAGGACAGAAUGGAGAGGUAGGGAAGGGAGAGGUAGUAGUAAUAGAAGAGAAAAGAUCCUUAUUACCAGAUAUGUGAUCAGAAGAGCCAGAAUCUAGAAUCCAAGGUCCAAGAGAAGAUGUGUGGGUAAGACAAGCAAAAGCAUUACCAGUCUGGGCAACAGAAGCUGACUGGGUGGCCUGAUAGCGGAGAUAGUCGUCAUACUCACUGUCAGUGAGGAAAAUACCCUGAGAUGUGGAGGAACUGGGAGGCUGAGGCGACUGAGGAUCAGAUGACUGGGCCACGUGGGCAGUGCGAGGAGGUCGCCCAUGUAACUGAUAACACCGAUCAUGAGUGUGGCCAAGCUUAUUGCAAUAGGUGUAAUGAGAAUGUUGGCCUCUACCUCGGUUACCACUACGUCCUCCUCGAGAGUUAGUUUGAGAAACUAACACAGAAGAAUUUGAAGUGUUAUCAGAUGGCAAAGUCUGAGUGGAGGAGAUACGGAGGAGGCGAGCAAACACAUCAUCCAAGGAUGAAACGGAGGAACUGCCAAGAAUCUGAUCGCGGACGGUCUUGAGAUCUGAACGAAGGCCAAUAAGCGUAAGAACCAUGAAGAACUUGUCAAUCUGUAUGCGUUGAUCCCCAACAUCAGUAGUAAGAGGCAUCACGGUCAAGAAUUCCUCCUUAAGAGAGGCAAUCUGGCUAAUAUAAGUAGAUAAAUCCAUGUCUUGUUGUUUGACAUUGACAAUAGAAGAAACCACCUUAUAAAGACGUUGGAUAUCAUUCGUGUAUAACCCUUUCACCUGAUUCCAAAAUUUAAAGCAUGUUUUGUAGGCUUAAAGAUGAUGCAGAAUCUUAGGAUCAACUAAUUGCCAUAACACACUACAUAACUGUGCUUCUAUCUUUCUCCAUUGUACUUUGUCAACCUUAGGGAUAUCCACCUCCUGCGUAACAAGGUGAUCCUCAUAACCUUGACCCAUAAACCAAAGCUCCAUAGAGGCAAACCAGGACAAAUAAUUUUCACUGCCAACCAAUUUCUCCGAAGUAAUCAUAGGAGAUCCAGAUAUGACAGAGGAAAAAGGGAACUUUUAGUAGCCAUAUCUACUUAUCUGGUGAAUGAAAUACGUUUGGAUCAAAGAGAGCCCUAAUACGGCUUAUCGCGGACUUCCUAAGACACAUGCAGGGCUCGGGGUGGAGAGGAAGUCACCGGAGGUCGCUGGAAAGGCGGUUUAGAGGGCCGGCGGAGACAAAAAAACCCAAAAAAAAAUGCACUUUUAGGGCUCAGAUGACACAAGCGUAGAUGGAGGGUGGCUAGACGGCGUCAGGCGAGGCUGGAGGUGGAAGCGCGUGGCCGAAAAAUGCCCCACGCCCCUUCACGCGCCGGCGCGUGAGAUUCAGGCCGCCGGAGAAGAGACACGCGUGGCUGGGAUUCUUCCUCCGGUGCUUUGAGAAAAGUUGAAGAUCUCCUCCUUGCGCACCUGAUGGUAUGGUCGGUGUCAGAAAAGGACUUCGCCGGAAAAGGUCGCCGGAAAAUUCGCCAGCGGUAAGGGUUUUCCGACGGCGGUGAGGAUUGAUCGGAAGCUUUAGGAGAUGGGAAGAGUGACCGGAAUGAAACAUGGUCACUGAAAGAUUUCCCAGAAUGGAUUCACGGAUAAACCGAAAAUAAUUAGGGUUUUUUUUUUCUCCCUAGGCUCUGAUACCAUGUGAAAAGAGAGAGAGAGAGAGAAAAUGGAGAAUCCCUAAUUAUUGUUAUUGAAAAGCUGUAAAGAAUACACAUUGGACUUGGGUAUAUAUAUACAUGCUAGUGGGACCCACAAUACAAUAAGGAAAGAAAAGAAAAAGGAAAAGGAAAUAACCUAAACAACUAUACAUCAUCUAACAAUUGUUACUAUAUAUUUCUUUAUAAUAGAAAUGCUGAAAUUAAUGAGAUGUAAAUGACAAACCCUAUCACCUUUGAGACCUUAAAAAGCCUCUUCUGUGUGUACAAUUGAUCAUCACCACAUCUUGAGCUUCCACUCAAUGAAUAUUGAACCAUCAUUUGCUCUGGCUGAACCGAUAAUCCUGUAUGCCUCUGUAUCAGCCUCUGUGCUUAAAGUUCUGUGCCCCUGUUUUCCGAUUAAGUAAACUGCUAUACUGGAUAGUUUUGGAUGCAAUUACUUAUUCACCACUAUCAUCCAACUCCAAAAUCCAUAAAAAUAAUCAGCAAACUACCAGGCCAACCUAAACUGGAAGCAACUAAGCUCCAUUGAUACCGAAGUCUCCAGUUCUUUCCAUAUCCACAUUGACUGAAUUUAUGAUUUUCCCACUAUUUGAAGCCAGCAUACUUGAUCGAUGGAGGCUUCUUGUAAAUCAAUACCGUGAGAGCUGCCCGCACUCUGAUGCCAAUCUGCUGCCCACCUAAGUACCAUUGUCUUUAUAAUAGAGACUCCACAGUCUUUGCCCUGAAUAAGGUCAAUGAAAGAACCAAGGAAUUUCUUAAAACCCGCAUCAAAAGCAGCCAAGAGCAUCUAGCAUCACACAAUAGAACCUCCCAAACAACUCACUAUUCACAACCAUUCUUCGUGAUAUUUUUUCUUGCGGGUCCAGAAUCUCAACCCCCACUGCAUCUCCUCAUUAUUUCCCAUCUCAUUCCAUAGUCCCCAAAUUUUUUGAAUCAACGUUGUCAAUGUUUUCCUUGCUUUCAUAUUCAUGCAUCUCUCUGUAGAACUAAUUAGAACUACUACUGAAGGUGAACGACCCAAAUUGCUUUCAGAUUCCGACACAUCCUCUAUGAGAGCUCUUAAUACAUCAUUCUAAUGCAGAAAAAGAGUGUUCUUUUUUUUUUUCCACUAUUUUCAAUUUUUAAUUCCAAAACAGAGAACAAAUAUUGAAGAUUGGGAAUGGAACUUGUUGAGGUGCGGGCCAAAAUAGAAGAAAACAACAAAAGAGGCAUAUAGAAAGAAGUAGAAAAUAACCAAUAGGAGCCACAAUUUCACAUUUCAAUCCAUUGGCUUAGAACAUGGGAGUGAUUCAAAAUAAGAUUUUAUCAUGAAUAAGGUAGGAUUUCUAUCAUCAGAUUCAAGGACAGACCCAAAUGCAUAUUGUUCUCAUAUGACAUCAAUGACAUUGAAAAGAACGAAAGUCCAAAAAAUAGGAAAUCAGAGAAAAUAAACAAACAACCAACCAAUCUCAAUAGAACUAAUUGUGGCCCUUAGCGUCCACACCAAUCAGCAAAGAUCGAAUAUUAAAAAAUGGUCAGAGAAUAAUGGAGGAUUGAAUAUGGGUAAGAAUUCCGAGAAUAACUAGAAACGUACCUGGAAGAACCUUGGUUGCAAUCACCCAUUUCCUACUCUUGUGUGCUUUUUUUCCUCAAGGCAAUCCCAAAAUCCCCCCUCUAAAAUCUGGUCAUCUUUCCUCUAAAAAAUCUGGUGUAUCCUUUCAAAAAUCUAGUCAUCUUUCUCUUCCAAAAAAGUCCAGCACAAUCAGAACUCCUCCUCAGUUCCUCAAGAAUCUGCUAAAAAUCCUUCCUUCCAUACUUGCUCCCACCUUGCAACCGUAGGGAUCCUUCAAUAUGUGGACUAUCCAGAUCUUUCACAUGCGUGCUGGCCACUUACCAUCCUUGCAUAGUGAUAUCUUCCUUCCUUUUUUUACAAGAUUCUUUCCAAGUCUCUUUAUUUGGCCGUGAUAUUCUCUCCUUGAUGUCUCCAAGUCUCAUGCAAAAAUUAAAAAUAAAAUUGAAAUAAGAAAUGUGAGUUAUGAUCAAAAUGAAAAAAAAUAAAAUGUCAAAUCACAUAGCCACAAAAUCCAAGAUAUCAAUUUAUGGGAUUAAAGAAUGAAUAAAUAAGUAGGUAAAUGAACAAAUAAAUUGAUAAAAGUAUAAAAAUAAAUAUUAGACGUAUGCAAUUAGGAAAAAUCAAGAAAUUAAAUUAAUGCAACGGAUUAUAAUAAUUUAAAUGUCAAACUCAAACCAUUAAAAAUAAGAAAAUUCAUUCAUGCAAAAAAAAGUCAAGCCAACACUCAUCUUAUCUCGAAAAAUAAGUAACCAAAAUCAAGAUCAUGCCUAAGUGAACUAUGUUAAAAGAAGUGUCUAAGUGACCUAUUCUGAAAGAGUGUCUAAGUAACCUAGGGUGAAUGUGUGCAAGCUAGAAGGUGCUAAGUGCAUCUAAAUGGGCCUAAGGUGGUGCCUAAUGGGCCAAGUGUAUCUAAAUGGGCCUAGGGUGCCUAAGUGAGCCUAAGUCUAAAUUAGGGCUGCCAAGAGUCACAACGGGGUUAGAUAAAUCUCUCAAACAAAGUCCUUAAGGUGGCUUAGAAAAGAUAGACUUCAUGAGUAGUAAUGGGCCACCAGGGAAUUGCCAUAAAGUACCAAACAAAUACUUAAUAGAACAUGUGCUAGGAGGACAAAAUUGAGGGUCUACAUUUGUCUUAUCUCUUCUUGAAAAACCAAAGAAAGAAUAUGUUUUCUCUUCCUUCUCAAAAAAUGAAAAUGAAGAAUGCAUUUUCUUUUCUCCCUUGAAAUAAACAAGAAAGAAUACAAUUCUUCUAAAGAAACAAAAAGUCCUUUAUCUUGAAGUUAUUCCUAGUUUUCUUCGUGAAACGAAGGUCAAGGCUCUUGUGUUGUGAGAAACGAAUGGUUAUAGUAUUCGUAGUCCCAUUUAUGACUUGAGGCGAAAAAUUUGGCUAGUGAAACAACCAAUAUGAACCUUAAACCCUAAACCCUAAACCCGGAGGUACUUCAUAGCCUUCUCUGGGCGUUACCCUACUAGACCAAAGUUAUUCAAUUUCACAUAUGUUUGAGUCAAUAUUUUCUUAGAAGUAGUGUACAAAUAUUUUUUUAUUUAUUAUAAGUGAUUUCUUUAUAUUAGAAACUAAUAAUAAUGAACAAAUGCAAUAUAAUAAUAAUGCUAAAAUGAUAGUUUUUUUUCAUUUGUAACUAUAAUCUGCCCCUAAGAACUUAAUAAGCAUGGUUAAGUCAUUAACUAAUCUCACUUAACCUUAAUCAAAGUUUAAUUCAUAAUUAAAUUGGAUUAACACUAAACUAGUUUUAACAUCUAAUUAAGCAUGUUUAAAGUUAAGUACUAAUAUAAUCAUUAUUGCCUAUUUAAUUCAUUGGUGCUAGGUAUUACAUAUACUGUAUUUGAGUAUCAAUUGUUCAGUUUGAAAAUAAAAAUAAAAAAUAAAAAUCGGGGAGUAAGAGAAAUCAUACAAGUGCAUGAUAAAGAAAUGCCAUCAUACAAGUGUUCUCGUCAUUUUGCAGUUAAGUUUAAGGUAUCCUAGUAUCAUAAGUGCCUUUAGAUCAUAAUGUCAGCUUUUGUGGAGUAGGCUGACAUUAUACCUUCUCCGGAUCAUAUUGAGUGAUGAAGAAACCCAGACAUAACAAUUCCAAUAUUAGAAAUCAUUUAAUCCCUCUCAUAAAUGUGGAAUUUGGAAUAAAUCCUAAGUUCAAAACACACAUGAAGCCAAGUGCCAGGCAUGACAAUACAUAGGUCUUGACAUUACAUUCCAAGGCUGAAAAAAUCAACAACAUUUUACACCAAUUUUAGUUUGAUUUCAUACGUACACACAUCACCAACAAUAAAUUUAAAUAUUUACUAGCUCUAUGUGAGUGAAAAAAAAAUAAAAAAAAUAACAAACAAAAAGAUAAAAAAAAAAAAAUACAAAAACAAGAAAUCGAGUGGGUAACACAUAUACAUCGAUUACGGUUACAUACACACACAAAACCUUUCAAUAUUUAGAGGCGAAUAAGGCAUGGUCGAUACCAGUAGUUAGCAGAGCUAGAAGAUGAUAGAUCAGAUCCUGGCCAAGGUGCCAGAUGCAUGGCUAAUGGGUUUGCCUAGUAUUGAGCAGUUGGUUGGAUUGUAUGGUUCCAUAAAGAUCCUGGCCAAGGUACUAUAUGCCUAUCUGAUGGGUUUGCCUGGUACUGAGCAGCUAGCUGGAUGGGAUGGUUCCGUAAAGAUCCUGGCCAAGGUUCUAUAUGCCUGCCUGAUGGCUUUGCCUAGUAUUGAGUAGCUGGUUAGAUGGGACGACUCCCCAAGUCCGAAAGGUGUAUGAAUAAAGAUCUUGGCCAAGGUAUCGGAUGCCUCCCUGAUGGGUUCACCUGACCCCAAAUGGAUGGUUGGGUAGAAGAGUCGCCAUAGUUUGACGGAUUUGUCGAAUAAGAUCUUGCAGGUUGAGAUUCUAGAGAGUUUAUGUAACCAUAAGAUGAAGGCUCUCGAAGAUGAUGAUCUGGUAUUGAGCCUACACAUGUCUUAAGGUCCUGUAGUAAAAUUAAGAAACUGAUAUGUUAUGAGCAUUAAGAAAAAGAAUAGAUGUAAUGAGCUUUGUGAUUGGUUAGUCAAUCGGAACCUUAGUUUGUUCUUCAGUUUUUAUUGCAUAUAUAAUUUUGUAGUAAUUCAAAUUUACCUUGUUGAUAUAUUCAUAUACAUCAUCAUUUAGUCAAAACAUCAUUAAUAGUCAAGAAACAAAUGUAGUUCAAAUACAUAGUCGAUUACAUAAUUAGUCAAUUCCUCACAUGAAAAUUAAUACAAUUUAUCAACAAGGUAAAUUUGAAUUACUACAAAAUUAUGUAAUAAAAACUGAAGAACAAACUAUUUUCCCCUAUCUGAUUGCUUACGACAAUUCAAUUUUCUUUUCCACACAAACUGCACUUGUUAGAUCUGUCACAUCGUUGUUCUAUAUGGUUUUGUCAUAGACCGCACCCGUUCUAAUUGGUCCCGACAACUUAGAAUCAUUUUUUUGCAUAGACCAGACUUAUACGAUGGGUCACGUUGUUGUCCUAUCUGCCUUUUCUCACAAACCAUACCCGAUCUGAUCAAUCACAAUAACUCAUUAUUGUUUUCGACGUAGACCUCACUUGUAUGAUUGGUCAUGUCGUUGUCUUGCCUGGUUUUCAUGACAGACCACACUCGAUCCGAUUGGUCACGAAAUCUCAAUUUUGUUUUUGGCUUAGACUACACAUGGAAGAUCGCUUAAAUCAUUGUCCUGUAUAGUUUCGUCAUAGACCACACUUAAUCUUAUAAGUCCCGAUAGUUCAAUAUUGUUUUUAACGUAGACCAGGCCUAUACGAUGGGUCACAUCGUUGUCCUGUCAUGUUUUCAUCGCAUACCAUACCCAAUCGAAUCGGUCAUGGUAGCUUAGUUUUGUUUUCGAAAAAGACCACAUCUAAACGAUCAGUUACAUCAUUGUCUUAUCUGGUUUUUAUGACAGUCGACACAAUGUCCGAUCGGUCUUGAUAGUUCAAUAUUGUUUUCGGUGUAGAUCACACCUAUACAAUAUGUCAUGUCAUUGUCCUAUCUAGUUUUCAUCAUAGAUUGCACUCAGUCCAAUCGACCAUGAAAAUUUAGUAUCAUUUUCGAUGUAGACUAUACUUGUACGAUCAUUCACGUCGCUGUCUUAUCUGGUUUUCAUCACAAUUCGCACAUAGUCAAAUAGGUCCCAAUAGUUCAAUUUCAAUUUCGGCAUUGACCAAACCUAUACAAUUGGUCAUGUCAUUGUCCUAUGUGGUUUUCAUCAAAGACCGCACCUAGUCUGAUCGAACAUGGCAAUUCAGUUUAGAUUUUGAUGUAGACCACAUCUAUUUGAUUGGCUAUGUCGUUGUCCUUUUUGGUUUUUAUGACAAAUGACACUUGGUCUGAUCGGUCAUGACAAAUCAAUAUCAUUUUUAGCGCAUACCGCACUUGUACAAUCGAUCAUGUCGUUGUCCAGUCUGGCUUUCGUUAUAUACCACACCUAUUCCAAUCAAACAAGAUAGCUUAGCCUUGUUUUCGAUGUAGACCACAUCUGUUUGAUCUAUUGAUUAAAAUUAUGCACCAUUAAGGUAGUACCUAAGGUUCCAAUUGACUAACCAAUCACAACAUAAUAAUGGCAUGCUUGUGUCUAGAAUGCAAUUAAAGAAAUUGUGUCUUGAGCAGAAAAGUUCUAACAACGUUCAUCUUCAAACGAUGUUCUCCAUCUCCAUCUUGAGUAGAACUCUAUGGGACAUGGGCUUAAAUAAAAGGAAGGGUUCUGCUCACGGUUUGUCCUCUCUGUCCUUUUCACUAAGAGUUGGGAUGGUAAGGAAAUGGAGAUCCAGUAUAACUAAUAUGAAUCAUUAAAACUUGCAUUCUUUACCAUGUAUGCAUGUCCCCACCUCUUCCAAUUAGCUAAUUAUAAGGCAAGGGAACAAUCACCAAUAUUCUGCACACAUUUAUAGUGACAUGUAGAAAAAACAUAUGUUACAUAUAAAGAACACACUAUCUAUAACUAAAUAAAUUCUUCCUUAACAAGUUAUAUACUUUUUGCUAAAAUGGCAUGAUGAUGCAUUACCAGCAUCACCAUCAUACAAUAAUCUUAAAUAAAAACCCAUCCAUGUCAGCAAAUAAAUGCAAAAUAGAUUUAUAUCUUCCCUUCAAUCAAGUGGUAAAUCACUUCCAAGCAUUAAUCAUGGUCCCAUAUCUAAUGCUACAAAAGAAGAGGUCUAAUAUAUUGAUACAAACAUAUUGGCAAAUUAUCAUAACAAAACUAAACCAGUGUUACAAUGAGAUUUUUAUAAGUAAAACAAGUCUAAUAUAGGAUGCCUGAAACAAGGGUGCUAACCAAGUACUCACAAGUCACAAAGUUCACGCUUUAGGGGGUGCGGCGGGGUUUGGAAAAGGGGGUUGCUCACCAUAGCUCAACAUCUACAAAAGAAGUUCAUUCUCAUAGAAAGUUUUAUUUCACUCUCACCUCACAUGAUAGGACAAGAGAGUCGCUCUCUGGAUAGGUGGCCUCCUUUUUUCCAAAACCCAACCCUGCCACCUCAAGAAAAGCUCCACCUGUGCCCAAACAUCAUCUACUGAACCACAAAAAUCACAAAACCAACAAAACCAAACACCACAGUUCAACAGAAAAUGGUUCACUGUCUCAUUAUCCUUUAUGCACAAAGAAAAUAUAACAUUUCCUUACCAUCUGACCAUUACAAAGAACCAACAAUCUCCAUCCCCUCUCUCUCUCUCCUCAUCCUCUUUGAUGGAUCUAUAAAUAGUAAAACUUCUUUAGACACCACUUGAAUAGAGCUACCACCAAACCUUCUUUCUAGGAUAGCUUCUUCAUCUUGGUCUAAUUAUUUUCCUAAUAAUGUCACUGAAAGUGUAGAGAUUUAACUACUCAUCUUUUUAUCUAGUCACCUAGCAUAUAUUAUUUCAAAAGAGUGUAUGUCAUAUAUCAAAUAUUGUACACACCUUAAUCUAGUCGCAUCAAAUGCUUGACUUGAAUUUCCUACACACAAGAUUCAUAUGAACAUUUCGUUUUUGACAAAGUCACAGACCUCAUCUUCUACUUAUUCAAGUCGCAUAUAUAAAAUACAAUGGAAAGUCCUCCCGUAAUGUAUGUAGAAGAGUUUUCAAGCACCCAUCUAGUUUUACAUGUGCAUAAAAGCAUAUGAGCGAUAAAUUCUUUCAAUUACCUAGAAUCCAUUACUCAAAUCUUGUAGAACUUAUUUGUAAAUUUAUUUAUAUUUCUUCAAUUUUUUAUGGUUUACCUUCUACUAAUAACUUUGGGAAUCCCAUAUAGAUUAUGACCUGAACCUAUUCUUUUUUUAAUCUCCAUACAAUAUUCUAGUUUGAAAACAAAGCUAAGCUAUCUUGUUUGAUUGGAAUAGGUGUGGUCCAUGACGAUAACCAUAGAAGGGCCUGAAAAGGGUGCUCUUGAGAUUUCUGCACAUCUUUUCCAUCUACCUUUCUCUUGCCACGAUCAAUGUUUUUUGAAUCUUCUCCUUGUUGAUCUUUUUCAUCCAUGUUAUGCUAGUCUGAAAGGGAAUUUAAAGAAUUUCUUGUAGGAGACAAGCUGAGAAAAGUCUUCUCUUACGCCUAGCCUAGAUCUAUGAAGGGACAGAUCAGAUGGAAAAUCAUUAGAUAGAUGAGUUUUAUGACGACCAUCAUGGUUUUCAACAUCUUCUUCAGAUGAGAUUCGAUUUGGGAACAUUCAAAUCGCAGGUAUGAACUUUAAUCUCUAAAUCUAGAUCAAUCUGAAUUAAGGACUAAUCACUAAAAAACUAAUAAAUCAAAAUUGAUUUAUUAUGAGUCUUCUACAAUAUUAGAAAUCAUUUAAUCUAAAGAAAGUACAUGAGAUAAUCUUGUUUGAUUAAGUGAGGAAUAAAGGCCAAUCAAACAAGGUUUGGCCUUCUACAAUGAAUAUUCAAAUCGCAGGUAUAAACUUUAAUCUCUAACCAAUUUUGUAAUUUCGUAGUAACUUGAUUUAUAAUUUUUCAAUAUUACAAAUGAUUUUUCAAAGUAUUUCCUUGCCAAACACCUUUUUUUUUUUCAAAAAUAAUUUUUAGGUUAAAGUGCUUCCUAGAAUCACUAACAAUUUAUAAGCACUUGUUUGAUUGUACUUCAAGUAGAAGUGUUUUUACUGGAACUGAUGUUUUCUUUAGUGCUUCUAUGAAAAACAUUUCUAUGAAAAUCCAAAAAAGUGAUGUUAAUAGUUUUUUGAUAAUAUGUUGCAAAAUGUUUUUAAUAUUAAUAAAUUAUAAAAAGAAUUAAAAAAUAUAUACAAUUUAAUUAGAAAAAAUGAAAUAUUGUAAUAAAGUAAGAACUUUUCAUUACAAAAUAAUAUAUAAAUAUCUAUGUUAAAAGAAUAUAUAAACAUUUAUAAUAUUAAAAAUAAAUAAAAAUAAUCAUUUUCAUGAUUUCAAGAGAAUUUAAAAAAAUAUUUUUUUAAAAAGGAUCAAUAAAUAAACAUCAAUCAUGAUAUAAUAAUUUCUCAAAAUAAAACAAAUUGUUUUGUUAAUUAACUAGCUAAAUUACUCAUAAUUAACCUUUAGGUUAAUAACUUAAUUAACUUAAAUUAAGUUAUUAGGUAAUAAGGACCAAUAAUAAUUUACUCAAAAAAGGAAAAUUUAAGUUGAUGUCUAAAUAUAUUUUUUAUUAAAAAAAAAUAGUACUAACUUUGAUUUUUUUUUUUUUUACAAAAAUGAUGAAUUUAAAGGAUUCUAUUACUUAAAUUCACAAAAAAUUAGUUCUAAUUUCUAAAUAUAUAAGAAAUGUCAGCAUAUAUAGGUGAACAAAUUUUUAAAAUGUAAUCGUAUCAGACUCCAAAACAGCACCGUCUAGCGAGGGUUUCAUAACAUAACUUCUAUUUCAGUAGUAUGGUUUGCGUUUACGUCCAUUUCCUACUUUAAAUGUUCAUAAUGUUCCUAUUUUGUUUUCAUCACAAACCACAUUUGACAGGAUAGGUCUUGAUAGUUCAGUUUUAGUUUUGGUGUAGACCAUAAGUAUAUAAUCGGUCACGUUAUUAUCAUGUCUGGUUUUCGUCAUAGGCGGUACUCAAUCCAAUCGAUCACAAUAUAUCAAUAUCGUUUUUGGCAUAGAGCACACCUAUACAAUUGGUCAUGUCAUUGUUUAGUUUUCGUCUUUAGACCACACCUAUUCCAAUCAAACAAGAUAACUUAGCUUUGUUUUCAAACUAGAAUAUCGUAUGGAGAUUAAAAAAAGAAUCGGUUCAGGUCAUAAUCUAUAUGGGAUUCCCAACCCUAAACCCUAAACCCUAAACGUUAAGGCACAGCUCAAGGUUUUCACUUUAUAUUAUCUCAAUUCAAGUUGACAUGAAAUAGCUUUUUUUUUAUCUCCACAUGCAAUUAGUGGGGACGUAAAAAUUAUUGUGUUCCUUGAUUGAUCUUUUAUUAUAUUGAUUAUUCUUAAUAUCUCAUAGGUUUAAUUUGGGUUAAUAAUUAAACUCCUAAAUCAUAAUUUUUAAAAAUACACCAAUUGGCUCCAAUUUAAUGAGAAUUUAUGAUAAUAAAAUUUUAUUUUUUUCAAGUCUUUAUGAAAUAAAUAUUUCCUAUUUAGCACAAGAUUAUAAUUUAAAGAAAUAAAUUAUUUUUGGAAAAAUAUAUGAUAGAUAAUUCAUGAUUAAGAUUACUUACCAAGAUAUUGUUUCAAAUAAAACAAAUUAAAAUGGUAAUUUUGGAUUUUGUAAAAAGAAUAAAUUUUCAUGAGUUUUAUUUCAAUUAUUAUUUAUUUAAGAAAUUGGUUGUUCUCAUUUGGAAUUUCAAAUUCCUUUUGGGACUUUCCUUUAUUUGGGAUAAGUGGUUCUCCAGGCUUUUCCCUCCAAAGAGAAGGAGAAUGACACCUAAAUUGGUCAUCUAGGCUUUCCUCUCCUAAGAGAAGGAGGAAACUGUUUAGUUUGAAAAGGAAAGUUUAAGGAUAAGGAAUAUGAAAGAUAUCCCUAUUUGGAACAGGAGUUACAGUUCAAGUAAUAAAUAAAAGUUUUGGAAAUUCUCAUGAUUAUUAAUUUUUUUUAAGAUAAUUACCAAAAUUAUCUUAAAGUCUCUCUUCCAAAAUAUUAAGUGGAAGCGGGCCAUAGGUAAGCUCAUAGCCUCCAAGAUCGAGCCCAUCUUGAUUUUGGGCCCAUCACCAUCCUAAAGAUGGGGUGGCCCAAGGAAUCAAGGGAUAUGGACUAUCCUUUAUGGACAAGACUAUAUAUGUUUGUAGUGGGAGUGACCAAUCCUAAAGAUGGAACUUUUCACUUGGUAACAUUGAUGUCAAGGAUCUUGGUUACACACUUAACUUAGACAUGAAUGUAGGAUCUUGAUAAACAUAAAGAUAUGUUGAUCAAUGCCUUAGAAUAACCUUAGGAGGUUUAAGACAGGUUGAUUAAUUAGAGAGGGUCUUUGCCUAGUAAUAAGAGUCAUGACUUGCCUAAAAUAGACUUGAUUCUUAUGAUACUAGGAUACCUUGCAUGGAUAUAUGUAGUUUGAGAGCACUAUAUUUUCCCUAAAUUAAUUAUCAACUUGCCUUGAAUGCUCAGUUUCUUUUUAUUAAUGCAUGAAAUUAUUAUAUUUGUUACAUAUAUCAUGUCUUUAACCUAUCACCCAUUAUCUUUUGUUUAAAUUGAACCUAAUUAUAUACCAAAAAUAAUUUGGAUAUAGUAUUAAUUGCAUAAAAGCCAAUUUUGGUAGAGUUUGUUAUCUCCUUUGAACACACCUAUCAUAAAGUAAGAGAAACAUAUCAAAAGUGGCAUAAGAUAGAUCAAAAGACUAAGUCUCUCAUACUUAGGUCUUUAGAUAAUGUGUUGUAAAAGCAACAUAUGUCUAUUGCCAUAGUCUAUGAUAUUCUCUUUAAAGUUACAAGAGUUAUUUGGUGAUAAAAGCAAGUCAACUAGACAAGUUGCCCUUAAGACUAUUAUGAACACUAGGGUUCAAGUUAUCUUAGAAAUCUUACCAAAUUCUUUUGGGAUGGGUAAGAAGAUUCUCAAAGAGUAAAAGGGUGUACGUAUGGAAGUCAAGGUUCUUUAGGUUUUUAUAACAAGAAGAAGAACAAUAACACCAAAUAAGGGAAGUUCAAGAAAAUGAAUGAGAGAACAAACUCAUGGGCAAUGAUUCCUUUGUGAUCUUUCAGGACACUAGAAAAGGAAUGCUUAGAGUACCUAAGGAUAGGAAAGUACACAUCAUAUUCUCAUGUUAACUAAAUAGUAGUGGAUUUCACCAAUUGUGGUAGAUAAAUUCUAGACCCACUAUCUAUAGUUCUUUAUAGGGUUUUCAACAAGUGAGAAGGUCACAUGAUUCCUUAACUUCAGUUACAAGAUUAAUUGUGCAAGUUAGUUGGAGGUAUUACAUUUUUUUUGUGUAAGACUCCAUUAUCACUUUGCCAAGUAAUGAGAAUAGUUAGAUCUCACUAAAAGAAAGAAUCUAGCACUAAUCAAACAUUUGGCUUCUAAUGCCUAGGUCAUAUUAAUCCAUAUAGGAUCCAAAGACUAAUUAAGUUUGGACUUUUUUAUUCCAUAAGAUCUUUUAGUAUACAAAUCCUAUAUAUAAGGUAAAAUGACGAAGAGACACCUUUAUUUUUAAAGGGCAUGGAACCAAGGAAUGUUUGGAGUUAGUGCAUACUUGCGUGUAUGAACCUUUUUGUGUUUCUAUAUGGAAAGUAUGGGUAUUUGAUCGUUUCAUUGAUAAAUACUCUAGUUUUGGAUAUGUAGAUAGAAAAUCUAAUGCCUUGGAUAAACUCAUUGAAUUUAAGGCAAAAUCCAAUAACCUAUUGGGUAAACAUAUUAAGGCACUUCGAUUAGAUUGAGGUGGUUAGUCUAGUAGGUUUGAUUAUUUCCAAAUGGAGCAUGAGAUCAUAUUUUAGUUGUGUGCACCAAGGACUCCAUUGCAAAAUGGAGUAAUGGAAAGAAGAUAUUGAACUUUGAUAGAUAUAGUGAGAUCGGUGAUUAGUUUCUCAUUACUUCCUAUAUUCUUUGGGAAUAUAUCUUAAAGAAUGUAUAAUACCUUUUUUUUUUUAUAGGUGUAUCACUUUAUAAGCUAUCUAAGAGGAUUUAGGGAUUAUUACUUUAUAGUCAGGAUUAUUAGAAGGUGUUUGUUGUUACAAAUACCAGGUUUCUGAAGAAUACUAUAUGAUAUGUAAUAAGGAAAACUAUGAUAUAGAUUGGAAAAUAUUAGAAUAUAGUCCCACUAUACACAAGAUACUUAGGAUACAAUACCAAUCAUUCCCAUUUUUAGUAUACUGAUGCCUUGUUGUAGUGGGAGGGUUGUUAAACAAUGAGACCGAUUAAUGUAUUUGGGAAAGUCUUUCGAGGCCAUUCUAAAGGAACAUGAGAUCAAUCCCAUAGAUUACGAUAAAGUAAUGAGUGAUGUGGAUGCACAUCUUUAGCAAGAAUUUAUGGAGAUAGAGUUAGAAUCCUUGUGAUUCUAAUAUAGUCUGGGUUCCUGUAGAAACACUUGAAAGGAUAAAACCUAUAGGUGUAAGUUGGUCUACAAGAGGAAUAAAGGAAUAGAUGGAAAAAGUUGAGUUUUAUGUGGCUAGGUUGUAGUUAAAGGUUAUAGUUCAAAACAUUGUUUUGAAUAUAAGAAACCUUUUCACUAGUAGUUAUAUUAAGAUCCAUCAGAGUACUCCUACCUAUUGCGAUGUAUCUUAUUUAUGAGAUAUUACAAUAGAAUGUCAAGAUAGUGUUCUUAAACGAUUAUCUUCAUAUUAGUAUCUAUAAGAUGUAAUCAGAUAUUUUCAUAGCAAAGGGCCUUAUGUGUGCAAUAAGGUGUAGGGAAGCAUGGUGGUCUUUAUGAUCUUAUAUGGUAAUGACAUUCUACUCAUUGGUAAUGAUGUAGGGUUAUUGUCACCGGUCAAGAUCUAAUUGUCUACUUAGUUCCAAAUGAAGGAUUUAGGAGAAACAUAGUAUAUUCUUAGGAUUAAGGUCCUUAGGGACCCCAAUAAUAGGAAACUAGCGCUAUCUCAAGCUACCUACAUAUAUAAGAUUUUGGUCAAGUAUGUGAUGAGGAUUCAAAGAAAGGUUUGUUACAAUUGAGGCAUGGAAUUCCCUUUUCUCAGGAUUAGUGUCCUAAAGCACUUGAGGAGAAAGAGUGCAUGCAAUUAGUACCCUAUGCUUUUGUAGUGGGUAGUCUUUUGUAUACGAUGCUAUGUACUAGGCUAGAUAUUUGCUUUAAAGUGGGUAUGGUGAGUAGGUAUCAAUCUAAUCUAGGUCCAAAACACUGGACUGCUGUCAAGCAUAUACUCAAGUAUCUUAGGAGAACAAAGGAUUAUGUGUUUGUGCUUUAAAGUGUUGAGAUAGUUUAAAGGGUGACAAGAUGCCUUCUAUGAAGAACUUAAUGGAUCCCUUCACCAAGACAUUGACAAGGAGAGUCUUUGUUGGUUAUAGGGAUAGCAUGGGUUUCAGAUGUGUAUCUCGUAAACUUUUUUUCUUCCACCAUCCUGACAGAAAGAGAGAGCCAUAGCCUCCACCCCCUCCCCCUCCUCCCAUUUUUCCUCCUCAGUGGAAGUAUGGCAAGAACAAGGUUGAGUCUUUGGGCAGAAGAUCUAGAGUUUACGAGACUUCCAACAACUUCAAGGUUAUCUUCAACACUUGGAAUUUAAAGUUUGGGAACAUACAAACCUAAAGGUUACUAUUUUAACCCUAAAGAUCAAUUUUUUGAAAAUUUGUAUUGCUUUCAUUGCUUAGAUCUAAGAUGUCAUCAAUUCACACCUCCUCUCCCUCUCUUAUUGGGUGUUUUUCCUAAUCUAAUUAGCUUUAUUUUACAUGAGGAGACACCUCCUUAUAUGCUUAUUAAUUAAGAAUUUGAAAAUCAAUAUGUUUUUUUUUUCUAUAGUUUUGAUCAUAUUUGAUUAUUUUAAAAUGAACCACAAUUUUCCCAUUAUUUAUGAAAAUAGACACAAAAAUCUUAUUUAGGUGUUAUCUUAUCCUCAAGUAAAAGAAGUCAAACACCAUAAAAAUUUAACGAGUUAGAUUCAUUUGAUAAUUAUUCUUUAUAUAACUAUGUGAAAAUUAAAUUAACAAUUUUAUAGUAUAUAGCCUAAAGUUAUGUAACUUUUUUUUAAAAAAUAUUUUUAUAAUAAACUUACCAUAACCAUUACAUAGCCAAAAGUUAUGUAAACAAAAUAUAUUUUAUCAUAUUACAUAACCAAAAUCUAUGUAGAAGAAACAUAUUCAUAUGGACUCUAAUAGCUGAAAGUAAUAGGGAGCUUGAAGUUAUAUGAAAAAUUAAUUUACAUAUUUUUAUAUUUUGAAGCUAUAUAAUAGAAAACAAAAAGUAUUUUAUCAUGUUAUAGUUAUUAAUGCAUAUGAUUUUUAUGGAAUUAAAAUACAAAACUUACUUUAUUCAUCACUUGACAAUUUUAUUUAGACCAUUAUUUUUUUUUCAAGAUCUUUUAGUUUAUGAAUGAUUUUCAUUGUAUUAUUUGGUCAUGUAUCCAUAGGUUAUAACAUUACACAAACUUGAAUUUGUAACUCUUUUGAUGAAAUUAAGUAAAUAUGAGAUCUUGUGGGAUAUUUCAAAAACAUGAAACAUCCUUAUGUAUCAUUUCCAUGAAAAUUUAAACGAAUUGAUGUCUCAUAAGAUAUUGCUUUUUUUAUAAAAUAAAAAAUACAAAAUUGAAAUAAUAUGAAAAAAUAUAUGACUACCAAAAGACUGUGAUCCUUCGAAAAUGGGGAUGUAUCAAAGAAUAAUGAACUUUUGAUAAAAAAAAAAAUCAUUAGUCUUGUUUACCUUCCAUGUUUGUCCUUUUAUUUUAACUUAAUGACAUGUUUUCUAAUAUAUGCAUAUAUUUUAUCCAUUUUUAUUUGUAUAUAAUAUCAAUUACUUAAUAGAUAUAUUCUAAAAUGUUUGUCUUAUUCAUUGUACAACAUUAAUAAUAAUUGAUGUAAUUACCACACCAACUACUAGAAACAUAAUUAAAAGCUUAAAAAAAGUUCAUACUUGAUCACUAGUAGCACACUAUUCCAUGUGAAUGGCAUUUUAUAUCAUGUCAAAUCCAGAAGAUUCUUGUAUGACCAAUUGGAUCCGUCAAGGUUAUUCUCAUUACAAUGUCAUAUGGGUAUUCAUUAAAAAACUAGACGUUUCUUUUACAUAGUGAAUAAUCUAUAUAUAACAUGAAAGGUAAUAUGACAUGUUGCAUAAAUUGUUAUUUUCAUGAAAUAAUUUUCUUACUAUUAUAAGGAGGAAGCUUAUUCUAGAAGAAUGAUGUGAAAUUUAUUGGGAAGUUCUUAUUCAUAAAAUAUAAUAAAUUGAUGUCCAUAUUAGACAAUGAACUAACACAACAAUAAAUACAUACAUGAAGUGUGGUAAAAUAGUUGAAGCAAAAGAUACUAAGUAAGACAAAUAAAUAUUAUAAAAAUAAUUUGAAGAGACCAUAAAUUGAAUAAUUAGUCCAAAAUUGAUAAAUCUGAGCCCUAAAGAGGUACAAAUGAAACAUACAACCCCUGAAGAGGUGCAAAUUAAGCGAAUAGCCAUUGAAAAAGUAUAAGUAGUUGAAAAUAGUGAGAUCUUAAUAAGUUAUGAAUACAUAAAGAAAAAUAAAACUGAAAUGAUAUUGUUAGCAAAAAUAUUUUUACUUUUUAAGUGGUUUUAGACAUCUAAAAAUGAUGGUAAUCCCAAACUAAAAAAUAUGGGAGAAUACCAAUACAAAAUGAUUGGCACAAUAGAAAGAAGCAUUACUAUAGGUAGAGUUAAACUUAUUAAUAAAACCUGAAGUAUUUGGACUUGUAGUACAAAUGUGUAAAGAUGUAAAGCCUAUUAUAAAAACUUGAGAUCUAGUGCCUGAAGAUGUAAAAAAUAUUUUAUACCAAUUGUUUAGUGUAACCAAGAUAAAAAUAAAAUAAAAUUAUAAGAUGACGUUUCCUAUAUAUACCUAUAUCGAUUCUUGUAAUGACUCAAUCAUAUGAUAGAUAAUUCCUAGAGUAUUUGAUAUAUACUUUAUAAUAUAGUUACAAUACCCUGGAGGAUGUAAACUACUUGAAGCAACCAAGUCUCUAAAUGAUUUAAAGUGCUUGAAGCAAAUAAAUCAUUGAAGUAUUAAAAUGUCUAAAACAAGGAUUGAAAAAGUUAUAUCACAUUCAAGAUCAAGUUGCGAUGAUAAUAUACUUGCUCAAAUGAUGUCCUGGUAUGGAUUAAAAUAAGGGCUUGUAGUUGUAAUCUUUUUAGAACUCUUGUAGAGUUCAUAAUGUUAGGAUAAAACCCUUAAAAGCAUGACAUGAUGUAAUAAACUCUUAGAUUUUAUUAUUUAUUUAAUAAAGUUCUAGUUCACUUUUAUUUAUCUUAUUUCCAUGCAUCAAACAAAAAAUCCAACUCAUGGGCUCCUUGUAAAUAGAUGACUUGUUCACAGUCGGUUCAUGAGUCUAGGUAUCACCUCCUAAUUGGAGGGAUGACUGAUCUUGGUUAUUGGGAUGAGUUUCCUAUAGUGAGUGCACUAUUGUGUAUGGUUAUACAUUGGUCAGGACCUAUGGUGAGUCAUGACUUAAAGCUAUCAAGUAGUCAUGACUUCACGAAGCUGUUUCAUUGUGUUGUCUCUCAACCUUGAGAGAAUAUAGAGCUUGUGUUGAAGUUAGUAGUGGCAUCGACCUACGAGUGAGAUCAUAAGUUGAUAAUCUAUUCCUUAUAGAUUAGGUCAUGUUGAUAGAAACCGAUAGUAAUAGGUAUUCUCAAUAGAGGCAUCAUGACAUCUCUUGGGAUUGAGAGAGUGUGUCCCCUUGGGUGAUCCUAAGGAGGUGUGUUCAUGGAAACUAUGGCCAUAGUAGUAGGUUACGAAUUUAAACACUUAGUAUCUUGUUGUUAUUUACAUAGGAUACUAGAGUUCAGUUGAUUCUUUGAAGUGGGAUGUUGAGUUAACUUCAGAAUUGGAUUAUGAGGGAGUUGGUAUUCCUAUGGAUCCCAGUGGUCCCUGCUCUGAGCUUAUAUACCUUGUUGACAUGGGUUAUGAGGGUUGGAUUGACUCUAAGUUCACUUUUGUGCAUAAUGACGUUUUGAUAAUUAUGCAAGGUUGCAUAAGGUUAAGUGAAUAAGGCCUCUAGAUUGGGAUAAUUGGUUAAGUAGUAGGCCCUAUUGGGUUAAUUAAUCAAUUAGGAUCCGUUUUAAGCUAGAUUAAGUGACAUAAGCCCUUAGUGGGCUCAAGUCACUUAAGUCGAGUAGGGAACCCUAUAACUAAUCCUUUAGGGGUUAGGAUUUCUAUAGUUUUUUCUAGAGAGACGUCUUCCUUCUCUAAAGAGAGUCAUAGCCUCCAUCCUCUCUUCCAUCCCCACCAAAAGUGUGUUAAGAUUAAGGUUCGAGUCAUCGGGUGGAAGAUUUCGGGUUUUUGAGACUUCUACGAUUUUGUUCUUCAUCUGAAUAUGAGGUUUUGGUUUUUGUAAUCACUUUUUGAAUCCAUUUAAAUUUUAAAAAUGCUAUUUUUCCAUUGUACAUAGAAUUUAGAAAAGUUUAGGAUGGUUAUGCAUAUUCCUAACUUGAUCUGAGCCUUUAAUGAAGAACGCUCUUAUCUUGAUAAUUAAUAAGUUGGAAAUUAGUACUUUGAAAGUUAACCAACUAUAUCCAUGCCGAAAAAGCUACCCAAAAUCUAGUUGAGUAAAAUAAGAUUCAUGGUUUUGGUUGUUGUUACCAUUAUUAUCUAACUCAAGACCAAGACAUUUUUUUUUCUAUUCUUUAAAAUUGAGAAGAGUUUUCUUAUUUUUAAUUGAAAAUAUGUUUUUUAAGAAUUUAUUUUCGCAACAAUUUGCAUUUGAGGAUAAAAUUGAAGGGUUUUUUUUUUGUUUUUUUAUUUUUUUAACUUUUUUUAAAAAAAUUUAAAAUAUACAUAAUAUUUUGAGAAGUUUUUCAUUUAUUAAAAAAUUUAUAAUACUUUCAUAGGGAAUAAAUCAACAAAACUAUUUUUUUAUUUGAGUUCUUAAACAAAUUUUUAUUUCUAAAUAUAAUUGAAAAUUAUUUUUAAGAAUUAUUCCUAAAAAUUAUUUUUCCGAGAAUUUUGAGCACGACUCUUAUGACGUGUAACCUUUGUUUGUUUAUCUCUCUCUUUCUUUUCUUUUCUUUUUUCCUUUUGGGUUUCAGUAGAUAUAUCCAAUUAAAAAGCAUUUCUAAUUAAAUUAUUAGUUUACAUUUUACCUUUAAUGGAUUUAAUAACUUUAUUGAGAAUAAGAGAUUUAUUUU